GUCGAGAAUCAAGGUCCGAUGCCAAACCUUACUAUUUCUUAACAUAUAUAAUCUUUGUCAUUAACUCAGGGUUGUAUAUGUUGAGAUUUCAACCCCGGACAUGUUGGAUGUCACUUCUUAAGAGUGGCUAUAUGAAACCGAAAUGGUGACGUGUUUAUUUUGUAAUGGGAACGCAGAGGCUGGUUUAUGGAGCGAAAGCAGAGGCAGCCAUAGCAAUAGGAUUUGAUGAUUUCAUUGCGGAUGCAUUGAGAGGUACUGGGUUUUACCAGAAGGCUAACCUGGAGAUCAAGCAAGCCGAUGGAACAGGUGCUGUCAUUGCAGAACAAGUAUUUGAGAAGACCAAGGAAAAGUUCACCUUGUAUUAAUUUCUUUUUCAUUACUAGAAACACAGUCUGAAAUUUAUGUUAAAACUGCCCCCUCUUUGAAGUUAUCAAUAAUAAGCAACGCAUUGUUUGAUUUCAUAAAAUAAAAAAACCCUAUAAGUAUAAUGAUUAAGAUACGAGACCGAAAGAACGGCCAUUCCAAGCCUAAUUGUCCCAUCAAUGGUGGUCUGGUCUCGUCUAGUCCCCAAAAGUAAGUGGCAGUCCAGCUGGUGGGCCCAAGGCUAUGACUAGACCACAUUUGGAGGCACUUUGGGUUGGGGAGAGGGAGAGGGAGAGCCUGUCUUAGUUUCUAUUAUUAUAUUACUCUAAAAGGCAGCAUUUAAAGUUACUGAAACUGAAAUUCGUUAAAAUUAAGUUUAAUCACAUCAAUGCUUUAGUUGAAUGCCCAAGGUUUUAUUAUUUUUAUCAGUAUGAUCUUUUUGUUGAUUAGUAUUUUUAGGUGUUAAAUGUUGGUAUUUUUGGGUAAACGUGAAUGAAUCAAAAUUUUAAUAUGUGUAAAUAAAAUAAAGAGAUCGAGAAAAUAAAGUAUAUUUAUAGGAGUAAGAAGUAUAAAAGAAAUAAAUAUUUAAUUCUAAGAACUAUUAGAAUUUAAAGUAUACAAACAUCCACUUAGUAAUAAGAUAUUCAUAACACUCCUCAUUGGAUGACAAUUGGUAGAUAAUGUGCCUUGUUAAACCUUAUUAGAGAAAAUCCUGUGGGAUAAACACCUAAUAAAGAAAAAAGAGUAUACAAUCUAUAAUAUGCAUAAUAUGCUACAUUAAAAAUCUUACCAGGAAGACCCAAUGAGACAAAACCUUAAUUAAGUGAAAAAGAGUGCAACGUGUAUUUACUCCCAUCAUGAAAACGUCACAUAUUUUCUCAUAUUCAACAUAUUCAAUCUUAAGUACUAGUUUUUCAAAUAACUAUUUGAAUUUAUUUGCUAAGCAUUUAUAGUACUAUUCUUUUAAAAGUCAUGAGUGAGGAAAAUUUAGGAAAAUAUAUUUUAAUCUCUUCAGGAGAUUUAACAAUAAUCGUAACAAACUUUAAUCAUGAUUCUUUUAUAAAACAGAAAUAGGUAUUUUGGAUCAUUUUAUAAUUCUCUUUCAACUACUAUUCACUAAGUCAAAUUUAUCACAUAUGUUCAAAUUAUUUCAAUUUAUAUAAAUAAAUAAUUUCUCGAGAAUUUCAAUAUGCUUCUAGCAUCCUAAAUCCUUCAAGGAUUUUAAAAUAAACUUUAAUAUAUAGUAAUUCAUAAAAGGUUGUAACAAUAACCAUUAAACGCAAGUUAAAUCUUUUAUGAACUGUCAAUUUAAUAAUAAAUUUAAAGAUUAUUGCAUCCACUAUAAAAGAAUAUUAUAUCUUUUCAUAAUCAAUGUCAGGAUUUAGCGAAAAACUUAAAAAAUUUUUUAUUCUGCUUGUGCAAAACUACUUCAAUUGCACCCUUACUGGCUUUAUACAUUUAGAUUUUGGACUACCGGUCCAAAAACUCCACGAAUUUAAUUGCACUUGAGUUGUGUCUUUCUAUUUUGAUCAAUUUAUUUCAUAUCUAUAUUUCUCAAUAAAUUUAUUCAAAACCCUCAUUUUAUUUCAUUAUUUCAAUAAUAAUAUUGCAUGCAAAAUCAUUGUCGACCACUUUUAUUAUUCGGUUCCACAUUUUCUCGAAUUGACAUAACUUAUCGAGAUUUCUUAUUUUCAUUAUUUUAAUCUUCAAUUUCAAGUACCUGAAUCUCUCUGGAGUUUUACUUAUUAAUUAUGUCUGGGGUCUCUUUUGAAGCACCCGCCUCCACUAGAUGACCAUCUAGAAGAAUUUUCGUCUUUGGAACCAAUCAAUCCAUUAUUUAUUUUAACUGAUUGCCCUAUUGGAACUUUGAUUCAAGUUAAAAUAUUAGAUAGUAUAUGGCACUUGGUUAUUCUUAUUAAGUUUGUAAAUACAUCUAAUAGUUAAAUUGUAAUGAGUUAUCCUUAUUGAACUUCUAGUUUAAAUUAUUUCCCCCCAACUCAUUACGAGUUAUUAUUUCUCUCUCCCUAAUAUCGAGAAAACUAUUGAAUCAAAAUUGUAAUCACAAAUCAUGUCAUAAUUGAAUCUCGAAUAUAUUCAAAACAUCUAAUAAUAUAAAGAAACUUGUAAUUAAUAUAUAUUCCCAACUUUCUUUGUGGAUUUACUCAUCUUUGUGCAUUGUGGUGGAGUAAUUGGAACAUAUACACAUACAGAAAUUCAAAAAUGAGAAAUAUUUAGCUCUUGAUCAAAAACCAAUUGUAAUGGGGAGUAUUUAUAACUUAUUGGCUUGAUGCGUAUAACACGUAAAUCAACAUAAUCUCAUAUUGAAAUAGGAAAUUUAGUUCUCAUAAGUAAUGAUUUAGACAUUAAUCAGAGAUGUUUAAUUAAUAAUUUGUCUAAACCAUUAUGCACAAACUUUUACAAAAGUUUUUCAAACUCAAUCAAUAAAAGAUUGACAUAUAAACUCAUCAGUAUUAGCAAGAUGAAUUGACUUAAUUGCAUGAUCUGAAAUUAAUUAUUUAAACAAGCUAUCUUGCAUACGACAUGUUGCAAAUUGAUAACACAUAUGUGAUUAUUUUGUAGAUGUAUCUACCAAAAUCAUAUAAUAUCAAAACCAUCCACAUGGUGGAUGAAUGGGCCCAUAUUCGUUUUAGAAAUGUAAGACAUUAAAUCUCAACUUUAGUUAGUGAGUUUCUAACAAUCAAUUUUCAUUAAGAACAAGUAACACAUGAGGAUUCUUUAAAUUAAAGAAUCUUCUGGAUCUUUGAUGAAUGCCUAUAUGAAUUCUUAAUUAAUUUUUGCAUUAUAUAUGAUCCAGGAUAGUCUAACUGGUCACGCCAAGUGUUAAAUGCAUUUGUAUCAGUAAACUUUUAGUUUAUUUUAAUACACGUUUCAAUUGUACUAAAUUGUAACAAAUUGAUAAUUUUGCUAUCAUUCUUUUUAUUUUAUAUCCACAUAUAAGUACUAUUGUGACAUUUACUACUAGAAAUGUCUAUAUUAAUGUGAAUAUUAUAAUGUCACUAAGUCAACAAAAUAAAUAUAAUUUCCAAACAAUUAUAUGUAAUAUUUGCUUCAGGGAAUAUGCUAAAAUCUUCAAAUAUCUUAAAAAAAAAUUGCAACUUCAGGUGCAUCCAACCAUAACGUGUUUUAGAUAGAAUUAUCAUAUUUUAUUAUUCAUAAAUAGAUCUUUCACAGUCAAAUAUUUUGUUUCCAACCCCUUAAUGGGGAUGAUGACAAAAGAAGAUCACAAAAAUUAUAAAAUAAAUAUAAAUUAAUAAUUGUUAGGAUCGACCUGAUUAAGCAAUGAACAAGUAAAAAUAGCAGAAGAAAUUGAGAAAUUGAACACACAAAUUUAACGUGGAAAAACUCAUUCAAAGAGGAUAAAAGACUACAGGCAAAGAUAAUUUUACUAUAGUGACAAAAGAACGAAGAGUACAAAAGAUGGAGAUAAAAACUAAACCCCAAAAACUCGAAAAUAAAGAACCCUUAAAACGUAAACACAAAAUUCUCUAAAUUUGUUAUGAUUUCUAAUAUCUAAUAGGUGUUUUUUCUAAGGUUGUAAAAGAGCCUAUUUAUAGGCUAAAUUCAUAGGUCAAAUAAUAAUAAAAUAAUCUAAACUAAUCAGUGUUUGAUUGAAACAAGUAAAAAGAGUUUAACUGAAAGAUUAUUUCUCAAAUUUGACUGAAAAUAGGAGUCAUAUUUAACAAAUCUCCACCUUGACUCAUAUUUCCAUAAUGCCAUCUUUGCCAAAGCCCGCCACGAGCCUAUCUUGAACUAUGCAGGAAUUAAUUGAGUCAAAUUUGUGCUUAGAAACUAGAAGACUUCUAGCCUUCGACUUGUACACUGCCAAAUCAAAACUAACCCGAGUCUGAUUUUCACGAACACAGUGCCCUAACCUUUCAAAACCUGCAUCCAAAAGAGAACCUCUCUUCAACGAAACGGUCAUACAUUUUUCCCUCUUAUGACCAAGUUGCCUUUGCUCCAAACGAGUUGACUUCGACUCUGUAAUGGACGAGGAACGUCUGAUUUCACCAGUCACUGUAGAACCUUCUAGAAUACAAAGACUACCAGUUCUUUUACCUCUUAACAAAACGAGAGCUCCACGAGAUACUUAAUGCCGCUCGACUCAAUAUUGAUUUUGCAUCCUUUCAAGUUUAAAAUACUCAAGGAGAUAAGAUUCUUUCGUAAAUCAAGUAUAUACUUAACAUCUGAGAGUGUCCUAAUUGUCCCAUCGUGUAUCCUAAUUUUAACAGUACCAAUACCAAUUACCUUUCUAGAUGAAUCGUUUCCCAUGCACACAAUUCCACCUUCAACUGAACUGUAUGUGGAGAACCAUUCUUUAUUGGGACAUAUGUGGAAAGAACAUCCCGAAUCUAGGAGCCAUUCAGACGUGAGCUUGGAGUUACCACUCGUUGACACUAACAAGAAAUCAUUACCGUUUUCACUAGCCAAGUUAGCACUAGCUAUAUCUUCCUCAUUACUCUCAGCAGCUCUUUUAUUCACAGUGUAUAACAAUCUGCUUUGACGUGACCUAACUUCACCUUUUGUCUCGUUUUUUUUAUGCUACCAAAACGGAAGCUUGCCUAUCUGUCUUGCUAUCCAAAUGAAACUCAUUGUCGAGUUUGUUUCUACUCAACAAAUGAUCCUUCACAUCUUUGAACGAGAGUUUGUCUCUGCCAUAAAUCAGGAAGAGCACAAUAAUAGCAUAGCCUGAUCUUCAUCAUCAAUAUGAACCUCAAUAUUCUUUAAAUCAUUUAAAAGAGUAAUGAAUUGACUGAUGUGAUCUCUAAGAAGCUCACAUUUGUUCAUGCGAAACGGAAAUAGACGUUGUUUCAACACUAAACGGUUAGCUAAAGACUUAGUCGCAUAAAGAGUAAUGAAUUGACUGAUGUGAUCUCUAAGAAGCUCACAUUCGUUCAUGCGAAACGUAAAUAGACAUUGUUUCAACACUAAACGGUUAGCUAAAGACUUAGUCGCAUAAAGAGUUUCUAACCUUUUCCACAAGGCGGAUGAGGUUUUCUCCAUCAAUACCUCCUGCAAUAUCGUAUUUACGAGGCACAACUGGAUUGCAAAAAAAGCCUUUUCAUCAAGCUCUUCUCAUUCUGUUUUAUUUAGAUUCUCAGGUUUUUUCCCGGUAACAACCUUUUCCAAGCUGGAUUGAACUAGAAUUGCCAUCAUUCGAACUUGUCACAGAUUGAAAUUUUUCUCACUAUCGAACUUCUCAAUUUCAAACCUUGUUGUUGCCAUCUCUAAAUGAGCUGAUCUAUGAAAAUUGAACUAGCUCUGAUAUCACUUGUUAGGAUCGACCUGAUUAAGUAACGAACAAGUAAAAAUAGCAGAAUAAAUUGAGAAAUUGAACACGCAAAUUUAACAUGGAAAAACUCCUCCAAAGAGGAUAAAAAACCACGGGUAAAGAUAAUUUUACUAUAAUGGCAAAAGGACGAAGAGUACAAAAGAUGGAGAUAAAAACUAAACCUCAAAAACCUAAAAAUAAAGAACCCUUAAAACGUAAACACAAAAUUCUCUAAAUGUGUUAUGAUUUCUAAUAUCUAAUAGGUUUUUUUUCUCAGGUUGUAAAAGAGCUUAUUUAUAGGCUAAAUUCAUAGGUCAAAUAAUAAUAAAACAAUCUAAACUAAUCAGUGUUUGAUUGAAACAAGUAAACAUAGUUUAACUGAAAGAUUAUUUCUCAAAUUUGACUGAAAAUAGGAGUCAUAUUUAAUAAUAACCCAAUCCUCUAUUUUUCAUUCUUUCAAAAUAGAUAUUUAUAGCAAUAGUGAUUCAUAUAAAAUAUAAUAUUUUCCUUAUUUACAAUCUCAAUAUAAAAUCCAUUUUAAAUAUCUUCUAAAACCAAUGGAUUAACCGUCAUAAGAUAUUAAUAUAUUAGCUCUUCUAGAACUUUCGACUAAUUUUGUACUAUCAAAUAUUGGAAUAAUAUUUAUUUUUUUAGUACCGAAUAAGAUAAAUAUUUUCUAUCUGUAAUGAUAGAAUUUAUUACUACAUUCUCAUAUCAUUCCUCAAAAUCCUUCCUUAAAGAAUAUUAAUAGAAACAAAAUAUUUUGGCAUAUGCCACAUAUGUGGCCAAUAAUCUUUCAUAUCACAUUAAUAACAUAAGUUAUCUUUACCAUUUGAAGAGUUAUAUUGAGAACUCUCAUUGUUCUCUUAUUUAUUACUAUGUUCUUACUUUUAGUGGUCCAUGAUUAUAUAUUUUAUUUUCUUUAUGUUUACAUUCACUUCAGGGAAUGCAAUAAAUCUAGUAGGAUAGACUUCUGAACGCCUCCAUUGAUUAUUUAUUUCAUAAUCACCAUCUCAAAACAUACAUGGAUUUCAAAUCAAAAUCUAUCUAUUCAUGUUGUCAUGAUUAGUCUCCAAUCACAUCCUCAAUUACAACAACAAUCAUAAUCUCUAUAUUUUCAUUUUUCAUAAUUGUUAUGUACUGCUACAUUCACUUCAAGGAAUGAAGCAAAACUAGUGGGAUGAAUUUCAUAGUUUUCCAUUAGUAACUUAUUAUUUUGCUUACCCACUAAAAGGUAUGGGAUUGCUCGAAAAUACUGUUAAAGUCAUUUCCACAAUAUUGCUAUUGCAGGAGCACAUUAGACAUUUCAAUAAUAUAAUGUAAUGUAUUCAUUUGGGGAAUAUAUAAUAUAAAUACAUGAGUAUCUCAUGUUGUUUAUAUAUAUGGUUCUAAUGUAAAGCACAUGAAGGUUUUAUUCAACAUAUAUCUUCUUGAUCUGGAAAAUAAUAUUAUAUUUUAUAAAAUUUUGCAUCACAAGUAACUAAAAUAUAAGCUCUUAAAGAGCUUUUUACAGUUUGAUGCAAUGUUAGCUCUUUAGGAGCAUAUAAUCAUUUUAUUGUAUAACCUUAAUGAAUGCUUAAUUUAUUUUAAAUAAAAAUUUAUUUAUUCAUAUAAAAAUAAAAUGAAUAGGUAUAAAUGUAACAUCCUAAAUUAGGGCUUAGUUGGAACAGUGGUUUCAGGACGACAAAUUUGAAGUAAGAAAACUUAAUUUUAUUAUAUUUUUAUGGUCUACAAUUUCACGGGAUGAUUUCAUGAAAAUUUCAUUUGAAAAUUUUGACGUUUGGGCACUCAAUUUAGUUAAAAAGACUAAAUUGUAAAAAGUGCAAAAGUUGAGUUCUACAUGUUAGAGGUGUCAAAUUGAUUUGAAAUUUUAAAUUUGAGGUCCUUAAAUGGUAAUUAGACUAUUGGUUAAUUUUUGGAAAAAAAUAGAUAUGAAAUGGGUGAAAUAGAAUAUUUUUAAGUUAGGGGCAUUUUGGUAAUCUAAUAAUUAAAAGAAUUAAAAAGCCAAAAGAAGCCAAUUUUUGUCCAUAUUCAACCUUUGGCCGAAAUUUUGCAUGGAAUCCAUGGCUAGCAUUUGGAUCACGCUUCCAAGUUCAUUUGUAAGUGAUCCCGAGCCCCGUUUUUAAUGUUCUUUACAUUUUUAAAGUCUCGGUAACUUGAUCUAUCUAUUUCUACCAUUAUUUUGAGCUAGGGUUCAUGUUUAAAAUUUACCCAUGAAUGAUAUGCAUGUGUUUUGAUGUCUAAUGGUAGAAAAUGAAUGUUGGGUGUUAAAUAAACGACUUUUGCUAAGUGAUUUUCGGUGAAAAUGCUUAAAAGGACCAUGUUGUAAAAGUUACAAAAUUUGUCAUAAAAGUGUAAUUGGGUGGAAAUUAAGGGCUGAUAUAGUUAUGAAAAUGGUCCAGCUAGGCUUGAAGUACAAAGAAAUUGAAUGAAAAUCAUUUUAUGAGUAUUAGGGCAAAAGUGCAAAUAUGUGAAAGUUUAGAGGUCAAAAUGAAAAUUUGUAAAAGUAUGAUUUUUGGACCCAUAUGAAUAAUGUGACUAAUUAGUAAGCUAAAUGUGAUAUUAUAGAUCUAGGAAAAUGAGAUUCGGGCAUAUAUUGGAAAUGAAUGAGAUUAUGGACUAAAUCAGAAUAAAUAGCCGUGCUUGCAUUCGAGGUAAGUUCGUAUGUCAAUAAUAAUGCAACAAUAUCAUUGUUUAUGCUUGAACUUAAAUUGAUGUGUUAAAAUUAUAUGGUGAAUAUUUAUAUAGUUGAUAUGAUGAUUGUAUUAUGUGACAAAUGCCUAAAUGUAAUUAUGAGCAAUGCCAUGUUUAUUUCAUGAAUAUGAGAAUGGUAAAUUUGUAAGCAUGAAUGGUAUUAUGGUCAUUGUUCACGACAUGACAAGCAAGUGCGAUAAGGAUGCUAUGUGCAAGUGUGGAAAACCCCGUUUGAACCUUAGGAAUAGUUUAGGAUACAAGUGAGAUGUCACAAAGAAUUAAGAAAUUCGAGCUCGUUGAGCGGUCUGAGUUUGUGAUAUAUGAACUUUUUGAGUGGUCCAAGUUUGUGAUAUGUGCGGCAUCCGAGCUUGUUGAGUGGUCCGAGUUCAUAAUAGAUGCGAUACAUGUAACAUCCGAGCUCGUUGAAAGGUCUGAGUUCAUUAUGGAUGUAUUACAUGUUAUAAGGUAGCUUUGGCUACGUAUGUUUAUGUGGCACUUAUGUGCAAGUUUCCGUGUAUCCAAUAGUAUUCCAAGUGUUCAAUGGGUAUUAUAAUGAAUGAUGCAAUGAAAGACCCGAGAUGGGCAUGGUAAUGAAUGUAAAGUUUGUAACGCCCCAAUUUUCAGGAAUUCUGUGAAUGUUGGCAUAGGUUUAAUUAUGUUAGUGGGCCUCUAGAAGGCCCAAGCUAAAGAUAGAACCCGACAAUUUUAGUUAAUUUUUGUUCCAUAAGAAAAAGCGGGUGAAAUUAUGAAAUAGGACCUAUGUGAAAAUGUUUGAAAAUGCUAUAGGCUAAUUUGUAGUGGCCAAAUAAAUAGGAGUGCAAAAUAGAAGGAUUUGCAUGUCAAACCUUCCAUUUUACAAGUAGUGGCCAGCCAUCAUGUUGGUGGUAGACAAUAUGUGCACUUGAUAUUAAUAAUUUAUGGUACAAAUUGAUAAAAAUUGAUAAUGGGUUAGGAAAAUGUUCCAUGAUGGGCAUGAUAAGCAUUAUGGGCAUUUUUUUUAUUGGAAUUAUGGCAUGAGUAUGACACAAAUAUUAGUAUAUCAUUUAUGUGUCAUAAAAUGUUGAGUGAUAAGAAUAACAAAAGCAAGUAAAGGAAGGUUUUUGUUCAUUCUUUGUUCUUCAUAGCCGAAUUUGAGAGAGAGCAAAUAGGGGAGAAAACCCUUGAAUAUUCGGUCACUAGGAGGAGGAAAAAUUAAAGGUAAGUUCUUGGUACUUUGCUUCUAUUUUGAUGUUCAUGGGUUCUUCUUGAUUCUAUCCUAACUCAUGAAGGAUAUUUUGGUUUUUGGUUGUUGUUUCAUGUUCUUUUGAUGAAAAAUGGAAGAUAGCUGAAGUUGAGCCAAACAAAUGAGCAUGCAUGUGCCUUAGAUGCUAAGGGAAAAAUCGGCUAACAUGUUGUGCUUUAAAAUGAUGAAAUGGAGAUUAUACUUAAGUAAAAUCAUAGAUAUGUGAUGAUUGAUUGGUGAUAUACAUGUUUAAAUAACAUGCAUGCAAGUUAGGUGUGUGAAAGAGUGAUUUGGUAAUAAAUCUGCUUGGGACAGCAGCAGUAACGUGACUUUGGAAAAUCACCAUAAAUUGUGGGAGAUGAGUUAGAAGCUGAGUAAAUUAUGUAAUUAAAUAUUAAUGAGUCUAGUUUCAAAUGAAAUAAACGAGAACAUAUUUUGAAUUCUGUACAAUGAGAAAUUUGAUUCGUAAAGAAGAGUGGUCAGACUAGUCAAGCAGUGAAACAUGGGAAACUUUGAGAAAAAUCUGGUAUUGAUUGGCUAAACCAAAAAUUCUGAAAAUUUUAUGGAUAGAAGAUAUAUGAGUCUAUUUUCAGGGAAAAUUAACGGAACUUGAUUUGGAAUUUCAUAGCUCCAGUUAUAAAUGAUUUAGUGACUAUUUCUCAGGAAGACACCUUGCAGUGAAAUUUUGAUUAUGUGGUAAACAUUGACAAAAAUUUGUUAAUGAGUUGCUUAUUGAUUUCUUAUAAGCUUACUAUGAUUUGUAGGUGUGGUUGGCCGAAUAUGGUAUGGGGUUAAUAUGUAGUUCGUGUUUGAAUAGUUAGAUUAAUGUGUUAGUAAUCCAAUUGUAGGCAGUUCGUGUGUGGAUCUCGUCAGCAUAUCGUCGCAAACAGGUGUGUAACUAACACCCUCUUAUAGACUAGAUCGGCAAAAGCCGAAAAGCAGGUAUUUUGGGAUCUUGCGAGUAUGCUAAUGCUCAUGCGAUUAAUAGUUUGAUGUAUAUGGUAAAUUAAAGUGAUAAGACUGUAGAGUGCGCGAUUCCGUGCAUUUCGAUGUUUUUGGGCUUAAUGGGCCAAAAACGGGAUAAUGGGCCAACGGGCCCAAGUUGGUAAGAAAACGCGGUAAGUGUUUCUGAUCGUACGUAAAUGACUAUGUUAUGUAUGAAAACCUUAAGAAUAGUGAAAUUACUUGAACACCCCUAUGUAUGCAAAAUUACCGUUAUACCCCUAGGGUUAUUUUUUUCUGAAAAGCAUGAUGUUCUGUUUCUGUAUACGUAUGCCAUGACAUAUUAUUUCUGUUGCAUGGGGACAUGGGUUAUAUUAUGGAGGAAGCGUCCUGGUGGCUAUGCCACGAUUAUCUGAUCUGGUGGCUCUGCCACAUAUAUCUGUUCUGGUGGCUCUACCACGAUUAUCUGAUCUGGUGGCUCUGCCACAUAUAUCUGUUCUGGUGGCUCUGCCACGAUUAUCUGUAUCUGGUGACUCUGUCACAUUAUCUGUUCUGGCAGCCAUGCUGCAAAUUCUGUGGUGUGUAGCGGUUGGGUGGGUCGAGUUGUCUCCCCACACGGUGUAAGGUUGGUACGGGGGUGUAUACGGUUGGAUAUGGUUGGGUUUCUGCAUAAACAUGUAAUAUCUGUUCUGUUCUGUUAUGGGCCUAUGGGCUUUAUUUUGAAUUUCUGUUCUGGGCUAAGGCAAACUUAUUCUGUUUCUGUGGUUUGAGCUAAUUUAGACUAUGGUUGGGUUAUUUUACACACUGAGUUUUCCCAAACUCACCCCUUAUUUUUCAUCCACGUAGGUAAACCCCAACCAUAGUGGGCUUGGAGCUGUGAGGGAAUUCGGAGUGGCCACACAUUCUGCAAAUUCCUAUUUUCUUCCGGUGAAUUGGACAUCUUUUCUUUUAUUUUUAUGAUUUGGGUUUUAAGUUGUAAUAAGGCCGCUUAAUUAUUUUUGAUGGUUUUGAUAUGUUUUAUUAAGAUAGGUAUUACUUAUAUUAACUGUUGGAAUUGGAUAGCUUUAGGGCGCGUUUUCAAAAACAGUAAUUGAUUUCAAAAUAACACAACAACAAGCAAAGCUUCCGCAAUGAAGAUAUUUUCCAAAAUUAAUCACUUUUCCUAAAAAGGACUUAAUCAAAUCAGUUUCCUAGAAAUAUACAUGACAUUAAGGUGUGGCAAUGGCUGUGUGCAUGUCUAGGAUUGGAUCUGAAGGGAGCUUGGUACUUAAGCAGUCUGAUGGACUCACCUCCUUUUUUUCGGUUUCCUACCCGAUGCACAGCUUCCAUCCACUUUAACCUAUAAUGAAAUCAUCUUUUAAAACACUAAGUAAGUUUUUCUGGAUCAACAAUAUAAAAUGUUUUGAAUGCUUCGAUGUGGCAUGUCGGAUCCGACCAUAACGUCUGGGCUGGGUUUGGGGUGUUACAAAGUUAUUCGAUAUGCUACGGAUAUGUGCAGGUACGUAUGUUAUACUCAUGAGUAAUGCUUUGUUACAAGAUGAUAUAUGACGAAAAGGUAUAUUCAUAUAUAUAUGAAUAUUUGAUUAAUGAGCUAGAAUGCUUGAAUGAUGAAUAAUCUUGAUGAUCAUGUUAAUAUGUCAUACUAUAAUAGUCAUCAUAAUAUUGCACUAAAACAGUGUUGGACAGCAGCAGUUGUGUGACUUUGAAAAUCCACCAAAAAUUUUUGAAAUCGAAUUAGAAAUUGUAUGAAAUAUGAAAUUAAAGCUUAUUGAAUAUAGUUUCCCAUAGAGGAAACGGUUCAUAUUAUGAGAUAUUUGAACUUUUGUGAGAUAGAAUCAGAGUGAUUUUGGGCUCCCCUGUCUCAACUUUGGAAAAUCACUAAAAAUUGUAAAAAAAUUAUUAUGGGUUAGAAUUUAUAUGAAUAAAUUUUUAAUGAGCCUAAUUUCAAUAUAAAUAUAUUAGAACAUCAUCUGAAUCCCGUACUAAGAGAUAAAAAAUCUUUAGUAAGGAAAGGUUGGAGCUGUCAAAUAGCAGAACAUGGGAGACUUUAAAGAAUAAAUUGUACUUAUUGGAUAAUCCAAAAAUUCUAAAAAUUUUAUGAUAAGAAGAUAUGUGAGUAUAGUUUCAGGGAAAAUUAGCGGAUCUUGAGUUGGAGUUCCAUUGCUCAAGUUAUGAGUAACUGAGUGACUAUGACUCGAGUAAAUAGCUUAAUUGGGAUAUAGUAAAAAUGCAAUUAUGAUUAUAUUACCAUGGAAUCAUGUGGAUAAAUUGCUUAUUAUUUUCAUAUGGACUUACUAAGCUAUAAGCUUACCCCCUCCUCUCCAUUUCUUUAGUGUUGUCGGGUCGGCUCGGGGUUGGAAAUCGUUGGAGGCAGCAUCACACUAUCAAGCUACCACAUUUGGAGUAUUGAUGAAUCUUAAUGUCUUCAAGUGAGUGACAUGUAUAGGGACUUAAUCAUUAUGAUAUGUAUUCUUUUAAUUUGGCCAAGAUGUUAGCUUAAAUUGAUUUGUUGUGUUCAGCCAUGAUAUGUGCUUGUAUGGGUUAUGGCUUGUAAGCCUAUUUAUACAAGCUAUUUAUUGAUGCCUUGUGAUGUGGUCAUGUGAUUAUAAUUGUUUGACAUGAAUGGUUAGUAUUAUGGUAUGUAUGCUUGAUGAAUGUCUUAUGACCAAACGAAGUGGUCAUAAUCAGAAAAUAAAAGUGUGAUAUAGUAAUAAGUCAAUACGGCUUGAACAUGAAAUUGGUGUGGAAUGACUUAGGCAAGCAUGGUAUAAAUGUAUAAGUAAUAAUCAAAAUGACAUGUUCAAUUGAUUGUGAAUUGGUGUGUUUAGACUUGGUAUAAAAUGAGUAAGCAAAACACAUGUAUGAUGAUAUAUGAAUAUUACAAUUGAGUCUUAAUGGAGGAUGUUUAAUAAUUUACUUGAUGCUACAUUGUAUGUAUCUAUAAUGUAUUUAAGUAUGUGAUGUAUUAAUGGCAACAAAAAGUCUUGGAAAAUAGCCUAAGUGCUAGCCACACGGGCAAAGACACGACCAUGUGUCUCAACCGUGUAGAGGACACGGGCAUGUAAUCUGUCCGAUUGGUUCAAUUUUUUUUGCUGACAUCAUAAAUAGAGAGUUACAUGACCUGAGGACACGGGCAUGUUGGAGACACACGGGCGUGUCCCUGUGUCCACAAGGACGUGUGACCCUGUUUCAUGAAAAUUUUUAUAAGUUUCCCAAAAAUUUCUAAAGUUUUCAGUUUAAUCCCUAACCACCCCGAUGUAUGCUUUAGGCCUCGAAGGCCCGAUGAUAUACAUGUAUUUGAAAAGUUUUAACUUUGGGAAAAAUUUUAUGACCCGGGUUUGCAUGUUUGUGAAUGUUUAAGUCCGGUAAUGCCUCAAAACUUGUCCCAGCAUCAGAUACGGGUAAGGGGUGUUACAUUUUGUGGUAUCAGAGCUAUGUUUUAGUCAGUUCUCGGACUAACCUAGCAUGUAUGAGAGUCUAGCUAUACAUGCCACCAGUCCGUGAUAGUGUUUUCUUUUUCGGCAUGAAGGAGAAUCCUCUUGUUUAGACAAAGGUACUCUCCAACCGAGCUACACCGACCAUGUUAAAUGUGAAGCUAAGGUAUUUCGGUAAAGUACAUUUAUGAUGAGCAGAAACUUAGAAAAGUAUUAAUAAAAGUUCAUGAUACGUAUGUGAUAACAUGUGAGAUAAAAGUUUAUGUUGCGAGGAAUACUCAUGCUUGUUUGAUGUUUAUAUGAUAUUGUGCACUUGACUUGUUUGAUUAAGUGAAUGUGAUAAAAAAGAAAUUCAUAAAGGUAUGAAUAAAGGUUUAUAAUAUCAUGUUACGAAUAAAAAUUUCAUUUUCACGAUUGGACGUAGAAUGUUGAUGAAUUUUAACGAUAUCUUUAACUGAGACCAAUGAUUAUAAUGUAAUAAACUUAUCUAUGUUAAAUUGAUGGAUUGAUUCAUAUGAAUGUAAUGAUAUGUAUAUGAUGAAGUGCGAGAUGAAAGUUUAGAUUGUAAUAUGCUUAUCCAUGUUUGUUUGGCCCUCGUAUGAUGUUAUGUGCAUGAGUUGUUUGAGUAAAUGAAAAUGAUUAGUAAUGUUAUUUAGAAUCCAUAGAAUGCAUGCAUAAGUGCACUGUUUAAAUAAGAUAAUUGGGAAGCUCGUGUCAUACAAAUGUGAAUAAUAGUUUGCCUGAAAUGAAUGUUAUGUUUGUGAAACUGUUACUAUGAUGAUGAGAUAGUGCUAUAAGCAUAUGCAUAUGAGAGACGAGUUAGGGGCCUUACAACCCCACCCUUUUACCAGAGUGGUAUUUAUAAAUGAUUUUAUGAGAUCAGUGUUGACUAAGCUCACAAGUAUGAGACCUAAGAGUUCAACUGUAGAAUGAUUACAAAUAUGAUUAGAGAAUGAGAAGGGUUAAUGAGUAGAGGCAUAAUUAGAAUGGUAUCGGAUUGAUCUAAAGAAUCUCUCAGUUUAUACGAUAUCACAGUUGGUGAAGAAGUUAACUUUGGUGAAUAGAUCUAUUCAGAAGCGGUUGAAGGAAUAAUAUUUGAAAGAUAAGAUAUCUGAGUGUGGCAGUUAUAACUGAACAGAUUUUGGCAGUCUCUUCUAAGGUGUUCUAUGUGAAUAUUUGUUCUUAGAGGUAUUCUUGUUGCUAUCUAUCCUCUAACAAAAUUUUAUUGUAUGGGAAUGUUUUCUAAUCAUGAUGUAUAGACGAAAGUAUUGAUAACCUGAUUGGUUUAUAAUCAGCACUGCUCUAUUUCUCUCUGGUAUUCUGUUACAUUCCGUCUGUUGGGAUUUUAUGAGAAAAUGCACAUGAUGCUAUGAUUCUGUUUCAUCUAAUUGAUAUUCUAUUUCGAUAUAUAUAUGGGAAGGUACAUUAUCCUUGUAGCAUUUAAUUCCAUGGGUUUGAAUGAUGUAUUCUUUUGGACUUCUUUUUCUGAGAAAUUAUUGAGAUCUUUCAUAUUUUCUCAAGAGUUCUACUCUUGAUCUAUUGGUACGGUAUCGUAUAUUAGACUUCUGUAUCUUGGAUUUCUUCAUCUUGGAUUUUUCUAUCUUGGAUUUCUUUAUUUUGGUUGUAACACUCCUAGCCCGUAUCCGUCGCCGGAUUAGGGUUAAGAGGCAUUAUCUAACAUAUGACAAUUGAAAUUUUUUUCUUAUACUCAACUAAUAUAUGACAGAUCUGUACAAAUUAAUAAUUCAAAUUCAUAAACAAAACUCACAAACAUCAUAUUUUAAAAUAUUCUUUCAAUGUAAACUCAAACCAUAAAUCAUGUAUGUAUAUGAUCAUUGCCAUUAUACUUAAUGAUGGUGCUCAUAAAUAUGAAUAUACUACCUAACUAACAAUCAAUUAUUUUCAUGUCUCAUACCAAUCUUUAUUUAAUAAUACCUAUGAACUCAUUUGAAUCUUUACUAACACAUAUAAAACAUAAUUAAUCAACUUAAACAAAGGUAGCAUAACAUUUAUUGUUCAUUCGACAUUUAAAAAAAACAUCUAGACACAUUUAAAUAAGGUUUAUAAUAAGAUGCAUGUAUGGAUUAUUACUCACCCAACAUGCAUCAAUUAAUAACUUCCAUACAACCCAUAAUUAAGCCAAUUGAAAUCAUGUUACAAACUUUAUUAAACAAUCACCUAUGUAAUUUAAAUACAUUAUACUAGGGUCGAACAUGCUAUUAAUGCCCAUGCAUAUAAUACGCAAAUUUCCCCAAAGUAAAGGUCACAUUUAACAUUGAAUAUAUAUAUAUCAAGACAAACGACCAAAUUAUUCAUAUAACACCUACAAUACAUACCACAUAUUCAUCACUUAAACUAUAUUACAUAUCAUGUUUCCAUCAUUUUGAAACAUAACUGAACUAUAGUGACAAGUAUCACUCAAAUAUAUACAUAUAUAUUUAGCAAGUUCACAUUCACCAACCUUUGCAUUAUUCCAACCGAUUUGUUUAGUCAAGUACCCUACUCACACAUAAUGUACAUAAUCUCUAAAGUGAACUAAUACACAAUCAGUUACACAUUUUAACUAGCAUCACUAUCAAUUCAAUUCCCAAAAAUGUCACAAUUAACACAAAUAUCUUAUAAUUUAUAACACAUUUAUAAUAGCCAAAACAGAUUAAACCAUGAUCAAACAUAAACAAAUCCAAGCUUAGAAAUUAAGUCAUUUUCGCAUGGCUUUAAUUAUACAUGACCAAAACGUAAUAUUUCAAAAAUAUAUCCAGCCUAUAAAUGCCAUAAUUCGAGUUCAAAUAUUUAAAUACCGAAGCAGUAGAUAGUGUGAUGAACUUUGCUAACGAUCCCCGAGCUUGUAAUAUCACCCAAAAUCUAUAAAACAGAGUAAACAUACACACAUAGAGUAAGCUAUCAUAGCUUAGUAAGUCAUAAGCAAAUAAAAAAUUUAAUGAUAUAACCAAUUCAUUUUAAACUAAACCGAACUACUUAAGCAUUAUUAUGUUUAAUCUCAAAUUACAAAUUUCAUAAAUGAUACUUUUUCGUACAUAAUUCCCUCCUUGGCCGAAUGCUCAUUUAACCAAGCUAAAAUAAUUUACCUUCCAUUUACAAGCCAAUAUGUCAUCAGAUAGUCAAAUAUACAUAUUCUCCUAAUCACAAGUUUAGGUAUCAUAAUAUAUUAUUAUGUACACAUAUUACCUAAAUGGCCGAAUACACAUGGUUACAUAUAUACACAUAACAUGUAUCCUCUCGAAGACAUUCAUAGUAUGCAUAUCAAGAGCGAACACACUUUUAUAAUUAUACACAUUCUAUAUUUACCUCAUAUGUCAAUUGUAACAAACAUUAAGUACUUAUUUACCUUAUCACAAGUAAUAAUAACCUAUUCCAUACCUGGUCAUUUAGCUUAUACAACAUGUACGUUCACAUCUUUUCGUAGCCCGAUGAACCGUUUGGAAUUGGAUAGGAUACUCAGAUAACCACACAUAUAUCGUACAAUGCCAACGUCCUAGACGUGGUCUUACAUGUAAUCACAAAUCGAUGCCACUGUUCUAGACAGGGUUUUACUCGCACACAUAUAUCGGAGUCACAUAUCGAUGCCAUGGUCUUACUGACACAAAAAUAUCGGAGUCCUAUAUCAUGACAUAUGUAUCCUAACUAUUCCUAAGGUUCAUACCGGGCUUCUGGACGUUGUAACUCGGUCGAAACCAAUUCGAAAACAUAGUAAUCAAGCUUAAUCAUAUUCGACUAUAACAUAAAUAAAAUUAUAACUUUCAUUUCAGCAUAUAUAUUUUUCAUUUAAUUAAAACUAAGUAUGUCUAUUUGCUUAUAAACUUACCUCAAACGUUAUAAAACGGAACAGGGCAGCUAGUCGACAACUUUCGUUUUCCCCCGAUCCAAAUCUGAUUUCUUUGGUUCUUGAUCUAAACAUAUUCAACUUAAGCUUAUUCAAACAUAUUUUCAUUAAAUUUAGUCUAAAACACAUAAAUGGGCAACUUACCAUUUUACCCCUGACAUUUACACUUUUUACAAUUUAGUCCCUAUUGCAAAAAACACAAAAUACACAAAAUUUCUCUAUACCCAAGUUAGGCCGAAUAUUACCCAUAUCCAUACAAGCCCAUAUAAUUUAUUUAUUUCAUAUUUUAGUCCCUCAAAUUAUUAUUUUUGCAAUUUAGUCCUAAUUACUGAAAAUCAUCAAAAACUCCAAUACAAAACAUGUUAAUCUAAAACAUAUCUUUCAUAUUUCAUCAUCAAACAACAAAAAUCACAAGCUCUCAACAAUGGCAUAACUCAAAAUAUUCACCAAAACAAAAAAAAAAAUUAAGCAUGGAUUUUGUAGUACUCGAAGCAACGAUCUUAAAAACGUAUAAAUUAUCAAAAACCGAGCUAGACUCUUACCUUGAUUGAGCUUGAAUGAAGCCGAACCCUAGUUCUUUUUCUUUCUUAUUUGUUAUUUCGGUAAUGGAGAAAAGUAUGAACACUAAAGUUAUUUUUUUAUGAUAUGUUAUAUUAUAUUAGUUUAUAUUAUUAGUUUAUUAAAUUAUCCUUAAUGAAAUAAUAUAAAAAUAGUAAAAUAUAUGCCUAUUACUGUCCAGCCAAUAGGCUAAUGGGAUAUUUACAACAUAAAUACUCCAAUUUAGGAAGCCAAUAACAUUUCGACCCUUAUAUUUUAAACUAUCAAAAUUUUAAUUUACGCGAUUAAGUCCUUUUAUUUAAUCGGAUACUCAAACGAUAAAAUUAAAGUAUGAAAAUUUCACAGAUAUAAAUUCACACAAAAUAAACACAAAAAAUAAUUUUAAAAUAUUUUUCUGACUAGGAUUCGUGGUCUCGAAACCACCGUUCUGAUUAGGGUCUAAAUCGGGCUGUUACAUUGGUUUUCUUAUUCUGAAAAUUAUUAAUCAUGACUCGUAUCUAAAGUGUAUACUUUGGCCUAUGAUGACUAUGUCAAUUAUGAUUAUGCCUUUGGGUUAAUAGUAGUAACAUGAUGAUUCUAGUAUUCGGAUUUCUUUAAACUUUGUGUAAGGUUUUGACAUCGACAAAGGCAUAAGUGGUGAAAUUGCUAGUUACAAUUUGCAUGGUGGAUUUCUUUUCUCAAGUAAGUUAAUUGAAGUUGAUGCCUUUAGUUGAGAUAUCCUUGUUACUUGAGUUAAUGCAUUUGAAAUGGUUUUUGAUUAGCAUGAUAAAUGAAUUUUGAUUGAUUACAUGUUAAAUCGUUCUAUAGACUGGAAGAGAGGAUUUCUUGAAAUGUCAUUUAUUGAUAAUUAAGACCAACUUGGUUGUUCAAUCAGUGUUGGUUAUUGUUUGAAAGAUUAAAUGAGAUAUUUAUGUCUGGGAAUAAAAUUUCAUUUCUUUAUGGGUAAAAGACGAAUAGUCUAAAUGAAAAGUGUAUAUUUCCUAGCAGACUUUGAUAUGCUUUAAAGUUGCUAUGAAUGAUAAAGUUAUCACCUUGUGAAAGUUGAACGGUCCAUUGCAUGUUAGUAAAGCUUAGAACAGACGAGAACAUUGUUAAUCAGAACAUUAGACUUGGUUUAGCGUACAUCGGGCAAGAAAUUCUUGAUUUUUCUAUGAUUUGUCGUUAAAAGGAUUGUGAUAUGUUUUGGGACAAAAAGGCAAUGUGAUAGCUUAAUAUAUCUGCUGUCAUGGAAAGAUUUGAGUUUGAGAUUGUUGUUGUAUGAUCUUUGAGAAAACGAAAAUGUGGUUACAAGUGCUUAGGUAGAAAGUCUAAAGCUUAUACAGAGAGUUUGCAAGGAAGCACACGGGAGUAAUGUAUUGGUGUUCAAAUUUUGAACUCGACAGAUCUUUGUGUUUGAUACAUGAAAUGUUAUCAGGGUUAAAGUUGAAUAUCAGGUGAUGUUAGAACGAUUUUCGCCAGUGGUGGUAAUUGAAUGGAAAUGAGAAUGAGAUUACUAUAGAUUUCAUAUCAGAAUUAUUCCUAUCUUUGAAAGAGAAAGAUGUCACGAGACUUGUUGUUAAGUAAUUGAUGAAUCUACAAAUCAUGUCGGUAAGUACUGAAUUUCCGCUCAUUAGACUUAUGGGAUUAAGUAUCUUUGAGAUUGUUAAAUUUCUUAAAAUGUUAGUUUUUAUUAAUCGGAUUGAGAUCCGGGAUUUAUAUCGUGAAUUAUUGAAAAAGCUAAAUGAGACUCUGAAUUUUAAUGAUGACUAGAGGUCGAAUUAGUAAACUGUCGGCUUUAUAAAAUGGUAGAGAACUUAAGGCCGUGAUGAUCGAGCUGGCUACACCAUUUGAAUCUGAGAGGAUUCAAGUAUGAUGUGUAUGUAUAUUCUAUGACGGUAUGGGUUCAACCCUUGUAUACAUGAAAUCUCUGAUAAAAGUCAAGAUUCGAUUGAUGCGUCGCAUAACACAGAAUUGUUCAUGACUUUCAUAUGAGAAAUUAAAGAGCUAAGUAUUAAACAUAGCCUAAGUAAAAAUUCUUUAGCAGUGAUUAUGUGAUAGUGGAGUUUAUGUGUAAACUAAACCACUCUUCUGGUAAGAUUUUUAGGGACGAAAAUCCCUAAAGGGGGGAGAGUUGUAACAUCCCGAAUUAGGACCUAGUCAGAACAGUGGUUUUGGGACCACAAAUCCGACAGAAGAAAACUUAUUUGUAUUAUAUUAUUAUGGUCUACAAUUUCAUGAGAUGAUUUCAUGAAAUUUUCGUUCGAAAAUUUUGACGUUUGGGCACUCAAUUUAGUCAAAAGGACUAAAUUGUAAAAAGUGCAAAAGUUGAGUUCUACAUGUUUGUGGUGUCAAAGAGAUUUGAAAUUUUAAAUUUGAGGUCCUUAAAUGGUAAUUAGACCAUUGGUUAAUUGUUGGACAAAAAUAGACAUGAAAUGGGUGAGAUAGAAUAUUUUUAAGUUAGGGGCAUUUUGGUAAUCUAAUAAUUAAAAGAAUUAAAAAGCCAAAAUAAGCCAAUUUUUGUCCAUCUUCAACCUUUGGCCGAAGUUUUGCAUGGAAUCCAUGGCUAGGGUUUGGUUCAAGCUUCCAAGUUCUUUUGUAAGUGAUCCCGAGCCCCGUUUUUAAUGUUCUUUAAAUUUUUGAAGUCCCGGUAACUUGAUCUAUCUAUUUCUACCAUUAUUUGGAGCUAGGGUUCAUGUUUAAAAAUUUACCUAUGAAUGAUAUGCAUGUGUUUUGAUGUCUAACGGUAGAAAAUGAAUGUUGGGUGUUAAAUAAGCGAGUUUUGCUAUGUAAUUUUCGGUGAAAAUGCUUAAAAGGACCGUUUUGUAAAAGUUACAGAAAUUUCCAUAAAAGUGUGAUUGAGUGGAAAUUAGGAGAUGCUAUAGUUAUGAAAAUGUUUCGGCUAGGCUUGAAGUACAAAGAAAUUGAAUGAAAAUCAUUUUACGAGCAUUGGGGCAAAAGUGCAAAUAUAUGUUUAGGGGUCAAAAUGCAAAUUUGUAAAAGUAUAAUUUUUGGACCCAUAGGAAUAAUGUGACUAAUUAGUAAGCUAAAUGUGAUAUUAUAGAUCAAGGAAAAUGAGAUUCGAGCAUAAAUUGGAAAUGAAUGAGAUUAUGGACUAAAUCAGAAUAAAUAGCCGUGCUUGUAUUCGAGGUAGGGUUCGUAUGUCAAUAAUAAUGCAAUAAUAUCAUUGUUUAUGCUUGAACUUAAAUUGAUGUGUUAAAAUUAUGUGGUGAAUAUUUAUAUAGUUGAUAUGAUGAUUGUAGUAUGUGACAAAUGCCUAAAUGUAAUUAUGAGCAAUGCCAUGUUUAUGUCAUGAAUAUGAGAAUGGUGAAUUUGUAAGCAUGAAUUGUAUUAUGGUCAUUGUUCACGACAUGACAAGUAAGUGCGAUAAAGAUGCUAUGUGCAAGUGUGUAAACCCUCGUUUGAACCUUAGGAAUAGUUUAGGAUACAAGUGACAUGUCACCAGGAAUUAAGAAAUCCGAGCUCGUUGAGCAGUCCGAGUUCGUGAUAUAUGUGAGAAUCCAAACUUAUUGAGUGGUCCAAGUUCGUGAUAUGUAUGGAAUUCGAGCUUGUUGAGUGAUCCGAGUUCAUAAUAGAUGAGAUACAUGUAUCAUCCGAGCUCGUUGAGAGGUCCGAGUUCAUUAUGGAUGUGUUACAUGUUAUAAGGUAGCUUUGGCUACGUAUGUUUAUGUGGCACUUAUGUGCAAGUUUCCGUGUAUCCAAUAGUAUUCCAAGUGUUCAAUGGGUAUUAUAAUGAAUGUUGCGAUGAAAGUCCCGAGAUGGCACGGUAAUGAAGGUAAAGUUAUUCGAUAUGCAACGGAUAUGUGCAGGUACGUAUGUUAUACUCAUGAGUAAUGCUUUGUUACAAGAUGAUAUAUGAUGAAAAGGUACAUUCAUGUAUAUAUAUAUGAAUAUUUGAUUAAUGAGCUAGAAUGCUUGAAUGAUGAAUAAUCUUGGUGAUCAUGUUAGUCUGUCAUCCUAUGAUAGUUAUCAUAAUAUUGCACUAGAACAGUGUUGGACAACAGCAAUUGUGUGACUUUGAAAAUCCACCAAAAUUGUAGAAAUCGAAUUAGAAAUUGUAUGAAAUAUGAAAUUAAAACUUAUUGAGUUUAGUUUCCCAUAGUGGAAACAGUGUAAGCAAAAGAGUUUCAUAGUAUGAGAUAUUGUAACUUUUGUGAGACAGAGUCAGAGUGAUUUCGGGCUCCCCUGUUUCAAAUUUGGAAAAUCACUAAAAAUUGUACAAAAAUGAUUAUGGGUUAGAAUUUAUAUGAAUAAAGUUUUAAUGAGUCUAAUUUCAAUAGAAAUAGACGAGAACAUCAUUUGAAUCUCUUACUAAGAGAUAAUAAAUCUUUAGUGAGGAAAUGUUGGAGCUGUCAAACAACAUAACAGGGGAGACUUUGAAGAAUAAAUUGUACUUAUUGGAUAAUCCAAAAAUUAUAAAAAUUUUAUGAUAAGAAGACAUGUGGGUAUAUUUUCAGGGAAAAUUAGAAGAUCUUGAUUUGGAGUUCCGUAGUUCAUUUUAUGAGUAACUGAGUGACUAUGACUCGAGUAAACAGCUUAACUGGAACAUAGUAAAAAUGCAAUUAUGAUUAUAUUACCAUGGAAUCAUGUGGAUAAAUUGCUUAUUAUUUUCAUAUAGACUUACUAAGAUAUAAGAGUACUCCCUCCUCUCCAUUUCUUUAGUGUUGUUAGGUCAGCUCGGGAUUGGAGAUCGUCGGAGGCAGCAUCACACUAUCAAGCUACCACAUUUGGAGUAUUGAUGGAUCUUAAUGUCUUCAAGUGAAUGGCAUGUAUAGGGACUUAGUCAUUAUGAUGUGUAUUCUUUUGAUUUGGCCAAGAUGUUGGCUUAAAUUGAUUCGUUGUGUUUAGCCAUGAGAUGUGGCUUGUAUGGGUUAUGGCUUGUAAGCCUAUUUAUCCAAGCUAUUUAUUGAUGCCUUGUGAUGUGGUCAUGUGAUUAUAAUUUUUUGACAUGAAUGGUUAGUAUUACGGUAUGUAUGCUUGAUGAAUGUCUUAUGACCAAACAAAGUGGUCAUAAUCAGAAAAUAAAAGUGUGAUAUAGCAAUAAGUCAAUACUGAUUGAACAUGAAAUUGGUGUGGAAUGACUUAGGCAAGCAUGGUAUAAAUGUAUAAGUAAUAAUCAAAAUGACAUGUUCAAUUGAUUGUGAAUUGGUGUGUUUAGACUUGGUAUAAAAUGAGUAAGCAAAACACAUGUAUGAUGAUAUAUGAAUAUUACAAUUGAGUCUUAAUGGAGGAUGUUUAAUAAUUUACUUGAUGCUACAUUGUAUGUGUCUAUAAUGUAUUUAAGUAUGUGAGGUAUUAAUGGUAACAAAAAGGCUUGGAAAAUAGCCUAAGUGCUAGCCACAUGGGCAGAGACACGGCCAUGUGUCUCAACCGUGUGGAGGACACAGCCUAGCAUACGGGCGUGUGAUCUGUCCAGUGGUUCAAUUUGUUUUGCUGACGUCAUAAACGGAGAGUUACACGGUUUGAGGACACGGGCGUGUUGGAGACACACGGGCGUGUCCCUGUGUCCACACGGGCGUGUGGCCCUGUUUCAUGAAAAUUUUUAUAAGUUUCCCAAAACUUUCUAAAGUUCUCGAUUUAGUCUCGAACCACCCCGAUGUAUGUUUUAGGCCUCGAAAGCCCGUAUAAGGGACGAUAUACAUGUAUUUGAAAAGUUUUAAUUUUGGGAGAAAUUUUAUGAAUCGAUUUUGCGUGUUUGUGAAUAUUUAAGUCUGGUAACGCCUCGAACCUUGUCCCGGCGUUGGAUAUGGGUAAGGGGUGUUACAAUAAAUAAAACAUAUUAAACAUAACAAAUAAUAAAUUCAUUGUCACUAAUAAAUCAUUGUGGUUAGAUAAUAUAUAUUUUAUGUAUCAUAGCACAAGAAAAUAAAAAAUAUUAUAAUGUCAUAUUAAAAUAACUUUACAACUAUAAAUGUUUAAAAAUAAACAUUUUGUAACCUCCACCUCUUAUACAUAAUUUCAUUUCAAAUUUUACAAUGAUAUGAAAUUAUCAUAGACAUGAUCAAUAUCACAAUGUUCAAGACAAGAAAGUAUUUUUACUCACAUUCCACAAUAAUCAUAUAUCUUAAUCAAAAUCAAAAUUAAAGCAAUCAAUUCUAUUAAAAAUAAAAAAAAUAUUUAUCUCCACAUAAAAAUCCCAAUAACUAAAUGCAUGAAGGAUUUUAUAAAUUUAUAGAGAUAUGGAUAGUGAAUUAUAUAAAUUGAAAUUUUUAAUAGAAAUCAAAUCAAAUUUCAAAAGAUGUUAAUUAGAUCGACUUUGUUACCAUGGAUGAGAAGUAAUGAUUAUAAAUAUCCUUUGUAAUGAAAAGAAAGAGAUCAUCCCCAAGCAAAUAUCAAAAAGUAGACUUUGAGAGUGGAUCUUAUUUCUCGAUGUAUCAAAUCUUCCACCAUCUUUAUGAACAAAAAGUAAAAUAAGUUAAUCAAAAAAAUGAUAACUUAUAAUGAAAGAGGAAUGAAAAAUAAUAAUCAGAUAUGAAACAUAAAAUAAAAGAAACUUCCUGUAAAAACUUUGCAUCUUGCCGUCAAAGAUAUUGAAAAUCAUGAAGGAUAAAUUUGAUCAUCGAUAAAAGGAACUAUCAUUUUGAGCCAGAUCGUACUGAUAACGUGUUAUAAAAUAAAGAGAGAUGGAGAAAAUAAAGAACAAAUAAAAUAUGAAAACAAUAGAGGAUGUACUUUGUUGAUCAAAAGGGAUGAUUACAAUGCUUCAUUAGAGUCUCUAUUUAUAGGCAUAAGAAGUACAGGAGAAGUAGAGAUCUAAUUCUAAUAACUAUUAGAAUUUAAAGGACAUUAAAACUUUAUAUUGAUCAUGAUGGCCAUUCAAUUAAUAAGAUAUUCAUAACAAAUAUAAUGUCUUAAAAUAUCUAUAUAAUAGGUUUAUGUUUAUGCUUAUUGUUAGAUUUGAGUUAAUAUUUAAUAUUUAAAAUGAUGAAAAUAUUUGAUUAAUUUAAUACUUUAAAAUUUUAAUUGGAAUAUUUUAAAGUUUUAAAAUCAAUUUAAAUUAUGAGUCAUAGUUUUAUGUGGAAUUAACUAUUAGAAUGGGAAAAUGAUGGGCCAAUUUUAAAGGAAAAAAAUUGGAAUUAGGCCAAUUUUGUCAAAAAUUAAGGAAAUAUGUCGUUUUUGGAGAAAUAAGGCAAAAAUACCUCCUAUAGGGCGCGUUUUUAGCUGCCGUGGCAAGAGAGAGGGUGAAAGCUUUUUGCCCCAGCUGAAACACAUCAUUUACGACGCGUUUUUGAAAACCCAUGGCCCUAAACCUAAACCCUAACCUUAAACCUGGGAAUCUCGAGAUAAAAUUUACAUCCAAUCCUUCUUUUACAUGGAAUAAUAGGAAUCUUUAAAAAUAUAAUAAUAAAAAAAAACACUUCUUGUUAGAAGCGUUUUUUUGAUUUGUCAUGUCCAAUCUUUUAGCAUUUUGAAAUUAUGUUUCAUAUUCGAUGGUAGAGUUUCUUAUAAAAUGAAGACAUUCUGCGAAGAGGUUUUCAUAAUUAAACUUCGAACAGAUUGUCUUCAUAAGAAGAUAAGCAUAAGGAGAAGAUAGUUAAUGUUAAAAAUCUAAAGUUCAAAAAUCGAGUCAACAAAGUAAAUUAGUUUAAGGUAAGCGUCAUUGUUUGAAUUUGGAUAAUGAGUACUUAUUUUUCUAUGUAAGGUUUUCGUUUUAAACAUGUGAAACAAACUUUUUUGGCGAAGAUGAGUAGAAAAAUUAGAGUCAUUAUUUAUUACGUGGUCAAAUUUCUGACACGAAAGUAGGGUUUUUUUAUUAGCCUAAUCUAUAGAAUUGGCUUUCAACCGAAGCAUAAAAUUGAACGAGCUUUGGUCCGGUCAAUAAAGGAAAGUGUCGACUUCAAGCUGGAAGAGAAUUUCAAGCUUGAAAUAUGGAUAUCAAAUGUUAUUGAACCCUGUUAGAUAUGAUAUAUUUUAGCUCAAAGAUGACACGAAUGUCGAGAUAAUACUUGAUAGACAUUGCUUUAGUGGAAAUGCUAUACUAGAGUUAUAUGCCCAGUUUGUCGAUGUUGAGGAAGGUGGUUUGAGUUUGACAACAGUUCCAGUAAAUUUGUUUUGAGAAUAGGAAGCAGAAAGUCCAACCACACAGUUGUGCGAUGGUUUCAGAAUAUUGUUACAAAGCUUGGGAAAUGCUGGAAUAACCAAUGGGAAGGUGUUACUCAAUUUUAGUCCUCGAUUUCAACUUUGGCGUACAGUUGGUGUAACCUCCGCAACUUAACCUAGACAUUAUUGCUAAAUUGUAAAGACCACAUAAGCCACCGAUGUGACUAAAUGACCUUUCCCUACUUUGAAAACCUUAGUUACUCUCUUUUAAGAAAAAACACAGUUUGCUCUUGUGUCAAUUUGAAAAACAUUCAUUUUAUAAGUCAACUGUUCUUAAGUCAUUUUCUUAGAGAUAGUGAGGUUUUAGAAAAAAAAAACAUGUUGUGCGUCAUUUCAUCCAAAAAAAUUCUAACAACUUUUGUUGCAAUGAAAAACUUAGUUCAUGAAAAAUUUUAGUUAAGCCAAGUAUCAUGCAUUGUCUGAUUUCAGAACACAUAUUUAAAUCCAAUCAAUGAUAUGAGUAUGCAUGCAUAAAACCCUAAGAUGAAGAAAAACCCAAACCACAGUCCAAAACCAAAUAAACCUUAAUAAAAUUUUAAGCAAAAGAAAUGUUUAGUAUGAAGUCCAUCGUAUGUCUGCAUGCCGAGUCCAUUCCUAGUCUCGAGCAUUACUUGAUAUGUUUGAAACUAUGGGGUGAGCUAACUAGCUCAGUAUGAGUCGAAAAUAAUAUAAACACUCAAUUAAUCAUACGGAUAACAAAAACCAAUUUAAUAUAACACAAAACAUAGCAUUAAUCAUUAUCAUUUGAGUGUGACAUGGACAUAAUACAAUGCAAAAUUAUUCUUACCCAACCAUCUGCUACACUCUACGAGUUCCCCAGAACCCGUCUGCCAAUCUCCAAACAUUGUGAGCUAUGCUCGAUGUGGUUAAACCACCAUGAUAUACAAUGUAGUUAUACUGCCAAUCAUUAUACGAUAUAAUCACUAUUCUCCUUAUUACUCCUAGUUUAGUGUACUGAAAACAUAAACGUGGACUUAAUCUAUCACCGUUACUCCAUGAAACUCCUCUAUCAUCCACAAUAUCUCACCCCAUGCACAUGCAUUAUGUCAUACAUGAUGCAAACAAGUACUUGUUUCCAUGACAAUUACAUUUCAGUGGCUUGCUUUACACGCCUUCAUUAUAUCAUUCAUUUCCAUUCAGUGGUUACACUUAUCAAGCUUUCAAUUUCACAAUCAAUUCGAUGACAGUCUAACAUGCCUUAGUUUCAUAAUUAUUUUAUAAGCAAUUUAACAUGCUACAAAAGCAAUUUUCUAGUGUAUGUAUAACAACUUUCAAUUAGUUUGUUCCAUGGCAUCUCACUCAAGUAUACAGUUCAAACUUUCAUUCCAUAAUAACACAUGCUAUACAAACAACCAACAAUAUUUAAUAAUCAACCAAUCAUGUUAUAUCAUAUCAUUUCGAAACAAUUAGUUUUGUAUUCACGUUAUUUGUUAGGGCUCGAAAUUUACCUGGUUCGGCCAACUUUAAAUUACUUAUUUAGUAAUUUAAUGAAGCUUAUCCAGCAAGCUUAAUUACCACAUGAAAUAAUAAAAUACUUAUUUAACAUUUAUCUUACUAAUUUAGAACCCACACCUUGAUUUUGAAAAUCACAACAUUAAAUCGUAAAAUUUAUACUUUUGCUCCUAAGCCUUAGGUGAGCCUAUAUCCAAAAUCAAAACUUAAUACGAUAAUAUACGGUUAAUGACCAGACUUACAACAUCCAAAGGGGUUCUACCAAAGCAGUGUUACAAACACAAAUUUUCAUAUUCAAAUUAUCAAGCGAACUUACACUGUAUUGAUACAAAACGCAAGUGCGAAAAAGAUCUGCAGCAACUAUUGAUCUGGGUCGUUUAAACCAACAGUUAAACAUAAUUAAUACAAAAAAAUUAGUAACCAAAAAAUCCUAUUCAGACUUUAAAGCAAUUAGCCAAAGAAAAAAAAUUAUUAACAAAGCGAAACAGUGCAAGAUCUUGCAUAAAUCUACACUUUGCACUACCCAUUACCUAGAUUAUAGUUGUUGGAUGAUCAUUUUGGUUAAUUACUCAAUUAGGAACAUCUAAAUUAGAUCCAAAUAGGGGGAAAAAUCCAAAAAAUUAAAAUAGUAGGGGCAACAUCUGAAGAGAAACAACAAUCCCAAAACAAUGAUGUUUUAAGGGGUGGCAACACCACUUGAGACGACAAAAAAGGUAGAUCUGGGGUGGCACAAGGAGGGAUAAUAACCAGUAAAGUGGCUGGAAAAAUAAGGGUAAAAUUUUAGCAAAAGGAAGCGACACAACAAUGGUGAAAUCCUAGAGAAAAGAAAAAAAUUCGAGAGGAGAAGAGCGGUUAGGGUUAAAAAAAUGACUAAAUGCUAAAAAAUAAGUGAAAAAGUGGUAUUUAUACUUAGGUUACUAAUCUUGGGCAGCACAAAAAUAGGGGGAAGGAGAAAAAUUACCAAAAUUAAGAUAUUUUGCAAGAGAAAGGAAUUGAACUCGAGUCCUUGAUCUAAUUACACUAUUUACUUAUUUUCUUUUAACCACUAAGCCAAUUACUCAUCCUUAGAACACUUUUACAACCUUUAAACCAUAAAUUUGGGAUGUUACAGUCGGGGUUAGUUGGUAACUCGAACUUGGAGACCUAGGCUCUAAAUUCUGUGAGUGCUUUUAAUUUCUACUUCGAAACACUGAUGUUUUAUGAUAGAAACACUUGUGCAUGUAUGCCAUCAAGUUACACGGGUGAACAAUUCAGAAGUAAUAUUGGUUUUAACAUAAUGUUGGCGAGAAUGGAUAAUGUACUCCUUACAACCUACAUCGACGAAGGGACAUCCAACUAGGUUGAUAGUGAAGAGGAGGUUGAGAAUGAAGAGAACAAAAAGGGAGCUAAGAACGAAGAUGAAUCUAAAAUCGAUGAUGAUCCAAUCCGAGAGUCUGGGCCAGAUGGUUCAAAAAUUGCAUUAUUUUUUUAACUAGAGGUCGUUCCUACUUAACUAGAAAGGAAUGGUUCUAACGAUGAAGGCCUGGAAAAUGCUAGAGGAACCCAUCCAGAUUUUACGACAUAUGCACCUCCAUCGCACAUGCUUAAUGUCAACCUUGAUGCUGAAGAUGGGUUAGAAUUUCCAGAACUUCCUUAUAAAAGACUGGACCAUGCGAGUUCUUUUACAAAUUUAGAAGAUUUAUAAGUUGGAAUGGAUUUUUCCUCUAAAUAUGCUUUUUUUGUUGUAAUGAAGCGGUAUAACAUAAAGCAUGGGUCAACUUUUAUGUUAAAAAAUCACGAGCCAAAAAAUAUGAGGUGAAGUGCACAAUGCAUGACAAUAGAUGUCCAUGGAAAAUAAAAGAAAAUGGAAAAGAUGCAUAAUGGGUGAGAUAAAUCAUUGAAUGAUUUGUGGCAAUGGUUGAAGGUACUGAAUCAGUAUGUUCCAAGUAUCAUCAAUCUUGUGAAGUUUAUCGAGUUCCUGGUGUGAGGGCAAAAUAUUUUGCACAAACCCAAACUGCUGCAUCGCUCAGUCAGAUUAAUGCAUCUCAACUAUUGAAAAAACUAUCAAUGACACAUUGACAUGUCAAAUAUUAUGAUUCGUCAAAAAUUUGACUGAGAUACAUUCUUGAAUUCUCAGAUUAGAGUACGACAUCCAUUCAAAUUAUAGUCUAAAAUUAUAAAUUUUAUUACGUACCUAAUAUUAAAUUUCAAAUCCUUACGUAAUUAUUAUAUAAUUGAAAAUUUUAAAAACUAACCUUGGCUUCUGAAUAUUGAUCUAACAAUAACCAUAUGUCUUCGAGCUCGUUUGGUAUACCCUCAAGACUUGCAUCAUUGUUCCACCUAUUCAAAUAAUAUGUUAUUUCAAAAAUAUAAUAAUAAAAAAAUAAUAUGACAACUACAAUAUUAAAUGAAGCUUACCUUAUUACAAGUGCGAAUUGAUAAGAGAAGUUUACUUGGGGAGGUAAAAAUGGUAUGCAAUAGUAUUUCCAUGACUGAAGAAGGAAAAUACAGCCACUAAUUUUAAUUUUCUGUGCUUUAGUUCCCUGACACAUCUCUCGGUACAAUGUAGUCAAGAUAUUCUGAUCCCCAAUUGAAUCGCUCAGCUUCUUUUAAGUUGAUUAGUUGUAGGAGCCACCUUAAAUGUACCAAAAUUUGAGAUUUAUCUAGCAUUUGAAGACCCUUGAUCAACCUCAGCAUGAAUGCUCGAGAGAAUUGUUGUCUUUCAAUUACACUAGAAGAGUUGUCAAGAUGUGAGAAAUUUAUCUGGCUACCACUACACUUGUCCGUCACCUUGCCUGAUAGGUGGUGGUAAAUUGCGCUCUAAUUGCUAACAUGCACUACCACUAUAAUAACUGACCCAUCAACUAGUAAACCGAGUUGUAGUUCCACAUCCUCAAGUGUAAUCAUACACUCACCACACGAAAGAUGGAAUGUGUGUGUAUCGGGUCUCCAUCUAACACUCCAUGAUAGGUGCUAAAAGUAACAUGUUUUAACCUCAUUCUUAAUGCAUUUUUGGGUGAUUAUUCAAUAUUAAUGGUGAAUUUUAUGCUCCUAAUCCUUUAAAUUCAUAUUUUUAUACUUAAGAGAGCAUUUGGGAGUCAAAAGAGUGAAAAAAAAGUGAAAAUCGAAAAAUCAGAGCAAGUUAUAGGAGCCACAAGGGCUGACCCAUUCCAUACGGCCUGUGCACAUUGCCGUGUGAGCCACAUGGCCUGCCACACGACCAUGUGGCAGAUCGUGUUGAUUUCAUGAAUUGCACCCAAAUAGUGGGAAAAAAAUGCAAUUUUUAGGGUUUUUGGGGCAUUCUAAGACCUAUAUCUGACAAAAAUAAGAAGAUAGGAGAGAGUUGUUAUAGAAUAUUCAAGAAAACAACUCAAAAAAUACCAUUGAAGUGAUUCUAAAGCAGAUUUCCAUCAAGAUUGAAGAUUCCUUUUCGAUUUCUUUUGAUAUUAUUAUGAGGUUCUUUGUUUCUUGUGGUUAUACAAUGUUUUAGAUGUUUUUAUUUGCAUGUAUGAACUAAUUUCCUAAAUACCUAAGGGAGAUGAACCCUAUGAUGGAUUCUGUUGUUUUAUUUUUAUUUUACACAAUAAAGACUUAGAUCUUUUUCUCAAUUAUGUGUACUUAAGUCUUAGUUUAAUAUUUAUAGAUUAUUGAUCUAUGUUUGAUGUGCUUAAAUUAGAGGAGUUAUUUAAGAGUAGAUCUAGCGUAAUUGAGUGGAGUUACAUGCAAUCCUAGAAAUAUGAUGACAUAAAUCUACCAGAUUAGAGUCAAAUCUAAUAGGGGAAUCCAUAAAUCGAGUUAAUGUUAUAACAGGGGUUUUAAUUAGAAAUAAAUUUCAAUUAAUCAACCUAGAUUCAGAUGCUCUUAUUCUUAAAGAGAGAUAUUAACAUAAUUUUGGGAUUUCUACGGAUCAAGAUACUAAGUGAAGAAAUUGCGUAAUUUAGAUUGAUAAUGACAGAUGAAGUCUAGGCGAAUUCUUUCCUGGGUAUUAUUUCGCUUCUUGGUUAUUAUUCGAUUAUUUUCCCAAUUUGUUUUUUUUUUGCAUUGGUAGUUAAUUAUUUUAGUUAAUUUUAGUUAUCAAUCAAUCGCUCCAAUUAUUCGGUUAAAUAAUAGAAAGAUAGUAAUUACUAGUACUUCUAGUCCUUGUGGGAAUGAUAUCUUUGCUCACCGUAGCUAUACUAAUAAUUGAUAGGUGCACUUGCUUUAGUUGGAUUUUUAGUUAGUUUACGAUUUCAUCACCCCAUACCUGACCUAAUCACUGAGUCCAAGCUACAAAGUGCCACAUUAAUUGCCAGAGCAACUACGAUAAAAUUACAUUUGAUAUAAACCAUUAAACUUUAAAAUAUAAUUAAAACAAGUGUAUAAUAUGAUAUUGAUCUUCCGUAAUUUGAUACGUCAAAUUAGGCUCUCCAUUAUACUUAAAGAGCUUAUUCUCAAGCAAUUUAGGUGUAUUUUUGUUACUUUUUUCAAUUUUUAGUUUUUAUCGUUAAUGAAGUAUUUUUGUUAGUUUUAUGGAGUUUUGAGACUCAAAUUGACCAAAUGUACCAUGGGGAACCUAACAUUAUAAUUUAGUGUAGGAAGUUGGUAAUGGCCCAAACAUGAAGAAAUCAUCUUUAGGAGGGGGUAUCAAGAUAUUGAGCCAUGGAGAAUGUGAUAACCCUAAUAGUGUUGAAGUGAAGGAAAUUAAGGCCAACUCCAAUGAUAUCUUGAUACCGAGGAUGGGUAUCAGACUCCCAAAACUCUCAAUUGCAUUAUUGUUUUGGGUAUCGUGAUACCGAAGUGCGAUAUCGCUACCUGAAAAGUGAAAAAAUACAGGGGCAAUUUUAUUUCCAAACAAGAUUAAGUCUUUUUUUUUCAUUUAAGGGCAUAAUGGUCAAUGUUAGGUUAAAUAUUAGUAGACUAUAAAUGUAACACCUUACACCCAACUCGACUGUCGGGUCUGAGCUACAAGAUGUCACAUUCAUAGCCGGAGUGACUGUGAUUAAUUUUAUUCAACUUUAAACCAUUGUAAGAUUUAAUUCAAUCAAAUGAACAUUAAUCACAAUAACCAACCAUUUACGAGAUUUAUAUGAUGAGCUUACAAUAGCUCCUAGAACAAAUCCGAGGUUGAAUAGAGAUCAAACAUCCAUCAUAUAAUAAUAAAUUCAAUAGGCGUAUUCACUUAAGAACAAACCAAACUAGACUUAACUAGGUACAUGCCAACUUAGAAUAAAAACAGAAUAUAAAAAUAUUGAUGAGUUCGGGAUUGUUGACUGAAUGCUAAAGUUGUGGUUCAAAUAUCUUGAAUUAUACCUAAACUGUGCACGAAUAACAAACCGUAGGUUGAGCAAUGGAACUCAAUAGUAUUUCUAUGAUUUAAAUAACAAAAUUUCAAGUUGAGAAAAUUGUAACAUCAAACUAAUAUGUCAUUUAUAUCAAGUGGAAAACCAAUUCAUUUAGCAUUGCAAAAGAAAUGAUCUAUAACACCCCUUACCUAAGUCCGAGGCUAGGACUGGGCAUGAGGCAUUACCAUACUUAAUCACAUGCAUACAAUCGUUUCCAAGUCACCAAAACUUAAUCAAAUUCAAAGCUCUUUCGAACUUUGUUUAAACUCUUUAAAUGUGGGCCUACAAAGCCUCAAACUUUCAUUAGAAACCAUUUGGAACCAACUCGGGUCCUUAAACCGUCUAAAUAAAAAUAACUCUUGAAACAGGGCACACGCCCAUGUGGAAGGGUAACACGCCUGUGUGGUCAUUAUAAUAUGGCCGUAUUGAUGGCUCGUGUGACACACACGGCCUAAGCACCUAGGGACACACCCAUUUCCCAUACCCCUGUGAAUUUAAUUCCAACAUCGAACCUACAGGGGUUUUCACACGGCCUGACACACGCCUGUGUCUAUGGCCCGUGUCCCUCACAUGGCCAUGACACGCCCGUGUCUAAAAAUCUUAACAUUCUGUUUCUGACUUCAGCAAUCCUUAAGGGUCACAAGGCCAAGGCAUACGUCCGUGUGCUAGGCCGUGUCCUUCACACGGCUGAGACACACGGUCGUGUCUCUACCCGUGUGUUUACUACCAUGCAUACUGAUUUGAAAUUUCUACAUGCAGGGGACACAUGGUUGGACAACACGCCUAUGGGGCUGGCCGUGUGUCACACACGGCCUAGACACACACCCGUGUGUCUAGCCGUAUGGACAACAUAGGGCUUGGUCCAAGCCCUUUACCACCCUAAAAAACAAAAUAACAACAUCCAUCAUGCUAAAGAUUAUCAUAAUAUGAUUCCCAUUCCAACAACCACAUCUAAGGCCUUCACACAUUUCAUUUUUACUAAAAAAACUAAUAAAUUACCCAUUCAUGAAAUAACUUAUUGUAUUCAUAUAACAACUUUCAACUUUAGCCAUUUUCGUUGCCUUAUACAAAAUGAAUCAAAAUGCUAAAAUAAGCCAACACAUUUGGCCAAUUAACAAUGACACAAAAUUUUAAAGUCAGGGUCCUAUACAUGCCAUAAUCAAAAUAAAUAGAUCUAACUAUAUCAAGUGCUUCGAUUGAUAGUGUGACCGAUGCCCCCGACGUCCGUUGAUCCACGAGCUAAUUAGGCGGCACUAUAAGAAAAUGGAAAGAAAUAGGGUAAGCAUAAAGCUUAGUAAGUUGCAUGCAAUAAAUAUAACAACAACUUUCCCAUUCAUCAUCAUGCUCAUAGUACUUAAGUAGGCAUAAGCACAACUUACUCAUCACUAGCCAAUACAUUUCACAUAGCAUAUAUUGAGCUCACAUCUCAUACAUUUCAAAUAGGUACCUGUACCACUCAUAACAUGGUUUUUAACUUAAAUUGUGACUCUCACAGUUGAACCAUUUGGAAUGCUAUCAGAUAUUCAUUAAGCCUCAAACAUAGGGUGUAAUGCCGAUUCCAUGUCCCAGACAUGGUCUUACACUGACUAUCAAAAUUGAGGCCGACGCCAUGUCCCAGUCAUGGUCUUACACUGGCUCUCACAUCUCCGUGCCAAUGCCAUGUCCCAGACAUGGUCUUACACUGGCUUUCACAUCUCCGUGCUGAUGCCAUGUCCCAGACAUGGUCUUACACUGACACAUCUCGUAGCUGACGCAUGUCCCAGACAUGUCUUACACUGGCUUACAUCACGAGACCGAUGCAUGUCUCAGAAAUGUCUUGCACUAGCUCUCGUCUUAAUGCCAAUGCCAUGUCCCAAAUAUCAUCUUACACUGGCUCUCACAAUGUGGUCGAUGCAUGUCCCAGACAUGUCUUACACUAGCACACAAAUAACCCGAAUGUCAUGGCAUGAAUAUCUGAUUUAUUUCCUAAGGUUCAAACGGGAAUUCUACCAUCUCAAUAUUCAACAUACAUAAUCAUUUCCAAAAACAAGCAAUUUAUGCUACGUCAGUUCGAACACAUAUAAUAACAAUGUAGUUGUAUUAUUUAUAUACAACUUACCUCGGUGCUUAAAAUGUGGCGACUAGUUCGGCUUAGCCACUUGUUUAGCUUUUCCCCGGUUUAGGCCCGGAUUUUGUAAUUCUUGAUCUAGAAUGAUAAAAAUUUACGAAUUUAAUCAUUUUAUUAAUAUAGAUACUCAACAAUUUAAAAUUGGAAAAAAUGACCAUUUUGCCCUAGACUUUUGUGAAAAUGACUAUUUUACCCCUAGGUUCGAAUAUUGAUUUUUAUCGAUUUCUUUAUAUCUUAAGUCUAGUCGAUUACUUUUUACACUAGAAGCAGUCCAAAAUUCUCAAUAUUUCACACCUUUAUAACCUAUUUUACAACUUAUGCAAAAUGGUCAUUUUUAGGGUUUUCAUGAGAAAUCUCUUCACAAAAGUUGUUUGCUUCACAACCGUGGUUCAUUUUCUUCCAUAAAAUUUUAGAAAAAACAUGUAUACUAUCAUGGCAAAACCCUAGACUUUCAACCAUUUUGAAAAAUAGUUCCCUCAUUUGAAUGCUCAUGAUACAAGGAUCUCAAAAGUAUAAAAAUAUUCAAGAAAAGCCCUCAAAAUCACUUACUUGUAGAGAGACUAAGUGGAUGAAAUUUCAUUGUCAAAAAAUCCUCUAAUGGAUGAUAUUUUCAAUGAAAGAAGGAAAGGUAAGAAGAGAUGGCAACAUUUUCUUUUAUUUUAUUUCUAGACAAUAUUAAGUCAUCAAUUUACCUAACCCUUUGACUUGAUGAAUUUUCUUGUCUCAUGGCCAGCCAAGCUAAAAUCCAAGGGUCUAUUUUCCCUUUAAAGACCCCUAAUUUAAGUGUCAUGGCAAUUUAACACCUUUACCUAUCAAUUCAAAACUUUUGAACUUUAUGCGAUUUAGUCCUUUGUCGCGAUUAAGCUUACAAACGCUAAAAUUACUUCACCAAAUUUUCCAUGCACUAAUAUAAACAUGCUAUAACUCUAAAAUACUAAUAAAAUACUUUCUUUGAAUUUGGAUUGGUGGUAUUGAAACCACCGUUCCGACUGAGCCCAAAAUCGGGUUGUUACAAUUCUCCCCCUUAAGAAUUUUCGUCUUCAAAAAUCUUACUGGUGAAUAGAUUUAGGUAAUGGUCUCUCGUUGUUUCUUCAGGUUCCCAUGUGGCUUCCUUAAUUCCAUGUCUAUGCCAUAAUACUUUUACAAGUUCUAUACUCUUAUUCCUCAACUUUUUAACCUCUCGAGUUAAAAUCUUAACCGGUUCUUCACCAUAAGUCAUAUCCGGCUGAAUUUCAACCUCAGUUUGUGCGAGCAAAUGCGAAUGAUCCAAUCUAUAUCGGUGUAACAUGAACACAUGAAAUACGUCAUGAAUAUUUUCCAACUCUGAGGGCGAAGCCAACUAGUAGGCAACAGGCCCCACUCUCUCCAUAAUCUCAUAAGGUCCUAUGAAACGAGGACUUAGCUUGCCCUUUCUACCGAAUCUGAGGACUUUUCUCCAUGGAGAUACCUUCAAAAAUACCUUAUCACCAACUUGAAACUCGAUCUCUUUCUGUUUCAAAUCAGUAUAGGAUUUCUGUCUAUCUGAUGCAGCUCUCAGGCAAUCACGGAUCACCUUAACCUUUCCUUCAGUCUCUCUGACUAAGUCAACUCUGUGAAUCUGAUUCUUUCUCAACUCGAUCCAAUAUGAAGGCGUUCGGCACUUACACCCAUACAAAGCCUCAUAGGGCGCCAUUUUCAAACUCGACUGAUAACUAUUGUUGUAGGCGAAUUCCACCAGUGGUAAAUAAUUUUACCAACUGCUUUGGAACUCAAGAAUACAACACUGCAACAUAUCUUCUAAGAUCUGAAUUACUCUCUCUAAUUGUAUGUCGGUUUACGGGUGAAAUGCUGUACUAAAAUUUAGUUUCAUUCCCAAUGUCUCUUGUAAAUUCUUCCAAAACCUUGAGGUAAACCUUGGAUCUCUAUCCGAAAUAAUUGAUAAGGGCACCUCGUGAAGUCUCAUUUUCUAUGAAACAUGCAAAUCAACCAAUUUCUCAAGGGAGUAGUCAGUACGCACUGAUAUAAAAUGUGCUGACUUGGUAAGUCUAUAAAAAACGACCCAAACAGAAUCCUUUUUCUUUGGCGUCAAAGGCAACCUUGUCACAAAAUCAAUGGUUUCUCGGUCCCAUUUCCACCCAGGAACCAUCAUAGGCUGAAGCAAACCCAAGGGUACUUGAUGUUCGGCCUUUACUUGUUGACAAACUAGACACUUAGAGACAAACUCAGAAAUGUCUCUUUUCAUUCCCGACCACCAGUACAUUUUCUUCAAGUCAUUGUACAUUUUCACACUACCCGGAUGGAUAGAUAAGCAACCACUAUGUGCCUCUCGUAAAAUCUUCUGAAUGAGCUCCUUAUCCUUGGGUACACAGAUCCUGUCUCGGUAUAUCAUACAACAGUCAGUAGUAAUACGAAAUUCUGAUUCACAUCUCGUCUUACACUGAGCCAUUUUAGCUUACAAGUCCUUAUCACUUUUUUGAGCCUCACAAAUCUCUUGAAGGAACAUAGGUCUAGCUCUCAUCUCGGCUAGAAUUGAGCCAUCAUGAAUCACAUUCAGCUGAGUAUUCAUAGCCCUCAGGGCGAACAAUGAUUUCCUACUUAAAGCAUCGGCGACUACAUUCGCCUUUUCGGGGUGGUAGUCAAUCACCAACUCGUAACCCUUUAUCAACUCCAACCACUUUCGUUGUCGUAAAUUCAGUUCUUUCUGAGUCAUCAAAUACUUUAGACUCUUAUGGUCAGUGAACACUCGGCAUCUCUCGCCAUACAAAUGGUGUCUCCAAAAUUUCAGCGUGAACACAAUGGCGGCCAACUCGAAAUUGUGCGUCGGGUAAUUCUUCUCGUGUGGCUUUAGCUGUCUCGAGGCAUAUGCUAUCACUUUGCCUUCUUGCAUGAGUAUGCACCCCAAUCCAUUUAAGGAGGCGUCACUAUAUACCAUGAAUUCUUUCCCCGAUUUUGGUUGCACUAGAACAGGAGCCUCGGUCAACACGGCCCUUAAUUCUUUGAAACUUUGUUGGCACUUCUCUGUCCAUUCAAACUUGAUGUCCUUUUGUUACAACUUUUUCAUUGGAGUAGCUAUUAUUAUGAACACAUUUAAAAAUAUUCUUUAGUAUCCAGCUAAACCCAAAAAGCUUCAAACCUCUGCCACAUUCCUCGGCGAUUUCCACUCAACAAUGGCUGAGAUUUUGUUUGGGUCAACUCUGAUUCCAUCUCCCGACACAAUGUGUCCCAAGAAUCUGACCUUUUUAAGCCAAAAUUCACUCUUACUGAACUUGACAUAUAACUGCUUAUCUCUCAAGGUUUGUAAAACCAUUUUCAAAUGUUCCGCAUGUUCACUCUCAUCACGUGAGUAAAUCAGUAUGUCGUCGAUAAAGACCACCACAAACUUAUCCAAAUACAGCUGAAAAAUGCGGUUCAUAAAUUCCAUAAACACCGCAGGGGUAUUUGUUAAACCGAAGGGGAUAACAAGAAACUCAUAGUCCCAUACCUCUCUUAAAUGCGAUUUUAGGUACAUCUUGCUCCUUAACCCUUAGCUAGUAGUAGCCAGACCUUAAGUCGAUCUGAGAAAACACGGUGGCUCCCUUCAACUGAUCGAACAAAUCAUCGAUCCUUAGCAAUGGAUACUUCUUCUUCACAGUCAUCUUGUUGAGCUGUCUAUAGUCUAUACAUAACCUCAUCGACCCAUCUUUCUUCUUCACAAAAAGUACCGGAGCACUCUACGGGGAAAAACUCGGUCUCGUAAAGCCCUUAUCAGUCAAUUGUUGUAGUUCAACCUUCAACUCCUUCAACUCCGUAGGAGCCAUUCUAUACGAAGAAAUCGAGAUGGGUGUCGUAUCGGGGACUAACUCAAUUCUAAAUUCAACUUCCCUCAAUGGAGGCAGUCCAUGUAAUUCUUCCAAAAACACAUCCGUGAACUCACAUGCCACUGGUACGGACUCAAUCUUCAAUUCAGAUGCUUGGGUAUUCAAUAAAAAGAUGAGAUAGGCCUCAUAUCCCUUUCUUAAAUAUCUCACUGCUGAUAUGGAUGAUAUCAUCACAGGUAAGUCAUCUGUUCUACCCGAUUCAACUCGAAGAACAUCCCCGCUUUUGCACUUCAACUAAAUAACUUUUCUCCCACAGUCCACUACAACACUAUGAGAAGUCAACCAAUCUAUCCCAAAGAUUACAUCAAAUUCAUUAAACAAAAAUAACAUCAAGUUAGUCAGAAAACAGUGACCUCUAAUUGCCAAAGGACAAUUCUACACACUUGGUCAACUAGCACAUGUCUGCCUAAAGGGUUGGACACUUUUAUCACAAAUUCAGUGGACUCUACUAGCAUGUUCAUACAGGGUAUCAAUUCCAUACAAAUAUAAGAGUGGGUAGAUCCUGGGUCAAUUAAAGAAACAAUAGAUAUAUCAUGGAUAGAAAAGGUACCCGUGAGCACAUCGGGAGACUCUGCCUUUUCACGGGCACGUAUAGCAUAAGUCAUUGCAGGCGUUCUGCCCUCGGACCUCACAGCUGCAUCUCUAGGUGCACCUCUACUGCUAACUCCACUUCCCAUGUUCUUAUAUGGUCUAACUCUUGAAGGAACGUUACUCGAUCUUACGCUUUGAUCCUUAUCUUUUUCGACCAUCUCAGGACAGCUACGAAUAAAAUGGUCCAACGACCACAUUUAAAAUAGCCUCUUUCAUUUCCUCAGCAUUCACCAAAAUGACAUCUGUCGCACUGUGAACAUUUUGGUCUAUUCGGGCGAGCGCUACCAACAGUCGCAGUAGAAGUAGUUUGGGCUUUUGUUACCAUGUACUGCUUAUUCUUGCUCUCGUUCAAGAACUGCAUUAAUGCGUUUGAUCGAGUAGGAAACUCUCUCGAUCUCUUAGAUGAGGAUUCCUGUGAUUUCCCCAUCUUUCUUUUCAUUGAGUCUUGGGACUCGAUUCUGCCUUUCUCUUCUCUUUGGCCAACUCCUCGGCCUUGCAAGCUCUUUCAACCAGUACCACAAACUCCCUCAACUCUAGGACACCAACUAAUAAACGAAUGUUUUCAUUCAGAUCAUCUUUAAAACUUUGACACAUGAUGGCCUCUGUAGAUAUACAUUCUCGUGCAUAUUUGCUGAGCCUCACGAACUCGCGUUCAUAUUCUGUCACAUCAUACAGCCUUGCUUUAGUUCUAAAAAUUAUUUCCUUUUCUGGUCUAUAAACCUCUGGCUAAUAUACUUAUUUCAGAACUUUUCCUGAAAGAAUUCCCACGUUAUCCGCUCUCUCGGUACAACUAAGAUGAGAGUAUUCCACCACUGAUAAGUCGAAUCUCGUAAGAGUGACACUACGCACUUCAUACACUCUUUCGUUAUGCAUGAUAAUUUAUCAAAUACUUUAAUGGUAUUUUCCAACCAAAACUCGGCCCUCUCUGGGUCAUCAUCGAUAUUUUCCCGAAAUAUUUUGGCCCCAUAUUUACGUAUUCUGUCCACUAGAGGUUUCUCUCUCCUAGCCAUCUUUGUUCCUUGAGGAGGUAUAUGAAUGGGUUGAGGAAUUAGGGGAGGUGGAGUAUUCAGAUUCGCUCGAAUAAACUUCGGUUACCACACAUCCAUCAUAUGGAGGUAAGCUUCUCUAGCCUCUCCACCCUGACUCAUUAUCACGGGCCUACUAUCAACUAGCGCGGUCCCUUCAGUGGGAACCGGCGCAUUACUUUCCACAUCAUCCGCCAUAGCUAUGUCAGGAUCCAUUUACUAUAUGAAAAACAUAAUUUACAAUCAUCAGGGGUCGUCAUACUAUCAAUAUACAACUAUGGCAUGUAUAGUUAGACUCGUACUCAGGCUAGGUUAGUCCUAGAACUGACUAAUCCAUAGCUCUAAUACCACUAAAUGUAACACCCCUUACCUAAGUCCGAGGUCGGGACUGGGCACGAGGCGUUACCAUAAUUAAUUACAUGAAUACAAUCAUUUUCAAGUCACCAAAACUUAAUCAAAUUCAAAGCUCUUUCGAACUUUGUUUAAAGUCUUUAAAUGUGGGCCUACGAGGCCUCAAACUUUCAUUAGAAACCAUUUAGAACCAAUUUAGGUCCUUAAACAGACUAAAUAAAAAUAACUCUUGAAACAGGGCACACGCCCAUGUGGAAGGGCAACACGCCCGUGUGGUCGUUAUAACAUGGCCGUGUUGAUGGCUCGUAUGACACACACGACCUAAGCACCUAGGGACAUGCCCGUGUUCGAUACCCAUGUGAAUUUAAUUCCAACAUCAAACCUACAUGGGUUUUCACAUAGCCUGAUACAAGCUCGUGUCUAUAGCCCUGUCCCUCACAUGGCCAUGAUACGCCCAUGUCCUAGCCCGAGUCUAAAAAUCUUGACAUUCUAUUACUGACCUCAGCAAUCCUUAAGGGUCACACGGCCAAGGCACACGCCUGUGUGCUAGACCUUGUCCUUCACACGGCUGAGACACAUGGCCGUGUCUCUACCCGUGUGUUUACUACCAUGCAUACUGACUUGAAAUUUUUAUGUGUAGGGGACACACGGCCAGACAACAUGCCCAUGGGGCACACUGCCUAGACACACGCCCGUGUGUCUAUCCGUGUGGACAACAUAGGGCUAUUUACCAAGCCCUUUGCCACCCUGAAACCCAAAAUAACAACAUCCAUCAUGCUAAAGAUCAUCAUAAUAUGAUUUCCCAAUCCAACAACCACAUCUAAGGCCUUUACACAUUUCAUAUUUACCAAAACAACUAAUAAAUUACCCAUUCAUGAAAUAACUUCUUGUAUUCAUAUAACAACUUUCAACUUUAUAUAUUUCUAUAGCCUUUUACAAAAUGAAUCAAAAUGCUAAAAUAAGCCAACCCAUUUGGCCAAUUAACAAUGAAACAAAAUUAUAAAGUUAGGGUCCUAUACAUGCCAUAAUCAAAAUAAAUAGAUCUAACUAUACCAAGUGCUUCGAUUGAUAGUGUGAUCGAUGCCUCCGACGUCCGUUGAUCUACGAGCUAAUUAGGUGACACUAUAAGAAAAUGGAAAGAAAUAGGGUAAGCAUAAAGCUUAGUAAGUUGGAUGCAAUAAAUAUAACAACUUUUCCAUUCAUCAUCAUGCUCAUAGUACUUAAGUAGGCAUAAGCACAGCUUACUCAUCACUAGCCAAUACAUUUCACAUAGCAUAUAUUGAGCUCACAUCUCAUACAUUUCAAAUAGGUACCUGUACCACUCAUAACAUGGUUUUUAACUUAAACUGUGACUCUCACCGUUGAACCAUUUGGAAUGCUAUCGGAUAUUCAUUAAGCCUUAAACAUAGGGUGUAAUGCCCAUGCCAUGUCCUAAACAUCGUCUUACACUGAAUAUUGAAAUCGAGGUCGGCGCCAUGUCCCAAACAUGGUCUUACACUGGCUCUCACAUCUUUGUGCCGAUGCCAUGUCCUAGACAUGAUCUUACACUGACACGUCUAUACGUGUCGAUGCCAUGUCCCAGAUAUGGUCUUACACUGACACAUAUCAUAGCCGACGCAUGUCCCAGACAUGUCUUACACUGGCUUACAUCACGAGGUCGAUGCAUGUCCUAGACAUGUCUUACACUAGCUCUCGUCUCAGUGCCGAUGCCAUGUCCCAGACAUGGUCUUACACUAACUCUCGUCUCAAUGCCGAUGCCAUGUCCCAGACAUGGUCUUACACUAGCUCUCACAAUGUGACCGAUGCAUGUCCCAGACAUGUCUUACACUAGCAUACAAAUGACCUGAAUGUCAUGGCAUGAAUAUCUGAUUUAUUUCCUAAGGUUCAAACGGGAAUUCUACAAUCAAUAUUCAAUAUACAUAAUCAUUUCCACAAACAAGAAAUUUAUGCUAUAUCAAUUCUAACACAUAUAAUAACAAUGUAGUUGUAUUAUUUACAUACAACUUACCUCGGUACUCAAAAUGUGGUGACUAGUUCGGCUUAGUCCACUUGCUUCGCUUUUCUCCGAUCUAGGCCCAGAUUUUGUAAUUCUUGAUCUAGAAUGAUAAAAAUUUAUGAAUUUAAUCAUUUUGCCCCUAGAUUUUUACAAAAUGACUAUUUUACCCCUAGGUCCGAAAAUUGAUUUUUAUCGCGUUUCUUCAUAUCUUAAGCCUAGUUGAUUACUUUUUACACUAGAAGUAGUCCAAAAUUCUAAGUAUUUCACACCUUUAUCACCUAUUUUAAACUUAUGCAAAAUGGUCAUUUUUAGGGUUCUCAUGAGAAAUCUCUUCACAAAAGUUGUUUGCUUUACAACCAUGGUUUAUUUUCUUCCAUAAAAUUUCAGAAAACAACAUGUCUACUAUCAUGGAAAAAUCCUAGACUUUCAACCAUUUUGAAAAAUAGUUCCCUCAUUUGAAAGCUCAUGAUACAAGGAUCUCAAAAGUACAAAACUAUUCAAGAAAAACCCUCAAAAUCACUUGCUUGUAGAGAGACUAAGUGGCUGAAAUUUCAAGCUUCAAAAACUCCUCUAAUGGAUGAUAUUUUUGAUGGAAGAAGGAAAGGUAAGAAAAGAUGACAACAUUUUUCUUUUAUUUUAUUUUUAGACAACAUUAAGUCGUCAAUUUACCUAACCCUUUGACUAGAUGAAUUUUCUUGUCUCAUGGCCGGCCAAGCUAAAAUCCAAGGGUAUAUUUUCCCUUUAAAGACCCCCAAUUUAAGUGUCAUGGCAAUUUAACACCUUUAGCUAUCAAUUCAAGACUUUUGAACUUUAUACGAUUUAGUCUUUUAUUGCGAUUAAGCUCACAAACGCUAAAAUUACUUCACCAAAUUUUCCAUUCAUUAAUAUAAACAUGCUAUAACUCUAAAAUACUAAUAAAAUACUUUCUCUGAGUUUGUAUUGGUGAUCUCAAAACCAACGUUCCGAUUGAUCCAAAUUGGGCUGUUACAUGAUCGAUUCUAGUUAUAAGCCAACACCUACCGUAAGGCCUUUUUAAAAUUCAAUACCAAUCAUGAAUCAACCAUUCAUAUCCUUGACAUUAUAACAAUCAAUUCCAUGUUCAUUCCAAAAUAAUAAACCAUUAAACUCUCUUUCUGAAUUCAGUUGACACAUUCAUAUUCAUUUCAGCAUCCUUUAAGGCUCGUUUCCAAUUUAUUCACACAAAAGUUAACGUAUUUCCUUUAUCAUGAUCCACACACACACACACACACACACACAUAUAUGUACAAUUGAUGCCAUAACAUUAUACUAUUUCAUUUCGAUAUCUUUUAUCAAGUCGUAAACUCACCAAUUUCACAUAACUCAUUUCAUUACAUUUCAAUCCAAUAUAUAUAUUCACAUUUAAUUUUAGAAUCACAAUUCAAUUCAUCAUCAACACAUAAUGUCUCAUGAUAAAUGUGUCUUAUGAAUCUUCUUAAACAUGAACAAAUAACUAGUUAGAAAUAUGUCAUAUUAACAUGUAAUUUCCUAAAUUGAAUCGUUGAAUUUAUCACAAUUUCGUACCAACCUUCUAUACUUAUAAAUCCAAAUUUCUUUCACAUUAAUAAUUCUUUUCAUUAUCAUUAUAAAUUUUUAUAUACUAAAUCCAAUUAACUUGACUCAGACAUGAAUGGAUACGCAAAUCCAACCAAUACCCCACAAUUUCCAAAGAAAAUAGAUUGCGCCCAACGCUUAUCGGUAUGACCGAAGUAAAAAUUGUGCCCAGUACUCUUCAAAACAUAGUCGAAUUAUCCAUUUGACACCCAGUGCCUCAUCGAAACGUUCGAAGUAAUUAGUUUGCACCUAGCGCUCAUUGGUAUAAUUGGAGUAAAUGUUUUGCCCAUCACCCAUUGAAACGUCCGAAGUAAAAAUUGUGCCUAGCACUCAUCAACACGUAGUUGAAGUAACUAUUUGACACCUAGUGUCUCAUCGGAAUGUUUGAAGUAAUUAGUUUGCACCCAUCACUUAUCGGUAUAACCAAAGUUAAUGUUGUGUCCAGCACUCAUCGAAAUGUCCGAAGUAAAAAUUGUGCCCAGCACUCAUCGACAUGUAGUUUAAGUAACCAUUUGGCAUCCAGUGCCUCAUCAGAACGUCUGAAGUAAUUAGUUUGCGCCCAGUGCUCAUCGAUAUAACUAAAGUAAAUGUUGUGCCCAACACUCAUCGGAACGUCUGAAGCAAAAAUUUUUCCUAGUACUCAUCGACACGUAGUCGAAGUAACCAUUUGGCACCCAAUGCCUCAUCAGAACGUCCGAAGUAAUUAGUUUGGGCCCAGCUCUCAUCGACAUAUAGUCGGAAUAACUCCGCCUGAGCAAUUAAUAGGGUAAUCAUUUAUCCAAUUCCCUUAUAAGAUGAAUUCUCGUUCUAUUGAUCUCAAUAUCCUCAAUUCAUCACUCAUCAUCAAUUCAAUUUAAUCCUAUAUCACAAUAAUCAAUUAAAUUCACACCAAUAUGAUACAAUCAAUCAUAAUAAACUAUUAAUUCAUUUAUAGUUCUUGUAUUAUUUUUCGUCCCCCUCCUCUCCAUUCCACUUCCUUUAUCUACGAGUAUUUGCACCAGAAUCUUUAGCCUUAGUAUGACAUGCUUUUAUGUAACAUGAAUUAUCCUUUCACUAUUUAUACAUAUACUUGUAAUAAAGUUGUCUUCUUGAGUAGUAUUCACUAAAUUAUUUAUAUCCAGACCUACCGAAUUCGAAACUAAGAUCCACUUUUUUGUUUUUGAAACUAGACUCACUGAACUUUUUAUCCAAAAAAUUUUAGAAUUUAUUUCAAAGUAAAUUGAUACUAGUUUUUUUUAAAACCUCCCCUAUUCUACAACUAGGCAGCUUCGACUCUUUUUCACUAAAAAUUAAAUAUCUUUCAAUACAAGUCUCAUACUAUGUUGUCGUUUGUUUCAUUUGAAAAUAGACUCAUUAGGAUUUUAGGCACAUAAAUAUCAUCUCCUAAACAUUUUUGGACAAUUUAUAAUGAUUUUGAUAUUGCCUCAUAAAAUGUAUUAUAUGUUAUAAUCUAAAAUUUCAUUGCUUUCACCGUUGCUUUUAUGCAAAAUUAGACUCGAUAAUAUUUAGUUUCAUAUUUUAUUAAACCUCUAACUCGAUUCCUACAAUUUUUGGUGAAUUUUCAAAGUCGUACUACCAUUGAUAUCCAUAAAGUGUUUAGUGAAACAUUUUUCUCUUCCAUGAUUUGAUUAAGUUUUUCUCAUUUCAUUAUAUUACAUACUACAUUCCAACCAAAUUCAAUGUCAAAACAUAUAACCAUUAAGUUACACAAAUUCUUAUUUUUGUUCAAAUUAGUCAUCUAGUUUAAUAAUCAAUCUCAAACAUAGCAUUUUAAACUUAAAUAAUCAUUUUCAGUUUACCUUGGUGUCGUACUUUACAAAAUAAAUUAAAUAUGUAACGAAUAUAAUGAUUCAAUUUAUAGAAAUACAAAUAUAACAUGAAUUAUCUUAGUAAUUUCCAUAAGAACUUACUUGACACACACAAAAUGUUGAGGCCUCAUCCGCCAAAAAUUGACUUUUCCUCAAUUAUCCCCCGAUUAGCUCAAAUCUCUAUCUAUAAUAUAAUUUAUUUCAAUUUAUUAAUUUUAAACAUCUCCAAAAUACCCUAUUAUAAUUAUAUAUUAAUUCAAAUAUUUUUUUCAAUGUUCUCUAAUUUUUUUCAUUUUAUUCAAUUUAUUCCUUAAAACCAAAAUGAUUAUAUCUUUCAAAUUUGAGCACCAAAAUUUUUUAAAAGAUUUCAAAUACAUCCUAUUACAGCCCUACAAACAAUAAUUACAGAAAAUUCAUACUAAUUUUAAAAUAUUUACACUUUGGUCCCUAUGUUCAAAACUAACAAUUAAACUUUACAAAUUAGUCUUUUUUUUUUACAAAUCUAAGCUUAAGAAUUAACCAUUUAACAUCAGAACUUAAAACAUUCAACUAAAGUAAUAUCCUCAAAUUUUAAUAAUAACAAAAUUUACAACAUGGAUCAGCUAACUUAUAGUAUUGGGAUUCUAAAAAUAUAAAAAUUACAAGAAACAGACUAAAUUAAACAUGCCAAUUGAAGCUUUGAACAUCCUUCUCCAAUUUUUUUCUUUCCCUCUGUUUGGACGAUCUGCGGGAUGGAAGGAACAAAAUGUUUCUUUCCACCCACCACCACUCAUUUAACUAUUUCUUUCUUUCUUAUUCUUAUUCUUAUUCUUAUUAUAUACAUAUAUUACAACAUUCACCACCUAACGACACGAACCACUUUAGUGGUUAAUUGCCACUUUAGUCCUUCUUAUUUAUUUCUAAUUAUAAUUCUUUUAUAACUGGCAUUUUUACCUCUUAUGCAAUUUGGUCCCUAUAUUUUAAUUAAAUAUUAUAUAAACGAAAUUACCUAACCAAGAUUCAAUUUGCCUACAAAUUAACCCCGUAAAUAUUAUAAAAAUAUUUAUGAGUUAAGUUUACGAAAACGAGGUCCCGAUACCUCAAUUUUUAAAAUCACUGACAUUAGAAUCGAUGCACUUGUGCUUUAAUUUUCUAUCAAUUAAACAAAAUUACUAGACCAACUUUAAUAUGUUUCUAUAUUAGUCUCAUAACUAUUAAAUAUUAAUAUCCAAAAACAAGUUUUGUGAAAAUGACAUUUCAAAACCAUAAUUUUUUACACCACCGGAAACUAGGUCGUUACAAUAAAUACUACUUUAUAAGCUUUUGAUUUAAGAUUUUGUUGGCCAAACAUUUUCUCAGUUUCAUAGUUCUUAGUUUAGGAUUUCAUUUUUUCUUUUCUUUUUAUUUUUGUUGAAGUAUUUUUAUUUCUUCUUUUUUUUCUAGAACAUCGUGGAUGGAUAUGUAUUAAACUUUUACGCUUCAUUGGAUGUUUGUCUAUUAAUGUACAUUUUCUCAACCUUAUCUUUUAUAUUUUAUGCCUACUAUGUGUUUUAAAAUGCUUGUAUGGAAUUUAAGUUUAAUCAUGUGUUGAAUUGUUUUAUUGGUUGAUUGAUGAAUGAGCUACUUAGCUAAGUUAUAUCUAUGCUUUGAUUGGUUGUUUCUUCAAGGGUAUUUGUAACACCCCUACUGAGUUCUGUAAUAGCCCGGUUUAGACCCUAGUCGGAACAAUAUUUUUGGGACCAUGAAUCCUAGUCAGAAAAAUAUUUUAAUAUUACAUUAUGUACUUAAAGAUGUGAAUUGAUAUGUGUGAAAGUUUUGUAUAAAAAUUUUAUCAUUUGUGUGCUUAAUUUAGAAAAAAAGAACUAAAUCGCAGAAAAUGUAAAAGUUACAUUCUAUAUGUGAAAGGUAUUGUAGUAGUUAAAUUUUAAUGAUAUAUGCCAUGAAUAAAAUAGUAAAAUAAUUAAUAAUGGAUAUUAAAUAAAGAAAACAAAGUGGAAGCAUGCAAAAACAUUUGGUACAAGCAAAUAUUGAAGAAAGAAAAACCAUUUUAGGUUUUUAGCAUUUAGCACUUUGAAGAUCAAUUAGGUAUGUUAUUUUUAUUCGUUUUUGAUAAUUUUUAUGUUUUUGAGAUCGUUGCUUUGAGUAUUAGCUAGCCCAUGCUUGAAUUUUUGAAUUUGAUGAUGAUUGUGUGUUUUUCCAUUGUUGAAAGCUUGACGAUUUUUGUGUUUGAUGAUGAAAAAUAAAUAUGUGUUAAUAGAUUUUCAUAUUUAAUUAAGUAAUUUUUAGUAAAAAUGCCUAUUAAGGACUAAAUUGAGAAAUUUGUAAAUUUUGGGGUCAAAAUAUAAAAUAAAUGAAAGAAAUGGGCUGCUAAGGACCUUAGUGAAAUUUGGCCAAGCAUGGGUGUGGUCAAAUUUUGAAUAUUUUGUGUUUUGUGAAAUAGAGACUAAAUUACGAAAAAUAUGAAAUGUUAGGGGAAAAAGUGUAAUUAGCCCAUUUAUGUGUUUUUAGAUGAACUUGAUUGAAUAUAUGAUUAAAUAAUUUGAAUUUGUAUUGAAUUAGAUCAAGAAAUUAGAAAAUCAGAUUUUGAUCGGGGAAAGUAAAAAAUUAUCGAAUAGUCAUUCCGGUCCAUUCAUGUUAAUACGAGGUAAGUUCAUAAGUAAAUAAAUGUUAUUAAAUUGAAAUGUAUGUGCAUUAUAUGUGCUGAAUUAAGUUGUAAAGGAAUAUGAUUGUGAAGUUGAAGUAUGCAAAAUGUGAAUUGAAUUUGAGGCAUUACGUGUGCGAUAAAUGAAUUAGCUACGGCUAUUAAAAUGGCACUGAGUGUGCGAGAUUAUAACAAAAUUGGCUGAGUAAAUGGCACUAUGUGUGCGAUACUGAUAUAAGUUCAAUUUAAUGUAAAGACAUUAAGUGAUCGAUAUAAUUAUAGCUUCGACUAAUUAAUUGGCAUUAAGUGUGCGAGUUCGUUGAAUGUUCAAGGGUGAUCGAAUGAAUUAGUGUUUCAAGCAUUGAAGUGAUAAAUGGGAUAAAUAAGAACGUAAUGGUACAGGUAUGUACAGAACCUAUGUGGUUGAUUAUGUUAAGUAUGAAGUAGAUGAAAAAUUAUGUAAAUGAAUGGUGAAAUGAGUUGGAUUGAAUAGCAUUAUUAAUGCUGUUUAUAAGAUUAAAGUUGUGAAAUGUGAGUAAGAUAUGGUUUUGAAUAAGGAUGAGUAAUAUGUUGUGUUAUAUGCACUCGGUAUAUGAAAUUAUGGUGUUAUGUUUCAGAUAUGAGAUUUACGAAACAUGAAACAUGGCUUUGAUGUAUGAUUGCUUGGUUCAAAAACUUGAACUGAUAAUGAAAUUAAAAUGGUUGAAUUGGUUAUAUGAUUCAUGUAUGCGAAUUUGGUUUAUGUGAACAAGGAAGUUAUAGAUGUUCAAGUUUGGAAGUGUCUAUAAAGAAGUUGAUAUAACUUUAUGUAUGAUUUGUAAUAAAUGACCAUGGUUUGGUUGGCGAUGAAAUGAAUAUGUACGAGCUUGACUUAUAUGAUUAAGUUAACGAUUGUUAAUCGAAUUUGAAAGCAUGGUUAUACGUUCAUUGAUAAAUAAGUUAAGUGAAUUAUUUAAUAUGGUUACAUGAAUUUACGAGUAUAAUGAAGGUAUAUGUGAUUGAGAUUUGUUAAUUUUGGUUUAGUGAUAUUGGAUUAUAAAUAUCAUUGAAAUGAUUUAUUUGCUUAUGGCUUACUAAGCUUUCAAAGCUUACUCUGUGUGUUUUUUCUAUGUUUAUAGAUUUUCAGAGAUCUGCUCGGGUUGGAAGUCGAUGGAGACGUCAUCACACUAUUCGGUUAUCAUUUCGGUAAAUAAUAUUCUGAAAUUUGGUUAUGUGGCAUGUAUAGGCUAUAAGUAUGUGAAUAUGGUUUGAGAUGUAAAUAUAUGUUUUGCCAAGUGAUAUGGCCUGAUAAUGGAUGUGAAUAUGGUUUGGUUUUGUUAUGGUUUAUGUGAUGAGAAAAUGGUAUGAUUUGAUGCAUAUGAAUGACUAAAUGAAAUGGUCAAUUUGGUAUGUGCUUAACUAUUAAAUUUGGUAUAAGUCCGGCAUGAAGAUGGAUAAGAAAUUGAGAUGUUGGUGAUGUUGAUUGAAUGAACUUGGAUUAUGAUUUUGGUAUGUUUUGGUAUAGAGAAUGAGCAUAAAAUUGGUUGAUGAUAUUAUGGAUUGAUUGAUAAAUGUUUGGAGCUGAAUUUGGCUGAAAAUGUUGCAUAUAUGAUGCUUGAUAAUGGAAUUGUAGGGAGGACCCAAAUGGGUGGCAUAUUGUCCUUGUAAAUGGCCUAUUUUUGCCUACACGGGCGUUUGUCUCUACCAUCUAACUCGAAGACUAUUUUGAAAUGAGCCUGCGUAGAUCACACGGUUGCACACACACGGGCGUCUACCAGACCGUGUGGCCAAGUCAGUUUCGACCACGGGUUAGACACACGGGCGUGUCUUGUGGCUGUGUGGAUAAGUCAGUAUGUAUGCCAUGUUUUUCCACGGUCUAAACACACGGGCAUGUCUAAUGCCGUGUGAGGCACAUGACCUGUUCACAUGAGUGUGUGAUCUUUGUAACUUAGAAAUUGUUAAGUUUUUGAAAAAUUUUGUAUGUGUUUGGUUUAGUCCCGACCCCUUCCUAAUGCAUGUUUAAGGUCUCGUUGACCUAAAAUACUAGACUUUAUGUUGAUUUUUCAUUAUGAAAUGAUGAUGUAUAACUUUUGAUUGCUAAAUAUUCUGAUAUGUCCGGUAAUGCCUCUUAACCCUAGUCCGGCGAUGGAUAUAAGUUAGGGGUGUUACAAGUUCGACGCCAGAAUAAGAUACGAGGUGUUACCGGACUUAAACACAUAAAAACAUACAUUUCCUAGUUAUAAAAUUUCGUUCCAAUUUAAAACUUUUCACAAUAUUUUAAUGUCCCUACUAUAGGCCUACGAGGCCCCGAACACACUUUGGAAUUGAUUCAGGACUAAUCUAUGCACUCUAGAAAACUUUGUAAAAUUUUAAGUAGACAGGGGAACACGCCUAUGUGGAAGGGCAACACGCCCUUGUGUCUUCUUAACAUGGCCAUGUUGAAGGCCCGUGUGACUCACACGGCUUGAACAUAUCGGGACACGCCUGUGUCCCUAGCCCGUACGAAUUUAUUUCUCAAUUCGAACCUAUAAGGGUUUUCACACGGCUUGGCACACGCCCGUGUCCAUGACCCGUGUCCCCCACACGGCCGGGACACUUCCGUGUCUCAGCCCGUGUGCAAAAACCUUGACAUUCUGUUUCUGACGUCAGCAGCCCUUUAGACGCACAUGGCCAUGGUACAUGCCCGUGUACUAGGCCGUGUCCUCCACAUGGUUUGGACACACGGCCAUGUCUCUGCCUGUGUGGUUACUACUGGGCAUUUUUUUUGCCAAAUUUAGGUGCAGGGGACACACAGCCUUACCACAUGUCCAUGGGGCAAGCCGUGUGUCACACACGAUCUAGACACAUGUCCGUGUGUCUGUCUGUGUGGAAAAAAACAAGGCUAUUUACCAAGGCCCAAAAUCGGGCUGUGAAAAAGUUAGGGUAUUGAUCUCUCAUAGUCUCCUCGGAUUCCUAUGUGAUCUCUUCAAUCCCAUGUCGAUGCCAUAGUACUUUCACAAGUGCUAUACUUUUAUUUAUCAAUUGCUUAACCGGCUCUUCAUCAUAAGUCGUGUCUGAUCGAAUCUCAAUCUCUGUUGGCGAAAGAACGUGCGAAGGGUUAGAACGGUAAUGACGCAACAUCGAUACAUAGAAAACAUUGUGGAUCUUCUCUAACUCGAAUGGCAAGGCUAGUCGAUAAGCUACUGGUCCAAUUCUCUCUGUCACCUCAUAAGGUCUAAUAAAACGUGGACUUAAUUUCAUAAGGUCCAAUAAAACGUGGACUUAAUUUUCCUUUCUUACCAAAUCUGAGGACUUUCUUCCACAGGGAUACUUUCAAAAACACCUUAUCAUCGACUUGAAACUCAAUUUCCUUUCGUUUGAAAUUCGCGUAGCAUUACUGUCUAUCUGAAGCGGCCUUCAAACAAUCACGAAUUCCCUUAACUUUCUCUUUGGUCUCUUUGAUUAAGUCGACCUCGUGAAUCUAAUUUUCACUAAGUUCAAUCCAAAACAAGGGUGUUUGGCAAUUACGCCCAUAUAGAGCCUCAUAAGGCACCAUUCUCAAGCUUGACUGAUAGCUAUUGUUGUAGGCAAACUCUACCAGCGGUAGAUACCUUUCCCAACUGCCUUGGAAUUCAAGACACAACAUCGCAACAUGUCUUCAAGAAUCUGAAUUACUCUUUCCAACUGGCCGUCAGUUUACAGAUGAAAAGCCGUGUUAAAAUUUAACUUUGUCCCCAAAGCUACUUGUAACUCUUUCCAAAACCGCGAAGUAAACCUCAGAUCUCUAUACGAAAUAAUCGACAAGGGUACUCCAUGAAGUCUCACAAUUUCAAAAACAUACAACUCGGCUAGCUUGUCAAACGAGUAGUCGGUACACACAAUAAUAAAGUGAGCUGAUUUCGUUAGUCGAUCAACUAUGACCCAAACAACAUCUUUCUUUCUUGGUGAUAACGACAAUCCUGUCACAAAAUCCAUGGUAAUUCGAUCCCAUUUCUACUCGGGAACCAUUACAGACUGAAGUAAACCUGAAUGUACUUGGUGCUCGGCUUUCACUUGUUGACAAAUUAAACAUUUUGACACAAACUCUUGGAUGUCUCUUUUCAUGCCCGGCCAGCAAUACAAUCUUUUCAAGUCAUUCUACAUCUUGGUACUACCCGGAUGGAUUGACAUGCAACUACUAUGUGCCUCGUGAAGAAUUUUCCCAAUAAGUUCAUUAUCUCUAGGUACACAAACCCUAUCUCGAAACAUCAAACAACCAUUGGUACUAAUCUGAAAAUCUGAUUCGUCAACUGUCUCACACUAAGUCAUCUUGGCUUGCAAAUCUUUUUCACUCUUCUGAGCUUCACAAAUAUCUUGAAGAAACAUAGGUCUAGCUCUCAACUCUGCUAGAAUCGAACCAUCCUCGAUUACAGACAACUGAGUGUUCAUAGCUAUCAAGGAAAACAAUGAUUUCCUACUUAAUGCAUCUGCGACCAUGUUCGCCUUUCCCGGGUGAUAGUCAAUUAUUAACUCGUAAUAUUUAAUCAACUCCAGACACCUUUGUUACCAUAGAUUCAAAUCCUUUUGAGUCAUCAAGUAUUUUAGGCUUUUAGAGUCGGUGAAUACCAGACAUUUCUCGCCAUACAAGUGGUGUCUCCAAAUCUUCAGUGCGAACACUAUGGCUACUAACUCUAAGUCUUGUGUUAGAUAAUUUUUCUUAUGCGACUUCAGCUGUCUCGAGGCAUCUUAAUCCAUUCAAGGAUGCAUCACUAUACACUACGAAUUCUUUUCCCAAUUUCGGUUGCACUAAAAUUAGGGCUUCAGUUAACAACAUCUUAAGUUUCUCAAAAUCUGUUGGCAUUUUUCCGUCCAAUCGAACUUGACAUCUUUCUAUAGUAACCUCGCUAUCGGAGUAGCAAUCAUAGAGAACCCUUUAACGAAUCAUCUAUAGUAACCCACUAAGCCUAGAAAGCUCUUAAUCUCUGAUACGUUUCUCGGAAGUUUCCACUGAACAAUAGGUGAGACCUUACUCAGUUCAACUCUAAUUCCAUCACCCGACAUGAUGUGUACUAAGAAUCUGACCUCUCGGAGCCAAAACUCACUUUUACUAAACUUGGCAUACAACUGCUUAUCUCUUAAAUUCUGCAAAAUAGUUCUCAAAUGCUCCACGUGUUCACUCUAAUCACGAAUAUAGAUCAAUAUAUCAUCUAUAAAAACAACAAUGAACUUAUCCAAUUUCAGUUGGAAAAUACGGUUCAUUAAAUCCAUAAACACGGCAGGAGUAUUUGUUAAGCCAAAGGGCAUGACAAGGAACUCAUAAUGCCCAUAUCUCGUCUGAAACGCAGUUUUCGGCAGAUCUUGCUCCUUAACUCUUAGCUGGUAAUAACUGGAUCUCAAGUCUAUAUUACAAAACACUAUGGCUCCCUUUAAUUGAUCAAAAAAAUCAUCGAUCCUUGACAAGGGAUACUUACUCUUCACCAUCACCUUAUUGAGCUGUCUGUAGUCUAUACAUAACCUCAUCGACCCGUCUUUCUUUUUCACAAAAAGUACUAGAGCACUCCAUGGAGAAUAGCUCAGUCUCGCAAAACCCUUAUCCGUUAACUCUUAUAGAUGAGCCUUCAACUCUUUUAACUCCAACAGUGCCAUCCUAUAUGAGGUAAUCAACAUAGGUGCAGUACAAAGGACUAACUCGAUACCAAAUUUGACUUCCCUAAUUGGAGGCAAUCCGGGUAACUCUUUUAGAAAUAUAUACUGAAAUUCAGAUACCACUGACACUGACACUGACUCAAUCUUCACUUCUGUCACUUGGGUAUUCAACACAAAUGCGAGAUAAGACUUAUACCCUUUUCUCAUAUAUUUCUCAGCAGUCAUAGUAGAAAUCACUACAAGUAAGCUAUCCAGUUCACCUCAUUAAACCCGAAGAAUAUCCCCAUUUUCACAUUUCAGUUCAAUGAAUUUCUACCCACAAUUUACUAUGACAUCAUGGGUAGACAACCAAUCCAUACAAAGGAUAACGUCAAAUUCAUCAAAUGGCAAUAACAUGAGGUUAGCCGAAAAACAAUGACCUCUAAUUGUCAAAGGACAAUUUCUACAUACUUGGUCAACUAAUACAUGCUUGCCUAAUAAGCUUGACACCUUUACCACAAAUUUUGUAGACUUGACAGGCAUAUUCAUGCUAGACACUAGUUUCACACAAGUAUACGAAUGGGUAGACCCUUCUAUCAAAGCAACAACAUAAAUAUCAUGAAGGGAGAAAGUACCCAUAAUCACAUCAGGUGAUGAUGCCUCUUCGCGAGCGCGAAUGGCAUAAGUGCACCUCUACUGCUAGUCCCUCUUCUCAGGCUCUUCUGUGGUCUAGCUCUCGAAGGAGCAUUACUUGCUCUCAAAUCUUGCUUUUCAUCUUUCUCACCCAUUUCAGGAUAGUUUCGAAUGAAAUGGUCUAGCGGCCCACAUUUGAAAUAACCUUUUUCAUUUCCACAGCACUCACCAAAAUGGCAUCUACCGCAUUGUGAACAUUCUGGUCUGUUCGGUCGAGCAUUACCAAUAAUCGCGAUAGAAAUGGUUUGAGCCUUAGACGCCAUGUACUGCUUACUCUUAUUUCUACUCGAGAAUCCCACUGAAGCAUUUGAUCGAGUAGUGAACUCUCUCAAUCUCUUAGAUGAUGACUGAUAUGAUUCCCCCAUCUGUCUUUUCUUUGAGUCACGAGACUUGAUAUCAGCUUUUCUCUUUUCUUUGGUCAAUUCUUCUGCCUUUCAAGCUCUUUCAACCAACAUCACAAACUCCCUUAACUCUGAGAUGGCAACUAAUAAUCAGAUGUCUUCAUUCAAUCCGUCCUCAAAUCUCUUGCAUAUGAUGGCUUUGGUGGAUACGCACUCCUUAGCAUAUUUGCUGAGCCUUACGAACUCACGCUCAUAUUUUGUUACUUUUAUUCGGCCUUGCUUCAAUUCUAGAAAUUCCUUCCCUUUUUGAUCUAUAAACCUCUGACUAAUAUACUUAUUUCGAAAUUCCUCUUAGAAGAACUCCCAUGUAAUUCUUUCCCUUGGUACAACUAACACAAGGGUGUUCCACCAUUGGUAGGCCGAGUCUCGCAGGAGUGGCACAACACACUUCAUGCACUUCUCAGGUGUGCAAGACAACUCAUCGAAUACCCUAAUAGUAUUUUCUAGCCAGAACUCUGCCCUCGCUGAGUUGUCAUCUAUAUUCGCCCUAAAUUCGUCGGCUCUCUACUUUCUAAUUCUGUCAACCGGAGGUUUCUCCCUUCUUAACAUCUCUACCCUUUGGGGCGCUAUGGGGUUAGGUUGAGGGAUUGGAGAGGGUGGGGGAGGUGGAGUGUUUGGAUUUUCACGAAUAAACUCUGAAUACCAGGUAUCCAUCAUAUGGAGGUAGGCUUCUCUAGCCCCUCUGCCCUGACUCAUUGUCACAGACUCACUCUCUACUGGCGCAUUCCCUUCAGCGGUAGCCUACGCGUUACUCUUUACAUCAUCCGCCAUUGCUCCGUCAGAAUCUAUUUACUAUAUGAAUGCACAAUUUAAAUUUGUCAGGGGUCAUCACACUAUCACAAUAUAUUUAUGGCAUGUAUAGGUAGACUCGUACUCAUGCUAGGUUAGUCCAAAAAUUGACUAAACCAUAGCUCUGAUACCACUAAAUAUAACACCCCUACCCGAGUUCGAUGUCGGAACAGGAUAUGAGGUGUUACAGGACUUAAACACAUACAAACAUACAUUUCCUAGUUAUGAAAUUUCGCUCCAAUUUAAAAAUUUUCACAAUACCAUAAUGUCCCUACUAUUGGCCUACGUGGCCCCGAAUACACUUUGGAAUUGAUUCGGGACUAAUCUGUGUACUCUAGAAAACUUUGUAAAAUUUCAAGCAGACAAGGGCACACACCCGUGUAGAAGGGCAACAUGCCCGUAUGUCUUUUUAACAUGGCCAUGUUGAAGGCCAAGUGUGACUCACACGGCCUGAACAUAUCGGGACACACCCGUAUCCCUAGCCUGCACUAAUUUAUUUCUUGAUUCGAACCUACAGAGGUUUUCACAUGGCUUGGCACAUGCCUGUGUCCCCCACACGACCAGAACACGCCCCGUGUCUCAGCCCAUGUGCAAAAACCUUGACAUUCUGUUUCUGACAUCAACAGCCCUUUAAGGGCACACAGUCAUGGUACACGCACGUGUGCUAAGCCGUGUCCUCUACACGGUUAGGACACAUGGCCAUGUCUUCACCCGGUGGUUACUGCUGGGCAUUCUGUUUUACUAACUUUAGGUGCAGGGGACACACGACCUUACCCUACAUCCAUGGGGAAAGCCGUAUGUCACACGCGGUCUAGACACAAGUUCGUAUGUCUGCCCGUGUGGAAAAAAACAAGGCUAUUACCAAGCCUUUUUGUCACCCUUUCUUGCACCAACCUACACAAUAGCAACUAAAACUAGUCCAAGCAUAACACAUAUAACCAAAACAACCACAACCAUGAGAAUUUUCAUCAAAUGCAUUAAUAAUCAAUAUUAGCCAACAUUAAUGGCCUAUACAAAAUGAAUAUCACAUCCUUAUGAGCCAACACUUGUGGCUAAACUAACAUGACACUAAACAAAAGAUCAAGCCCCUAUACAUGCCACACUCAAAACAUUUAAACUAGCUAUACUAAAAGCUUCAGGUGAUAGUGUGAUCGAUGCCUCCAAUGUCCCUUAAUUCUCGAUAUUAACUUAGCGGCACUUUAAGGAAAUGGAAAUGAGAGGGAGUAAGCAUAAAGCUUAGCAAGUUGCAUGUAAAUAUGUAACAACGUCAACCAGACAUAUUUAAACACAUAGCAUGUCAUACACCAACACAACAUUCUUGAGUGCACAGAGGUAGAUAUCACCACAUACUUAUACAUUACAAAUAAGCCAAAGAUUUCAAAAUCAUCCCAAAAUCAUUUUCAUAGAUAGAACUUACUUAUGCUAUUCUUACCAUUAAGGCAUCAUAACUAGACUCAUAUCUCAUGAUUUUCUAAUAAAAACCUGUACCACUCACAACAUGAUUAUAUCAUUCCAUAUCUUUAUAAUAAGCCUAAAAAAUAACCUAUGAAACCUUUUGGAAUACUAAAGGAUAUCCGAUAAGCCUCAUACAAGAGGGUAAAUUACUGAUGCCAUGUCCCAAACAUGGUCUUACACUGGCUCACAUGCCGAGGCCGAUACCAUGUCCCAGACAUGGUCUUACAUUGGCUCUCGUAAAAUGGUCGAUGCCAUUUCCCAAACGUGGUCUUACACUAGCACACAUAUCAAUACCGAUGCCAUGUUCCAAACAUGGUCUUACACUGGCUCUCAUAUCGUGGCCGAUGCCAUGUCACAGACAUGGCCUUACACUAGCACACAUAUCACCCAAAUGUCAUGGCAUGGAUAUCCAGUCUAUUCCUAGGUUUAAUCAGGACUCUACUACAUUAAAUUUCAUCAUGCAUUAUUCAUAAGCAAUUUCAACCAUAUUACACAAAAUUAAUCAUUCAACACAUAUUAACGAUAAAGUUUCCUUACUUACGUGCAACUUACCUCGAUAUACAAAAAGUGGACGACUAAUUGGAUUUAGUCUACUAGCUUGGCCUUUCCCCGAUCUAGGUCCAGAUUUCGUAUUUCUUGAUCUAAAAUGAUAAAAAUUAACUAAUUUAAUCAUCAUAUUAAUCAGUGCAUUUCAUAAUUCAUAUUUUGGCAAAAUAACCAUUUUGCCCCUAGACUUUCAUAAAUUACGUUUUUACCCUUAGGCUCGUAAAUCAAUUUUUAUCGAAUUUCCUCAUUAACCAAGCUUAGCCGAAUACUUUUUAUACCUAUAACAUCUCAAAAUUUUAAAUAUUUCACACAAUUACCAUCCAUUUAACAACUUCACAAAAUAGUCCAUUUUAGGUGUUUUUCAUGAACACCACUCCACAGAAGUAGUUUACUUAACAACCAUAACUCAUUUUCUCUCAUAAAGUUUCAGCUAACAACACAAAUACUCUCAUGGUAAACCUCCAAACUCUCAACCUGAUAAACCGUAAUUUAUACAUAUUUUUAUCCCAUGCUUAGCACAUUUAUGGAUGAUUUCUCCUUAGAUUUGGUGAAUUCGAUGCUCCUACUCCUUUAAUUUUAUGUUUUAUACUUAGGUGAGCAUAGGAGAGUAAAAAGAGCGAGAAACGGGCCAAAAAUGGAGAAAAUGGGCCAAUAUGGGAGAUCAACACGGCUUGAACUUCCUGACACAGGUAGGCCACACGGCUGGGUCCAUCUGGCAGAAUUGAAGCACGACUCACACGGGUAGACCACACGCCCAUGCCUAUUUAACAGCUUUGACCACAGUCUGAAGCAAUCACACAUGGGCGUGUCACACGGGCGUGUCCCUGUCGACCCCAAGUAUAGUCCUAUUUGGAAAAAGGCCAUUUUUGAGUGCUCUUAGGCAUUCUAAAGCCUAUUUAAACACUUGAUGAGGAACUUAGAGGAGACACACAGAGUAGGAGGUAAGGAAUUACUUAAGGAAAGCCGAUUGAUACAUCUCAGAAACUGGAUUCAUUGUCAAGACUGGAGAUCUCCCUUCAAUUCCCUUCAGGAGUUUUGGGUUUUCUUUAUGUUUUGCUAUCUUUAUUCUUUUGAGAUAUUUUCUUUCCUAAUUAUGAACUAAACCCUCUAAAUACCUAAAGGGAAUGAAACAUAGGAUGGAUCUUGUUAUUAUUAUCUGAAUUGUAUGAUAAAUAUUUGACUUGUUCUUAUUUAUGUGUUCUUAAUUCUUGUUUUAAUAUUCCAGGAUAUUGAUUCAAGUUAAUGCGCUUAUUCAGAGGAGUAAAAGUCCCUGUCUAAGAUCAAAUUUGACGUAAUUAAGUGGAGUUGAUUGCACACCUAGAGAUAGGGUGAUAAGAUUUUGCCAAAUUAGGGUGAAACCUAAUAAGGGAGUUCAUAGAUCGAGUUAAUGCAACACUAGGGUGUUAAUUAGAAAGAGAUUUCAAUUAAUCAACCUAGGGUUGGACAUUAUUAGUCUCGAGAGAGAUAAUAAUAUAACUUAGGGAUUUCUACAGAUCAAGUCAAAUGAAUAAAUCGUCUGAUUCAGAGUCAAAUAACAAGUGAAGUCUAGGUGGAUUUUACCUUGGGUAUUGUCUUAAUCUAUCAAGUUUUCCCAAAAGCUUUUCCCCAAUUUUCUCUCUGUGCACCCUUAGUUUAGUUAAUUAGUUUAGAUAAACGAACUCCUUAAUUUUUAGGCUAGAUAAUUAAAAGAAAGUAAUUACUAGUACUCUUGGUUCCUUUGGGUUCGACAAUCCGGUCUUGCUAAAGCUUUACUACUGUUCGAUAGGUACACUUGCCUUCAUCGUGAUAAUAGUUAGUUUCAAGAACGAUUAAUUAUAAAUUUUUAAAAUCCUAUCGUGAAAGUUUUUGGCACCGUUGCUGGGGAACUUAAGACGUUAGGAACAAUCGAUUUUUAUUACUUUAGCCAUUUUAUUUAUUGCAAUUUAAAUUUUUCUUUUCUUUUCUAUUUUUUCGUUUAUUUUCUUCUAGCAGGUUUUUUAUAGUGUAUGACUAGAAGAAACCCAUCGGGACCAUUACUUUUUGAUAGUGAGAUCGAUCGUACAGCUCGCAGAAACCGAAGAGAAAUAAGGUGAAGCUUAAGAUACACAGAGGAAGAGCAAGAGGACGAUAUUCAAACCACAACCAAUGUGAUGGCUAAAAAUCAGGAAAAUCCGUUACCUCCUGCGAUUGUUGCUGAUCCAGUAAAUUAGAAUCAUGCUCCACGCACUAUGUAUGAUUAUGCUAAACCGAAUUUAACAGGAACUGAGUCAAGUAUAGUUAGGCCUGCUAUUGUUGCAAAUAGUUUUGAACUGAAACCUAACACGAUUCAAAUGAUACUGCAAUUUGUUUAGUUUGAUGGUUUGCAGGAUGAGGAUCCAAACAAUCACUUGACAAAUUUUCUGGAGUUUUGUGACACAUUUAAAAUCAAUGGCAUUUCUGAUGAUGCCAUUUGUCUUCGGUUAUUUCCCUUCUCAUUAAGGAAUAAGGCUAAACAGUGGUUGAACUUGUUACCACGAAGGUCAAUCACUACUUGGGAACAAAUGACCGAGAAGUUUUUAAUAAAAUAUUUUCCGACGGCUAAAAUGGCUAAAUUAAUAAUGAUAUCUCUUCUUUUGUACAGAUGGAUUUAGAAACACUAUAUGAUGCAUGGGAGAGAUACAAGGACCUGUUGAGAAGGUGCCCUCACCAUGGGUUACCACUCUGGCUACAGGUUCAAACUUUUCACAAUGGCUUGAAUCCUUCAUCUAGACAGAUGGUUGACGCAGCCACUGGUGGGACUAUCAAUAAUAAGACACCUGAGGAUGCUUAUGAAUUUAUAGAAAAGAUGUUACUAAAUAAUUAUUAGUGGCAAAUGAUGAGUAUAAAGCCAACGAAAGCAACCGGAGUUUUUAACGUCGAUUCGGUCACCAUGCUCUCUAAUCAGUUAGAACUUUUGAAUCGAAAAAUUGACGAUUUUCUUGGUUCUUCACAGGUUCACCUAGUAAUGCAAUGCAAUGCAAGUGAAGGAGGAACGAGCAAUUCAGAAUACCCACCUUAUGGCCACAACAUGGAAAACGAGCAAUUAAAUUAUAUGGGUAAUAACCCUCGACCUCAAAAUAAUUCCUAUAGCAACACUUACAAUGCAUGAUGGAGGAAGCACCCAACUUUCUUAUGGGGAGGCCAAGGGAAUCAGAGACCACCACCACCUCCAGGCUUCCAACAACCACCUUACGAACAAGAGAAAAAACUGAACCUUGUGGAGAUACUAACAAAAUUCAUCUCGGUGUCAGAAACUAGUUUUUAGAAUACUGAGACAACACUUAAGAAUCAACAAGAGUCGAUCCAAGGGCUCGAAACUCAGAUAGGCCAGCUCGCUAAAUUAAUAUCUGAACGGCCACAAGGUAGCUUACUGAGUAACACUGAAUCUAACCCAAGAGAGCAGCUCAAUACGAUUACCAUUCAAGAUGAGGAAGGGUUAGUUGCACCUGAACCAGAACCGAGGCAAGAAAUUAUGGUAAGUAAAGGUAAAGGUGAGGUGGACCACAAUGACCAAAAACUGGUAAGUAAAUAGUACAAACCACGUGUACCAUACCCUAAUGCAACAAGGAAAGACCACUCAGACGAAUAAUUCGGUAAAUUCCUUAAACUUCUAAAGAAAUUACAUAUUAACUCACCGUUUAUUGAAGCUCUUUUGCAGAUGCCGAACACAGUCAAAUUUUUAAAGGAGGGUGGGUAAUGGAUUAAGUGAAUUAGUUUUCCCCAAAAAUCCUCUUUGUAAUUGACGCCUAUUCCCCUGCUCUGUCAAUUUUCUUUUUCAUCCAUCUUUUAUUCUAUAGUCGAAAAUUAUUUUCUCCUUUCCCUACUCUUUUUGUUUUUGUAUUUUUGCAAAUCAUCAUCGUGGGAGCCAACUUUGAGUUCAUCUACUUCGGUAAGUUGGGGUAAGCAUGUUAUAGUUUCGGAAUUCUUGAAUCAAUGAUUAAUAGAGUGGUUUCGUGCUUCAAAGACUCUUCGGCGGCUGUAGGGUUUCAAUCGGUAUCGAGGAGGUGCGAUUUCGUUAUUGUGCAUUCAAGGUAAGAGUUGUUGGAAUAUUUGGGAAUACCUCUUCUUAAUAAUUUGGUGUAGCAUCGGUUUAAGUGACUGAAAUUGGGCUUUGGUUGGUCGAAUAUAGGUUCUGGAGUGCUCGGGAGUGUUUUUGCAACAAAUUGAUACCAGGUAUGUACUCAAAAACGCAGAAAAUGAUGUUUCGAAAAAAGAUGAAAACCUCACAGUCGACGCCACACCGGCGUGUGGUCACCCGUGGGGUAGGCCAUGUGGUAGACACGGGCGUGUGAUCGACGAGGACAGGUCAUGCAUAUAUGACACGACUGUGUGAUAGCCAGAUAGGCCAUGUGCGACACACGGGUUGGAUUGAUUUGAGCCGUGUAGGCCACACAAGUGUGUGGGCCCAUACGGGCGUGUGGAAUUUUUGGGCCAGGCCGUGUGAUCCACACGGCCAAGGGAAAUUUAGGCCCUCACGCGCAGGCCACAUGGGCAUGUGGGCCCAUUUUUACUAAAAUGACUGUUAAAAGGGCACGGGUGGCCCAAGUCGAUUGUAAACCUUUCGUACGGUCGGUAAGCACUACUUAGACCCUUAUCUGUUUGAAAUUGGCUAUGUGAACUAUGUACUGAGCAUAUUAUAUAUGUAAGCAUGUAUACUGAAUUGUAUGUGUAUUUGAUAGAUCUAUAUUAGCAUGACAUUCUAUUGCAUGUUGUAUUGUAUGGGGUUGGGGUAACACUAUUGCGAAGAAGUGUACUGAAAGGCUCUUAAGCCUAAUACACUGGUAGCUCAGCUGCAAAUUAUUGUUUAUGCCGCAUUCGGUACUACCUGGAGUGUAGGGAUGGGUGGGUUGAUUUAAUCCUCACAUAGAGUGUAGGUUGGACGGAGAUGGUGUGUAGAGGCUGGUUGGGCAGGACCUUGUUACUGAAUAAUGCAUACUGAUACUGUGAUGGGCUAAGGCCCUAAUGCAUACUGAUAUUGUGAUGGGGUAAGGCCCUACUGCAUAUUUGAUAUUAUACUGAGAUGGGCUAAGGCACAAACUGUUACUAGUACCCAAAGGGGCUAAGGCCCUGUAUUUGACUGUGCACUUUGUUUACUGUGUUGUUUUUCUGUGGAUUACACACUGAGUUUACGUAAACUCACCGCUCACUGUUUAAUGUGCACAAGUAAUCCCCAGACUUGACGGAUCAAUACAGCGGAGGACUCGACGAUGACCACACGUAUUAUUAAACCAUUUUAAUUUCAGUUUUGGUAUUUAUUUCUUAAUUAUUUUCUGGGUUAUUUUUUAUGUAAAUUGGACUUUUCGGACUAUUUUCUUUUAUUUCAGAUUUUAGGCCGUUUUUGUGGAUUUAAUAACAAACAAGUGGUUUUCUCUAAAACAAAAGGGGUUUUUCUAAUAUGGACAGAUUUGCCUAAUUAAUUCAAAUUUUUAUAAAUUAAAUGAUUUCUAAAGCUUCUAUGACGAGUUGUGUUUUAAACAAUUGAUUAAAUAAGUAAGCGAUUUUGGAAUCAACAAUAAUAAACAAAUGAAAACGAUUUUCUCGUAACAACUUAGUUUCAACACGCUAUCAUGUGACAUUACCAGAUUCAGCCAUAACGUCUAGGCCAGGUUUGGGGUGUUACAAUUAGGAUAAGUACUAAACAUUAACUAUAGAAGUGAAAUUCCUCUACUGCUCAACCGUUGAAGGACCACUCGUCAGCCAUCGAAAUGCCGCCACCGUCGGCACCAUCGUGUCCAAUGGUGACAUUGAAAGUGUGACACCCUUACGUUACCCUGAGCCGAUUUGGUCCAGGCCCGUGAUGGCCUGACCAGUUCGGUCCUACCACCAAUUGGACCAUCAGCCCAGUUUCACAUAUCAGGCCCAAUUUGACUAGUUUUUACAUCUCAAUCUCGGUUUUCGGUUCUUGGGCCCAAUCUUUAAUCUCAGGUCCAAUUUUCAAGUUCAAUUACCUAUUGGGCCAAUUUUUUUACUUGAAAAUUAAUUUUCAAAAAUACCAUAUUAAUUUUAAUUAAUUUGAUUAAUUUAAUUUUACUUGAUCAAAAUUAAUUUUCCCAAAAAACACUAAGAUUUUUCAAAUUAAUUUUUCAAGAAAAUUCUUUAAUCAAAUUCCAUAGUUUAAUAAUUCUCACGACUGCUUAGUUUAAUUCCACAUCAAAUAAAUUAACUAAAAUAAAUUAUUUCCAAAUUCGUAGAAUUCUCUUCUAAUUCAAAUGCAGUUCGAUCGAGCUUUUGUUGAGCUAGAGGAGGGACCAAUCAGACAUAUACAAUUAGGCUCAAGUAAUUUCAAUUAUGUCUAAAAGCAUUGUUUUGGUAAUUCACAAUUUACUUAAACAUGGAGUCAGUCCACAAGAAGUACCACGAUUGAAAACUCCUUAUUGUAUACUCUUUACUAAAGCAAUUCAUCCAAGUACUUUGUCCAAUGACCUCAUGAUACGUGUCUUACCCUCAUAUGAUAUCUUGAUUCGUAUGAGUUAAAUCUGUUCACUCAAUGCAAUCCUAUUUUAUCUCAUUGUUACCAAUGUGUAUUCUUAAUGAUUAAUAUAAUCAUUGUUAACAAAUGACUAUGAUAAACUGCUUGUUCAAGAAUAAGCAACUUGUGGUCACGUUCCAUAUUUAUCAAUCCACACAAUGCCAAUAAGAGGAUAUUGUUGACUCUUUAAUCGAGCUAUGAAUUCCAUUGUUGUUAGUAAAUCCAUGCCAUAUACAAGUGAAUUAAUUCACAAAUGAAAAGAGGAACAACCAAAGACGAAUAGUGUCAUCAGUGACACCAUUUGUGAAUUAAUUCACUUUUGGCAUUCAUGGUGUGAUUUACCUAAAUCCCGAGUUAGCCAUUGACUAUUCGUAUGUAACUCACGUGAGUUACAUACGAAUAGUCAAUGGCUAACUCGGGAUUUAGGUAAAUCACACCAUGAAUGCCAAAAGUUAAUUAAUUCACAAAUGGGUUCAAAAUUAAUUCAUCUCUACCGGUGGAGUCAACUGCUCUGAUGAACAAGAUAAGUCAUCUCCCCAAUUGGAAUUAUAGACGUCAUAAUAAUCCUUCUAAGUAUUUGAAUAAAAUGUUCAUUUUGUUUCCUUUACGGGAUUACAAACUCGUUUAGAUUAUCUACUGAAGUAAGUUGUAUUCCUCUCAAUGUAAACAUUCUUACAAUGCCACUUAUCAUCAGUUUGAGCUUAGACAGUCAAUGAGCUAAUAUUUUCUUGUCAGAAUUUUGCUAUGUAUGCAGAAUAUGAAGGACAGAAACAUGAAAGAUAUAAUAGUGAAAUGUGAAAUUAACUUUAUUUAUUUAUUUAUCGUUCAAAUACAUAGAAAACAAUUACAUGUUUACUACAAUAUGAGUACAUUUCCCAACAUUCCUCAUAUAUAAUCUUUGACUACAUCCACUAUUCCUUCAAACACUACUGUCUCUCUUAUGAUACUUUCUAUCAAUAUGUUUUGUCCUUGUGUAGUUUCAUUGGGUUUUAGCUAUAUUCGCACUUUUAUAGUUUUUGGGACCAUCGGUACACCCUGUGGCACAGCAGAUAAAUUAUUCUGGCGAUCCACAGCCAUGGAUCCAUGUACGAGGAAUGAAACGGGUUGCAAUAAGGUUGAAGAUGCACAUUCUGAACUGAAAAAAAAUAAAAUGAUGUUGUUGAUUCGAUGUCUAUUCCAAGCCACAACGAAUAACGUUCCAACCUUUAUGUAGUCCACCCAGUCAACCACGAACAAGAAAAAAACUCUUUAAACAAUUUAAGAAAGAAUUCAAAGACGACUGCUAGACCUUAUUUGUUUUUCUUGGUAACCUUAACACUCUAAGGGAUUCAUUUCCUUUUUAUUCUCUUUGAUAUCAUAUCUCAUAAAAUAAAAACGAGAUUAUUCUUUCAAAAAAAAUCACUUUGCACGUCUUUUUAUAUUUUGACUGAAAUUAUUAUAACUGUUUAUAUUAAUAAUUUCGGUAAUAUAUAUAAUUAAUAUUUUGUAUGAUCAAAUUCAUAUAUUAAUUUUAUUUAUGUUCUCUAUUUGUGUAAAAAAAGUUUGUACAUAUAUUUUAUUUAAUAUUUAACUAUCAAAUUAAAUUAAUUCGACAAUUAAUUUAAUUCAUGUCAUAGAUAAAUAGAAUACCAAAUGUAUUUUGAUUCUGUUUUCUUCUACUAUAGGGUGUGACCCUGUAGGCUCUUGUAAUGUUGGUACUAAUACUAGAACGUUUCUAACAUUACAAGCAAUGAGUGACAUCUAGCAAUGCAACAUUCCUACCCAAGUUACAAGAAGUCGUGAUUUGAUAUAACCUUUCUGUGAUAAUAUUUUCAUGUAUUAUAUCCUUUUAUCCUUAAUAUCUAGAUUGGACACAAGUCAUGGGAUAGUCACACUUGUACAGUCCAAUAUCAUAUUUCUUGAUUUUCUAAGUAGACUACAAUAAACAAAAAAGUGUGAUAUUUCAUAUCAAAUUAUUCGAGCAUGGCCAUGCAUUUCUAGUCUCACUCCACCAAGAGGCCUAAGAUAUUGCUCCCAUUAUGUAGGAGGGAUAAAUCCUAUCUUGAUCAACCACAUCCCACUACAUGUAUUGUGGUAUAUCCAACAUCAAUCUUUAUAGUCCAACUUGUUACGGUAGACGUUUGACUAUAUCAAAAUAUACGACCCACGAUAUUGGGAUAAUAAUGAUCUCAAGUCUGAGGAUCAUAUACGUAGUUAUCACUAUGAAAAAUAUUGUGACUAUUACAUAAUAAUCCAACAAACAUACUCAUAGCGAGUCAGUCUAAUAUGUUGUUCUCUAACACAUACUCAUGUAUUGAUUUUGACAUCCCUGUGUCAAUGACAACCUUUUUUCAUCAAUCAACUACACAUUAGUCUCAAUGCAUUAUUGUUGUCCAAGCCUACAAUAAUACUUGACUAAGUACCUUUUAAGAAUAAUCAUAUUUUCUUAGGACUUUAUUACAAUUCAGUUUGUUUAUAUACACAAAAAAAAAGAAACUGAAAUAAUAAUGGCAAUGUCUUAUAUUAAUAAAUAAGGUAAAACAAGUAUGUAAUUACAAUCAUAUAAUAAUUGGUCUUUGGGCAUGAUAUAUCAAUAGUGCCAUAGUUUUUUCCAUAUCUCAUAUUCGGCCCUCCAUACUGAAGUUACUAGUGUAACCUUGUUUGACACUUAUUCAUACUAUGAACCCACCAUCUAGGAUAGAAGCACAUCCCAAUGUCGAUUUCCUUGAAUCUUGCCACAUUUGAAAGUUAAAAUCAGUGUAACCGAUUUAAGUAAAAUUUCUUUCGGAAUACAAAAGCAUAUAAUACCUCGUUCUCCAUAAAUACUUUAGUAUAUGCUUAAUUGCUAACUAGUGUCUUCGUCCUGGAUUCACCUGAUAUCGACUCACCAACCCCACUAUGAAAAAGAUAUAUGGUCAUGUGCAUAACAUAGCAUACAUAAGACUUCAUACUGUAGAAGCAUAAGGAACCUUUUUCAUGUUUUUUUCUUUAUUUCACUGUCUUAGGACAAUCAUCCAAAGAUAGAUGAAAUCCCGAUACAAAAGGUUGAUCUUCUUUCUUUGAAUCGAUCAUUUGUAUAACAUUCUAAAAUGUUGUCUAUGUAUGAAGCUUGGGAUAGUGCUAUCACUUUGUUCUUUUGAUCCCUUAGGAUUCAAAUUACUAGAACAAAUUAGCUUCUCCCAAGUCCUUCAUGCGAAGCUGUUGGGUUAACGAUAGUUUAACGAUUAUAAUGUCUAUAUAUCAUUCCUAAUUAGUAGAAUGUCAUCGACAUAGAGAACAAGAAAGACCACUUUUCCAUCCCAAUAAAUUUUGGCAUAAUGCCGAAAAUUUCCCCCUAACAUUUGAUUAUUUGGUCAUUUUGGAGCACUUUAACCCUUAACAUCUUUUGUUGUCAAAUUGAUCCAUUUUUAACAGAGAUGCUAACGUGGCUGUUUGUUGGCUAACGGUUAACAUUAACCGCUAAUGUGGCAGUCCAAAUGUAAUUAAAUCCCGAAAUGACACCCUUUUGUCUUAUAUGCCACGUCAGUAAAUGUUUUUAAAAUUAUUAAAAUUAUUUUAAAAUCAUCAUCAUUUGAGCUUUAACUUUGGGAGUUCCAUGAUCUAACCAGAAGUCUAAAUUCGCAUUCACCAUCCAAAACAAUAUUGCAUCAUCAACAUCAAUUCCAAUAUCGUGAUAUUUCCCGUCCAAUAACCAUCCUAAAAAUGGGGUUAAAUGUAACACCCCUAACCCAUCUCUGUUGUCAGAUUAGGGUUAUAGAACAUUACGGAUCAAUUAGAAAAUAUUUAUCAACAUGACAUUCAAUACUUUAAUCUCAUUCAAAAUAUAUCAAUGAUAAGCUUUUGGUCCCUAAAUAGAGCCUUCGUGUCCCUAAAAAAAGCUUUUAAGCCAUUCAAAACUAAACUGAAACAAAAUAGAAGUUUUAAGAAAAAUUUGAAAAUUUUCAAAAACAAAGGACACACGGUCGUGUGGAAAUGCCCAGACCGUGUAACUUUUGAAAUUGGGACACAUAGUCAUGUCUCUGCCCAUGUAACUCAUUGAGUUGAGCCACACAGCCGUGUCGCAGCCUAUGCGCUAAACCGUGUAACACACUAACUUAACACACAGGACCGUGUCUCAGACCGUGUGUGGCAUAUGGCCAAGUGACACGGGUGUGUCCUAGGUCCUGUGCACCUAAAUGAACCUUAAAUGUCAAGUUUACCAUUUCAAGCUUUCUUGGACACUAAGCAAACCAUUUACCAACCAUUUAGACCAAUUUAAAAUGACAUUAAACAAGCUUAAAUCAUGUUAUUUUCAAGCAUCCUAAGUGCCUAACCAAUGUACCGUCAUUGGUACCACAAGUGUACACAAUUAUACAACAUUAUGAAUCUUCACUCAAAACAUGUCAAUUCACACAACUUAACACCCAACAAAUAUGCCUAUCAUAGACACCUAAAAUCACAAUAAGUCAAUAGAGACCAUUUAAUCAUACAUUAACUAUAAGUUAAUGUCAAAAACACCUUCCAUUAUUCAUAAUCCAUAUCAAGUCAUUAAUUAAACAUUUGUCAAAUAAACAUCGAGGUCAUAUAAUGAUGUUCAUGUUACCAAUUUGCAAAAAGGAUCACUUUAUAAAAAUAUACAUGCCAAAACCUAAGUAAUGACCAAAACAAGCCUAUUACAUGCCAUAUAAUCCAAAAUAAACGUUCCAAAAACUACUGAAAAUGGAUGGCUACUAAUCGCGUGAUUUCGUGAUAGGUUUUAAAUAUUUAUAAUUAAUCAUUCUUGAAACUAACUAUUAUCGCGAUGUAGGCAAGUGUACCUAUCGAACAGUAGUAUAGUUUUAGCAAGACCGGAUUGUCGAACCCAAAGGAACUAAAAGUACUAGUAAUGAUUGUCUUUUUAUUAUCUAGCCUAAGAAUCAAGAGGUUUUGUUUUAACUAACUAAUUAUCUAAACUAAGAACUCAUAGAGAAUAGAAUUGGGGAAUUGAUUUUGGGAAAAUCGAUUGAAUUAAGACAAUACCUCAGGAAAAAUCCACCUAGACUGUACUUGUUUUUUUGGCUCUGAAUCGGACGAUUUAUUCAUUUAACUUGUUCCGUGGAGAUCCAUAAGUUAUGUUAUUAUCCCUAUUCAAGACUAAUAACGUCUAAUCCCUAGAUUGAAUAAUUGAGACUUUUCUCUAAUUAACACCCUAGGGUUGCAUUAACUCGAUCUAUAGAUCCUCUUAUUAGGUUUCACCCUAAUCCGGCAAAAUCUUGUCACCCUAUGUCUAGGUGCACAAACAACUCCGCUUAAUUAUGACAAAUUUACUCUUAGACAGGGUCUAUUCCUCCUCUGAAUAAAAGCUUAUCUUGAAUCAGUAUCCUGGGAUAUCAAAACAAGAAUUAAGAACACAUAAUUAAGAACAAGUUAAAUAUUUAUCAUACAAUUCAGAAAAUAAUGACAAGAUUCGUCUUAAGUUUCAUUCCCCUUAGGUGUUUAGGGGUUUUAGUCCAUAACUAAAUAAGAAAACAUCUCAGAAUAAUAAAGAAUAUAAAACAUAAAGAAAACCCAAAACUCCUAAAGGGGAAAUUGAGGAGAGAUCUUCAAUCUUGAUGAUGAAUCCGGCUUCUGAGAUGGAUUAAUCGGCUUCCUUUGAGUAAUUCCUUCCUUCCUCCAUGUGUGUAUGCUUUUCUUCCUCCCUAGGGUGUAUUUGUAGGCUUUGGAAUGCCUAAGAGCCCUCAAAAUUAGCCUUUUGUGAAUUGGACUCAACUUGGGCUCGGUAGGGACAUGCCCGUGUGACACACCCGUGUACAUUACUUCAGGCCGUGCUCGAGCCUGUCAAAUUGACACGGCCUUGUGGUAUACCCGUGUGAGGAGGUCCAGGCCAUGUUGAUUUCGUACUUUGGCCCAUUUUCUCCAUUUUUGGCCCGUUUCUCGUUCCUUUCGCUCUCCUAUGCUCUCCUAAGUAUAAAACAUGAAAUUAAAGCAUUAAGAGCAUCGAAUUCACCAAUUCUAAUGGGAAAUCAUCCAUAAAAUGCGUUAAAUUACGGUUUAUCAAAUACUCCCACACUGAAGCAUUUGCUUGUCCUCAAGCAAAAUUCUCAACUCAUAAUCAAAAUAAAUUCUUCUCAACUUAUAAUUUCUAUUGAUAAUAUCUCAAAAUAAUCUAUAGGUAAUCAUACAUUGAGAAUUCAACUCAAAAAACAUAAAAGUUUCAAACACUUCAAGUUGAGCAUUUUAUUCUGAAAACAUAGGUGUCUCCCCUCGUUUAGGUAAUUACCUUGUAUUCAAAAUGUCACAGAGUUUUACAUCCUCUCUAAAGAUUCAUUCAAAUUACUCGAGGUGUUUAAGGACAAUAAAUAAAGCACUCAAUAGUCAAUAAUGAAAAGUCAUUACCAUAGGCUUGCAUGAAAAUCAAAUCUCCACCACUAUAAAUUGAAAUGAUACAUCAAUCAAAAGGUCUUUAGAGGGUUUUAAUGAGGCUUGGUUAGGGGGUGUGGUCACAAGCUGAAAGAAAGUGUUAGAAUCGAGAUUGAGUUGAAAAAUUACUUAACUAGAAAAAUAUUUAAUCAUCACUUACGUACAACAUACCUCCUUCUCUGACUAUGGAAUUUAAAUACUGAAGCUUACAAACAAAAGAUCACUACUAAUAUGUAUACAUUUUUUUUUAAGAACGAGUUAAAUAACAUAGACUAACUAUUAAGAACAAGACUUAGCUAACCAAUUUAUUCAACUCAAAUCUCAACAAAAAUAGGGAUCAGAUUAAUUUAGGGGAUUUCAACAAUAAUGUGUUAAGGGCUAAUAUUAAGGGUAAUAGAAGAAAUGGCUUGUUAGCUCAACGGGUUAUACUCAGGGUUAAUCGUGGAGAUGGGCUUUUCAUGGCAUGAGUGGGUUAAUCCUAAGUGUCUUUCUCAUUUUGACAUAUCAAAUCAAAUGGUGUGGUCUUGACAUGCAUAAUCAAGCAAGUUCUAGAAUAACAGUUCAAUACUGACGCACUCAAAGCAAUAAUAAAAGUGAGCAUGAAAGAAUUAAUAGAUGCUCAAAAGGCUCAAAAAUCUCACAAAAAUUAUGGCUUUUUGAUAUUUAAAACUUAUGAAUUCCAACUCAAAGUAAUACCUAAACUUUGGGGAAACAACCUAAGAUUUUAAAUUCUUAAAAAUCAACUUAUCAUGCUUGAUUCUCUAAUGUCUUAAAGUUUAAAAAAUCAAUGCAUAAAUUCCUAUGUUUUAAUUCAAGAUAUAUCAAUCAAAAUCAUAAAUCAAUUAAAAUUUAUCCUAAAUAUGAUAUGAAAGCUUUUCAAGAGAAUAAGGCAGUCAUUCAGGGAUUUUUCUGAUAGGGAAAUGAAGUAAAUACCCCCCACACUUAAGAUGUACAUUGCCCUCAAUGCACAAAGAUAGAUAUAAAAAUAUAAAAAUAAGAUAGGGAGAGAAGUGAAACUUCCUGAGUUGAAAAUGGAUGAAAUUCCUAGAUUAGCAAGAGCGAGUUGCUGGAAAUACAACUAGAGGACAAACAUGAUUCUGAAGGACAAAAUGAUAAUUGGGGGAAUAAUUUGAUAGUAAUCUUAAAGAUAAGUCAUUUUAAAAACAAAAGAAUCUUCAAAAAUAAAUAAAAUAAAAUCGAUAAUCUAAUUUUUUUCCAAGUGGCAUGGCCGGUUCACACGUCCGUGUAGAUCGUGUCCCCCCCCCCCGUGUUUGUCGCGAAGUGAGAUGUUGUCACACGGCCUUCGGGCAUGCCCGUGUGUCUAGGCUGUGUGGCUACAUGAUCAUGUUAGAUGACCGUGUGUGAUGUGGUUCGCUUCUCCCACGGUCAUGUAGCUCUGUACACGCCCAUGUUAUUUUCACAGUGUUGUCCACAGGUGAUAAACACGAGUAUGUCGCAUGCCCGUGUGCAUUUGGCUGAUUUGACCACAGCCAGGUCACACGCCCAUGGCCACUUAUCGCAUCUCGUGUUGGGAAAGAUAACUUUUACCCAGUUUUCGCACGGCCGUCUUGCACGGUCGUGUUUUCGUCUGUUAUGGUCACAAGGUCCAAAGCACGGUCGUAUAAUUGCCGUGUGGAGUUGGGAACUUUUGCUUCAAAGACUCUCUUAGUGACUUAGAUGUUUAAAAAUUGAAAUUUAAAUAAUUUAAAACUGUUAGUACCCGGGUUGCCUCCCGAAAAGUUCUUGUUUAUAGUCUAAGCUCAACUGUUACCUUGUUGGUUUAUUCAGGGCAGUUUGUGGAGUUGUAGCUCCUCUCCAUCUUCUUUAAAAUUCUCCCCGUUAUAAAGUUUCAGACAAUGUCCGUUUACUUUGAAAGUACGGUAUGAUGGGUGACUUACCUCUAUUGUGUCAUAUGGAAGAACAGAUUGAAUUACUAAAGGUCCUGACCAUCGUGAUUUAAGUUUCCAAGGAAACAAUUUGAGUCUUGAGUUGUAUAGGAGGACAAGAUCUCCAACUUCAAAUUGUUUUUGUUGCUUUAAACGAGAGUCAUGGCGCAGCUUUGUUGCUUCCUUGUAUAGGCGUGAGUUUUCGUAUGCAUUGGCUCGCCACUCAUCAAGUUCGUUCAGCUGCAUCAACCUAUUUUUUCCUCCAAGUUCGGGAUCAAGGUUUAAAAUUAGUAGCCCAAAAAGCUUUAUGCUCUAGAUCGAAUGGUAGAUGACAACUUUUUCCAUAAACAAGUCUAUAGGGUGAUGUCCCUACGGGGGUCUUAAAAGCAGUUCUGUAAGCCCAUAAGGCAUCAACUACUCUCAUUGCCCAAUCUUUUCUGUUUGAUUCUACUAUUUUUUCAAGGAUUCGUUUGAUUUCUCAGUUUGUCACUUCAAUUUGUCCGUUAGUUUGAGGAUGGUAUGGGGUAGUUGUUCUAUGAUGGAAUCUGUAUUUCUUAAGAGUUUUUUCAAAUUGGGUAUUACAAAAAUGAGUGCCCCUGCCACUGAUAAUUGCUAUAGGUGUUUUGAAUCUCAAAAAGAGUUUCUUAAGGAAAUGUACUACCACUCUAGCAUCAUUAGUAGGUAGAGCUUAGGCUUCCACCCAUUUGGACAUAUAAUCAACUGCUACUAAGAUGUAUUUAUUCCCAAAUGAACUGGGGAAUGGGCCCAUGAAAUCGAUACCCCAAACGUCAAAUAUUUCACAUGAAAGCAUAUAGUUUUGAGGCAUUUCAUCACGUUUAGAUAUGUUACCUGUCCGUUGGCAUUUUUCACAUGAGUAACGUACCUGUUAGCGUCUUUGAAUAACGAGGGCCAAUAAAAACCUGAUUCACGUAUUUUAUGUACGAUCUUAGUUCCACUAUAGAGUCCUCCAGUUGGCUCUGAGUGGCAAUGUUCCAGUAUUUUUGAUGUUUCGAAUCUUGUAACGCAUCUUCUAAUGAAUUGAUCUACACAUCUGCGAAAAAGAAAAGGGUCGUCCCAAAAGUAAUUUUUCACAUCAUUAAAAAAUCGCUUCUUUUGCUAGUGUGUUAACCCUUUUGGGAUAAUGUUAGCGGCUAAAAAAUUUGUGAUGUCUGCAAACCAAGGUACCUCGGAGUCAGAUAUAGCGAAAAAUUAUUCUUCAAGAAACGAAUCAUUUAUUUCAACUUCAUCUAGUUCCUUGCUAUUGAAGUUCUCAAACCUGGACAGAUGAUCAGCCGCGAGAUUUUCAGCUCAUUUCUUAUCCUGAAUUUCCAAGUAAAAUUCCUGCAAUAGGAGAAUCCAUCGAAUGAGUCGAGGUUUUACAUCAGUUUUAGUUAAAAGGUAGCGAAGGGCAGAAUGGUCAAUGUAAACAACGACUUUAGACAAUAUGAGAUAUGAUCGAAAUUUAUCAAAUGCAAAAACCACAGCUAGCAAUUCUUUUUCUAUAGUAGUAUAACUCUCUUGUGCAGCUGUCAAAGUUUUGCUAGCAUAAUAGAUAGGUUGAAAAUGCUUGUCUCUUCGCUGUCCCAAUACUGCACCUACUGCAAAGUCACUCGCAUCACACAUUAAUUCAAAUGGUAAGUUCCAAUCAGGUGCAAUUAUAAUUGGAGCAUUAAUUAAUUUAUCCUUUAAAGUAUUAAAUGCUUGUAAGCACUCUUGAUUGAAAUUAAAAGGUAUAUCUUUUUCUAGCAAUUUAGUCAAAGGCUUAGCUAUUUUAGAAAAAUCCUUAAUAAAUCUUCUAUAAAAACCAACAUGUCCUAAAAAGCUUCUAAUAGCCUUAACCGAACUAGGAGAAUGUAACUUUUCAAUUGUUUCUAUUUUAGAUUUGUCCACCUCAAUCCCUUUACUAGAAAUUUUAUGCCCUAAUACAAUACCUUCUUGAACCAUGAAGUGACAUUUCUCCCAGUUAAGCACAAGAUUCAUUUUCUCACAUCUUAUUAAAUCUCGUUUUAAAUUUUUAAGGAAGAGAUGGAAAGAGUUACCGAAUACCGAGAAAUCGUCCAUAAAAACUUCCAUGAUAUCUUUCACGAGUUCGUCAAAGAUGGCCAUCAUACAGCGCUGAAAAGUGGCAGGAACAUUACAUAAUCCAAAAGGCAUUCUACGAUAAGUGAACGUACCUUAUGGGCAUGUGAAUGUUGUCUUUUCUUGAUCUUCAGGAGCUAUUGGGAUUUGGAAGUAACCAGAGAGUCCGUCAAGAAAGCAGUAGUACAUGUGCCCCGAUAAUCUUUCCAACAUUUGGUCAAUGAAUGGCAAGGGGAAGUGAUCUUUUCUUGUGGCAUCAUUCAGUUUCCUGUAGUCAAUGCAAACUCUCCAUCCUGUGACUGUCCUUGUUGGGAUUAAUUCAUUCUUCUCAUUGGUCACAACCGUCAUGCCUCCUUUCUUAGGGACAACCUGCACUGGACUUACCCAAGAACUGUCGGAAAUAGGAUAAAUAAUUCCAGCAUCUAGAAGUUUAAUUACCUCAGGUUUAACAACUUCUUUCAUGUUGGGGUUCAGUCGUCUUUGAGCUUGCACACACAGUUUGUAUUCUUCUUCCAUCAAAAUUUUGUGGGUGCAAAAAGAAGGGCUGAUUCCUUUAAUGUCGAAAAUUUUCCACGCUAUGGCCUUUUUGUGUUCUUUUAAUACUUGGAUUAACUCCUCUUUUUCCUUGGGUUGCAAGUUAGAAGCAAUAAUAACUGGUAAUGUAGAAUUAUUUCCAAGGAAUGUGUAUUCCAAGUGGUUUGGUAAUUGUUUAAGUUCCAGUUUGGGAGGCUCUUUAAUAGAGGGUUUUUGCUUAAGUUUAUUGUUUAUCGUAAUGCCCUCAUAUUCUACUUGUCUUGAAGAAUGCUCAUUAGGUUCAUCAUUUUUCUCCUCUUCUUGAGCUAGAUACAGUUCUGUCGUGUCUUUCUGUACAAUUUCCUGAAAAGAGUCUUGAGUAGUAUGAUCAAUAGAGUCAAUAAAAUAACAUGAGUCAUCCUGUUCCCUAGAAAACUUCAUAGCAUCAUAAAUUUUAAAGAUAAUCUCCUCGUCACCCACUCUAAGUACCAAUUUAUAGUCUCCCACAUCGAUUACAGCCCUAGCAGUGGCUAAAAAUGGGCGCCCUAAAAUAAAGGGCACUUCCACAUCUUCAUCCAUGUCAAGCACAACAAAGUCAACAGGAAAUAUAAGUUUAUCUACUUUCAUAGGUAUGUCUUCUAUAAUACCCCUAGGAUAUUUAACAGAUCUAUCGGCUAAUUGAAUACUCAUCCUAGUAGGUUUAGGCUCCCCAAGACCAAGUUGUUUGAACAUUUUAUAUGGCAUCAAAUUAAUGCUAGCGCCUAAAUCAGCUAGUGCUUUCUCAACAUUCAGACUACCAAUUAAGCAAGGGAUAGUGAAACUUCCUUGAUCUUUCAGUUUGGUUGGCAGCUUGUUUUGGAGUAUGGCUGAGCACUCCUCGUUGAGUUUUACUGUAGAUAAGUCCUCGAACUUCAUUUUAUUUGUUAAAAGCUCUUUCAAGAAUUUUGUGUAGGUAGGCAUCUGCGAGAUGGCUUCAACAAAAGGUAAGUUGCUAUGUAAUUGCUUAAAAAGUUCAAGAAACUUAUCGAAUUGUGCAUCAAUGCGGUCUUUUUUCAAUUUUACUGGGUAUGACACCGGUGGUUUAUAUUCCUUCGGCACUGGGUUGUCACUAUUUUCGUGUUUUUCUUCCCUCCUUUCGCUUGUCACAGAUUCUUGUGUUAGCUUCUUUUCAGAUUCCACUAACACUUUCCCACUCCUUAGUGUAACUACUUUUACAUGCUCUUUUGAUUUGGUGUUACUAGGUAAACUUCCUAGUGGUCUUUCUGAAAUUAGUUUCGACAGCUGGCCUAUCUGCGUUUGGAGCCCUUGGAUCGAUGCUUGUUGAUUCUUAAGUCCUGUCAUAGUAUUCUAGAAACGAGUUUCUGACACCGAUAUAAACUUUGAGAGUAUCUCUUCAAGGUUCGGCUUCUUUUCCUAUUGGUAGGGUGGUCGUUGGUAGCUUGGAGGUGGUCUCUGAUUUUCUUGGCCUCCCCAGGAGAAAUUUGGAUGGUUCCUCCAACCUGCAUUGUAAGUGUUACUAUAUGGAUUGUUUUGAGAUCGAGAAUUAUUACCCAUGUAAUUUAACUGCUCGUUAUCCAUGUUGUGGCCAUAAGGUUGGUUUCCGAAUGGCUUGUUCCACCUCCACUUGCUUCGCAUUGCAUUACUGGAUGUACCUGAGUAGAACUAAGUAAACCAUCAAUCUUUUUAUUUAGAAGUUCUACCUAGUUUGAUAGCAUAGUAACCGAAUCGACAUUAUAAACGCCGGUUGUUUUCGUUGGCUUUUUCCUCAUGACUUGCCACUAAUAUUUAUUCAAUGGCAUAUCCUCCAUAAACUCAUAAGCAUCUUCAGGUGUUUUAUUAUUGAUGGUUCCGCCAGUAGCUGCGUCAACCAUUUGUUGUGUCGAAGGAUUCAGGCCAUUAUGGAACGUUUAAACCUGUAGCCAAAGCGGUAACCCAUGGUGAGGGCACCUUUUCAAUAAGUCCUUGUAUCUCUCUCAGGCAUCGUAAAGAGUUUCUAAGUCCAUCUGCACAAACGAAGAGAUAGCAUUACGUAAUUUGGCCAUUUUAGACAGUAGGAAAUAUUUUAAUAGAAAUUUUUUGGUCAUUUGUUCCCAAGUAGUGAUUGACCCUCGUGGUAACGAGUUCAACCACUAUUUAGCUUUGUUCCUCAAUGAAAAGGGAAAUAACCGAAGACAUAUGGCAUCAUCAGAAAUUCCAUUGAUUUUAAAUGUAUCGCAUAGUUCCAAAAAGUUUGCUAAGUGAGCGUUGGGAUCUUCAUCCUGCAAACCAUCAAACUGAACAAAUUGUUGUAUCAUUUGAAUUGUGUUAGGUUUCAGUUCAAAAGCAUUUGUAGCUACAGCAGGUCUAACUAUGCUUGAUUCAGUUCCUGUUAAAGAAGGUUUAGCAUAAUCAUACAUAGUGCAUGGAGCAGGAUUUUGAUUAACCGCGAUUACAGGAGGUAGUUGAUUGUCUUGGUUUUCAACCAUCUCUUCGGUUGGGGGUUGAGUAUCGUCCUCUUACUCGUUCUCUGUGUAUCUUAAACUUCGCCUUAUUUCUCUUUGGUUUUUGCAAACUGUGCGAUCGAUUUCUUCGUCAAAAAGUAGUGGUCCUGACGGGUUUCUUCUAGUCAUAAACUAUAAAAACCUGCCAAGAGAAAGAAAAAGUAAAUUAAUAAAUAAUAAAAAAUUAAAAUAAAUUGCAAGAAAAAUAAAUAGCUAAAGUAAUAAAAAUUAAGCGUCCCUAAUAUCUUAGUUCCCCGAUAACGGAGCAAAAAACUUGAUCGCGUGAUUUCGUGAUAGGUUUUAAAUAUUUAUAAUUAAUCAUUCCUGAAACUAACUAUUAUCGCGAUGUAGGCAAGUGUACCUAUCGAAUAGUAGUAUAGUUUUAGCAAGACCAGAUUGUCGAACCCAAAGGAACUAAAAGUACUAGUAAUGACUGUCUUUUUAUUAUCUAGCCUAAGAAUAAAGAGGUUUUGUUUUAACUAACUAAUUAUCUAAACUAAGAACUCAUAGAGAAUAGAAAUGGGGAAUUGCUUUUGGAAAAAUCUAUUGAAUUUAGACAAUACCUAAGGAAAAAUCCACCUAGACUAUACUUGUUAUUCUGGCUCUGAAUCGGAUGAUUUAUUCAUUUAACUUGUUCCGUGGAGAUCCCUAAGUUAUGUUAUUAUCCCUAUUCAAGACUAAUAACGUCUAAUCCCUAGAUUGAAUAAUUGAAACUAGGGUGGCAUUAACUCUAUCUAUGGAUCCCCUUAUUAGGUUUCACCCUAAUCCGGCAAAAUCUUGUCACCCUAUGUCUAAGCGUGAAAACAAAUCUGCUUAAUUAUGACAAAUGUACUCUUAGGCAGGGUCUAUUCCUCCUCUGAAUAAGAGCUUAUCGUGAAUCAGUAUCCUGGGACAUCAAAACAAGAAUUAAGAACACAUAAUUAAGAACAAGUUAAAUAUUUAUCAUACAAUUCAGAAAAUAAUAACAAGAUUCAUCUUAGGUUUCAUUCCCCUUAGGUAUUUAGGGGUUUUAGUUCAUAACUAAAUAAGAAAACAUCUCAGAAUAAUAAAGAAUACAAAACAUAAAGAAAACCCAAAACUCCUGAAGGGGAAAUUGAGGAGAGAUCUUUAGUCUUAAUGAUGAAUCCGGCUUCUGAGAUGGAUCAAUCAGCUUCCUUCGAGUAAUUCCUUCCUUCCUCCAUGUGUGUCUCCUUUUCUUCCUCCCUAGGGUGUAUUUAUAGGCUUUGGAAUGCCUAAAAGCCCUCAAAAUUAGCCUUUUCUGAAUUGGACUCAACUUGAGCUCGGCAGGGACACGCCCGUGUGACACACCUGUGUGCGAUUACUUCAGGUCGUGCUCGAGCCUGCCAAAUUGACACGGCCAUGUGGCCUGCCCGUGUGAGGAAGUCCAGGCCGUGUUGAUUUCUUACUUUGGCCCAUUUUCUCUAUUUUUGGCCCAUUUCUCGUUCCUUUCGCUCUCCUAUGCUCUUCUAAGUAUAAAACAUGAAAUUAAAGCACUAGAAGCAUCGAAUUCACCAAUUCUUAUGGUAAAUCAUCCAUAAAAUGAGUUAAACAUGGGGUAAAAAUAUGUAUAAAUUACGGUUUAUCAGAUAGUGUGACUCGAGUGCUGAUCCUGUAAUGCCUUGAUUAAUUUAAUUUUAUUUCUGUGAAUUUUGAUAUAAAUGAGUAUCUACUUCAGUAGUUAAGUGAUAUGGAUGUGUGUUUGAAGUCGUGGGUUCAAGUCCCAUUUAUGAAAAAUUCUGUUAUUUUUUACCCUAGUUUAUUCCUAGCUUAUUCCUGGUUUGUUGAUUUUGGUUAGUGGGUAGGAUUCUAGGGGAUUAGGUAGUUAGUGGAUAGAGUGGGGGAUUUUUUUAAUAUUUUAAUUUUAAUUUAUUUUUAUUCUUUUUCUUUUCCCCAAAAUUCCUCUCCACAUUUGACAUUCUUUCUUUUCCCAAAUUCUUCUUCCAAACAUUUUUCCUUGUCUUAUUCUUUGAACUUUUUUGUUUCUUUUUUCUUUGAAUUCUAUUCACGAAACAGUCGUUCAAUCGUUGCAUUUGGUUCUGUGUUUCCUAUUCGAAUCACGGUAGGUAAGUGUUCUUGUAAUACCCUAAAAUAUCUAUUCUGUUUUUAUAUGUGUAUGCCAUAAAUGCUUGUCUACUUCAAUGGUUAAGUGCUCUAGGUGUGUGUGUGUGAGGUCCCAAGUUCAAGCUUUAGUUUUGACUAAUUUUGGUAUUUUUAUGAAUAAAGCCUUAACCUUGCCUAGAGGGCUUAAGUUUCAUAGUUGGUAAAUAGUUAACAGAAUGGGCCUGCUAGUCUCGUGGUUAAGUGGAGUGUCAAUAUACUGGAGGUCUUGUGUUCGAAUCGUUGCGUAAGCAUGAAGGCUAUUAUUUUAUAGCUUGGUCGAUUAAGAGAGUUUGAGUUGGAUUGGACAGCAGGGUGAUCAGAAGUGGCUCAUUUGAUUUUCUUUUUGCAAAUUCUGGUGCCCCCUUCUGCUUCUAAGAUUCUGACAUUACCUUGUGUCCACCUCUCUGUCAUUUUCCCUCUUUUUCCCUUGCUGCCUUUUUGCAUUUUUCCCAUCUAUUUCUUAGUAGCUGCAACUUGUUAUCUCUGUACCAUUACGUGUUAACAGUAAGUAUGGUAAAUAUGGUUAUCUGUUAAUUGUUGAAUCAUCGUCUAAAUAAGGUUUCAAUUCAUUUUUAGGAAGACAUUGAGUGGUUGUGGAAUUUCGACUGGUGCCAUAGAAGUGCGAAUUCGCCGGUGAUUGUUCAAAGGUAAGGGAUUUAAUGGUUUUAAUUUGGAAUACCUCGUCAACUCUUCCAUCGAGUAAUGAUUUAAGUGGCUAAAUUGGGAAAAUAUUUGUGAAUUAUAGGCGUUGGAUAUCUCGGGAGUGUUAGUACAUCAAAACCGUACUAGGUGUGUACUCGAUUGCACUGAAAACAAGGUUUCGGUGAAAGCCAAAAACCUUACUAUCGAUGCCACACGGGUGUAUGGUCGCCUGUGUGGUAGGCUGUGUGCCCCAACAUGGGCAUGUGAAAGACGAGGCCAAGCCGUACGCACUAGACACGAUCGUGUGAUGGCGAAGGAGGUCGUGUACGACACACGGGCUAGACUAAUUUGGGCCAUGUGGCCCACACAGGCCAAGGCCAAUCUAGGCAUGUGAGCCACACGGGUAGGCCACAUAGGCGUGGGAGCCCAUUUUUACUGAAAUGUGUGUUAAGGUUGCACGGGUCGCCCAAGUCAACUGCGAACCUUCUGUAGGGUCGGUAAGCACUACUUAGACCCUUAUCUGUGUGAAAUUGAUUAUGGGAAUUAUGUGUCGAGCAUGUUAUAUAUAAGCAUGUAUACUGAACUGUAUGUGUAUCUGACAGAUCUGUGAUAGCAUGACAUUCUAUUGUAUGUUGCAUUGCAUUGGUUUGGGAUGACAUUAUUUGGAGGAAGUGUACUGAAAGGCUCUUGAGCCUAAUAUACUGGCAGCUCAGCUGCAAAUUAUUGUUUGUGCCGCAUUCGGUACUACAUGGAGUGUAGGGAUGGGUGAGUUGAUUUAAUCCCCACAUGGAGUGUAGAGGCUGGUUAGGUAAGAUUUUGUUACUGAAUACUGCAUAACUGCUACUGAUAUUGUGAUGGGCUAAGGCCCUACUGUAGAUUUUGAUACUGUAUUGAGAUGGGCUAAGGCCCAAACUGCUACUGAUACUGAAAAUGGCUCAGGCCCAAGACUCUUUUUGACUGUGCACUGUGUUACUAUUGUUUGAUUUCUAUGGGAUUACACUCUGAGUUUAGGUAAACUCACCCUCUUUGUUUUAAUGUGCACAGGUAAUCCCUAGACUUGACAGAUCGGUGCAGGAGAGGACCCGAUCGUGGCCACAUGUAUUUAAACUAUUUUAACUUCGGCUUUGGUAUUAAAUUCUUAAUUAUUUUUUCUGGGUUAAUUUUUGGAUGUAAACUGGACAUUUGGACUAUUUGACUUUAUGUUGGAUUUUAAACUGUUUAUGGGUUUUUAAACUGCAAACUCAACGAACAAACAGUUUUCUCUAAAACAAAAGGGGUUUUUCCUAAAAUGGACGAAUUUAGUUUCCAUAAACUAAAUGAUUUCUUAAGCUUCCACAUGAAUUGAGAUUUAAAACAAUCGAUUAAGUAAGAAAGGAUUUUGGAGUCAACUAGAGUAAGCAAAUGAAAACGAUUUUAUCAUAACAACUUAGUUUUAACACGCUAUCAUGUGACAUCGACAAAUUCGGCCAUAACGUCUAGGCCGGGUUUGGAGUGUUAUAGUUCUUUAAGUUAGUGCAAUAGUGGGUUGUUUUUGGAUGUGUUAAUAUUGUGAUUUCUUGUGGUAUGUGUUAAUUCUUGUGGUAGGUGUUAAUCAAGGGGAUCAAAAUUCAGCUUCUAUCGUGUAGUGCGUUUAGGCUGCCGUAACUAUUUUGGUAAGUGAUUGAGCCUUUCAAAUGGGAAAUACUUUCGAGUGGUUUUGGUAAUUUGUUGUUUCAGUAUUUAGAAUUGAUCAUUUGAAUGUUGUUUUUAGGAUUUAGAGGUCUCAAGAUUUCUGUAGCGUCAAAUCUGAAUUAGGUGUCUAACGAAAACACGAGAAAACGAGGUUUGGCAAAAGCCAAAAAAUGGCCUGUCGACGACAUACGACCAUGUGCACGGCCGUUUAUGACACAUAAUCGUGUGACGGGCGAGUGUGUGGCUGUGUGAGUCACACGAGCUAGGUCGAUUUGGGCGUGUGGCUGUGGGCCAGGCCGUGUAGGCCACACGGGCAUGUGGACCCAAAAUUCUAAAAUUUUCCCUAGGGUCACAUACGUCGUCCUAAUCGACUGUGGGCCUUUUGUAGGGUCGGUAAGGGCAAAACAAACCCUGAUGCAUGAGAUCUGCUAUUCUGAUAGACUGAUUUGAUUUAGGAAAACCAUUUUGUAUGUUUGACUAUUUUGUAUAAACAUGUAUGAUAUAUGUAUACGAGUAUGCAGGUCAUGUUAACUCUGUUACAUCUGUAUAUCUGUAUUCUGUAUCUGUAUAUAGGGCGGAAUUUGUAUAUGUGGAGGAAGUGUUCAGAUAAGCGACAUUCCGCCAUUAUUCUGGCAGCAUGACUGUUUUGAUUUUGAUAAGUGUUGUUCGGACACUAUGUGGUGUGUAGGGCUGGGUGGGUGUUUAAUCCCCACGUGGUGUGUUGGGAUGGGCGGAGAUGGUGUGUAGAGGAUAAGGGUAGGAAUUUGCAUAUAUGUAUGAUUCUUUUGAUCUAAUUAUGCUAGGGACUUAUGUCUGUAUCUGUAUCCAUUUUGUAUACGAAAAAUUUGAGUUUAUGUGCAUGUAUGACUCUGUAUAGUUACACACUGAGUUUAUGAAAACUCAUAUCUGUUUGUCUAUUUUGUUAAGGUUAUCCUCAGACAUAGGCGAGUCGUUGUGACAGAGUCUCAGCGGUGACCCCUAGUUCGUGAACUGGUUUAGUUAACAAUUUUUUUUUAAAUUCUGGAUUAUUUUGAGAGUUUGUAAUUUUUGGACUCUCUGGACUGUUGGUUUUAACUUCGGGAUUUUGAAAUGGUUUAUAUUAUGAUUCUACGACUUUUUACGAAAUGAUUUACAAAAACAAUGGUUUUACGCAAACAAAUAUUUUUCUGAAACCAAGCUCAGAUUUCAAAUAUAACGAUUUCAAACUUCCGCGGCAAGAUUAAUCUAAUUGUAGGAGUUGACUAUCGACGCUUUCCUUAAUGAAUAUAAUAUAAAUAACAUGUUUUAUAAAAGGUGGACUCUCUUUUAGUAACAAAUUAUUUGGGAAAUUUCAACAUGAUAAAAUUGGUUUCAAAACCCUUCUUCAUAACAUUACCAUAUUCGGUCAUAAUGUCUAGGCCGGGUUUGGUGUGUUACAGAUCCAAUCAUCUAACCUUCAAAAGUAUCUAUAAGAACAUAAAUCAACACAAGUAAGCUUAUUGAAGCUUAGUAAAUUCGACGUACAGAAAUAAUAAAUCUUACCAAAGUAAAUAUAACAAUUCAAUAAAAAAAUAACCCAACAACACAUGUUUCCUGUCAUCCACAACUACAUACCGGUGAAUUUCAUUUCUCAAUUCAAAGCUCAGCAAUAAUAUUCGAAAAAAUAUACAUAUCCAAAAUAGAAUCAAUUAUAGAUAUCAAUUACAUGUCAUGCCAUUCAAAAUCAUUAUACAAUUUAUAGUUUAAUAAUUUACAAUAUGGAGAACGACUUACGAAUACGAGUACACAAGUAAUCCAACUGAAACAUGCCAAAAGCUCAUAAGAGCUAAUCCAACCGAUAACACACCAAGUUCUCAUAGAACCUAAUCCAACCGAUAACACGCCAAGUGCUCCGAAAAGCUAUACAUCCGCCCCUAUAACACGCCAGAAUAAGAUAAUAUAACGUGAGAAUUCGCAACAAAUGCUGAACCUUGGUAUACUCAGGAAAAACAUAUAAAGCACACCUUAUCAAUCUCCACUCCCAACCCCACAUAACACGCCGUCAUUACAUUGUAUUCUAUCACACGUUCAUCAACCCAAUUAUUGAAUUUCAAUAACAUUUUCUCAAACAACUUUACAUCAUCAUUAAGCAAUUAAUAUCCUCUAUAUUAUAUUAUAUCGUCAUACAAUUCAAAUAGAUAUUGAAUUAUAAACCGUACGAACUUACCUGGACUAAGUUGUAAUAGUUACAGAAGUUCAGGGACUAUUCUGUAAUUUUUUAUUUUCCACGUAAAUCAACAAGGUCUUGAUUUAAAAUGUAAAAUUUCCCAAUUAUCAUCUUACAAUUCAUAUUCCUAUUUAUUCUACAUUUUGUAUUCUUUCAUUUUCAAAGUUUACACAAUUCCCCGAAACUUUUAUAAUUUAUGCAAUUUAGUCUAUUAACCCAAAAAUCAUCAAAUUGACCAUUUUCACGAGUUAAAAUUAUAGUUGAAUAUUCAAGGCUUCUAAGCAGUCCACAAAACACCCCUUAUUCACCCUUAAACCUUGAAAUUUUGGCAUUUUAACAACUUAAUCCUUAAAUCAAAAUCUAACAAAAAUCACUUCACAAAAUAACCAGAUACCACAGUCAAAGCUUCAAACUCAUAGUUAUCAUCACAAACAACUAAGAUUCAUCAAUAGUAACUUCCAAAAUUUUUAACAGAUUCAAAAAUAAAGGUAUGGGCUAGCUGGACCUAGUUGUAACAAUCUCAAAAACCUAAAAAUUACAAGAAACAAGUUUAAAACGGACUUACAUGCAAGAAAUUAUUGAUGGCCAAACUUUAAACGUUAAAAAUGGUAGUUUUCAUCUUUCAAAUUCGACAGCCAAGUCAAUUAAGGAAGAUGAUGUUGUUUUAUUUUUAUUUUACUAAAUUACAAUUUUGCCCUUUAGUAAAACAUUCAAUUAAACCAAAACACAAACCUAUAACCAUCCAUUAAGUUAUAACAUGGUAUAAUUAUCAUAUAAGUCCUCCAUCAUUUAAGAUUUAAGCUAUUUGAUCCCCUAAACGCAAUAAUUACUAAGUUUUUUUCAAUUUAGUCAUUUUUCUUUAAUUAACUAUCUAAACUUAAAAAUUUCUUAACCAAAUUUUAAUACGACUCUAAUGACUAUAAUAUUUACUGAUCGACAUGACAUAAAUUUGUAGUUUCAAAACUACUAUUUCGUCACCACAAGAAAACAAGUUUUUACAUUAAAUCUAGAUCGUAGCUUGGUAAAUUUAAACCCCCAAUCGCCAUGACUGGUUCCCAAAAUAAUGGUUAAUCCCACCAGUGAAAACAUCUGGAAAAACCACAUUCGAUCUCAUGAAUUUCUCGUCGAUCAUCAUGAACACUUCCUUGUACGUGCCGUUGUCAAAUUGUUUAUUCAGAUGUACGAAUAAGGUGGAUUCAAAUACCAAAACUUGUUAUCAUCGUGAAAUGAUGUGUAUAAUUCCAAAAAUAAUUUGACGUGGACGUCCAAUUCACUUUCCAGUCUGAACCAAAAUCCUCUUUUUUCGUCGCUGGAGAUCGAGAUUAUAGAAUCUGGCGGUGUUUUAAACAAUCCCAAUUAGGUGAUUCCCAAAUUGUCUCACAAUAACUUUUUGCACCGUUUGCAUCAGCAUGCUAAGCUUUGGCUUUCUAACUCUAACCAGCCCAUCGACCCCAAUGUCUACAUCUCAUGUAAUAAAGUACUCCAUUUGUGGGGGGUUUCUAUUUUUAAAUUUAUGAGUUUUCAUGUGUCCAUUCAACAAUCUAAACAGUGAGAAGAACAAGCUCAGAGAGAGAAAAUACAUACUAAAAAAUGGAGUCCAUCUGACGAACGGAAGAGAAGAUCGGAGAUUAGGAAGGUUGAGGCUCAAGGAUAGAUUUUGAGGUUUUCAAAAAGUUUUUUUGAGAAAAUACAUUGGAAAAAUUGAAAAAAGGGAAAGAGAAGAGUUUUUUGGAGCAAGGCAGCUUGAACGGCAUUGGACAAUAGUGAAGGUGAACGGAGACGGUGAUGAUGAUGGUAAACAAUGGAAUGAAACAAUGGAGAAGAAGAAAUGGUGAUGAUAAAUUUAAAAUAAUUUCAAUAAUUUUAAAAUUAUUUGCUGACAUGACAUAUAAGACAAAAUAGUGCCACGCCAUUAUUUAAUUACAUUUAGACCACUACGUUAGCUGUUAAUGUUGAUCGUUAGUCAACUAACAGCCACGUUAGCAUCUUUAUUAAAAAUAAAUCAAUUUGACGAAAAAAAUAUUAGGGGCUAUUUUUGGCAUUAUGCCAUACGUUUAUAAACACAAGGUUGAUAUACGUUUUAAUCAAAUCCAAAGGUAUUGAUCACUUGUAGAUCCACUUACACCCUAUGGGCUUUUUUUCUUCCAGUCAGUCUACAAGUUCCCACACUAAGUUGGAAUCCAUAGAAUUCAUAUAAGCUUUCAUAACUAUUUCCCAUAGCUUGGAAAUAACACUUUGCAUCAUUUCAUCAUAUGAGUGGGUCAUCAUAUUCCCAUUCAGCAAACUCGAUGUUUAAAACACUUCCACCAUAUUGGAAGAACUCAAGCCUACUAGAGACCCUCCCACUACGAUAAAGCACCCUAUGCUGCUGGUUGUUUACAAGUCUACUAUUAGGAGUUGGUUCUAGAACCGUUAAUGUAGGACUUUGUGUAUUUCCCAAAAGUUCCUUGAGUACUUCUUUACUUCGAGGAUUGAACUCAUUAAUGUAACUUUCCUCAAAGAAAGUAACAUGAAUUGACACUAUCACAAUUUGCUCUUCUAAGAUAUAAAACAAACCACCCUUUGUCCUUUUUGGAUAUCCCACAAACAUGCACAAUUCUAUCCAUGAAUCCUACCUAUUCACAUCUUUACCCAAUACGUGGACUAGGCAUUGAUAUAUCGUAAUUUGAUGUAGCAUAUUAAACUAGUUUUCAUAUUUUAGGAGCUUGAAAAUAAGCAUUUUAGUUGUGUUUUAAUUAUAAUUUAGUAAAGUUUAGUUAAAUGUAAUAAAUGUGUAAUUUGAGUCUUUUAUUGACCUUAGGGGACAAGUGAGGCCUAAGGGUAAGCUAAUAUACAUUGUGGGUGUGCAAGAGAACCUUAGAAGACGUACUGACUCGAUACUAGUUGCUAGGUUGCAACAAGAAGCAUUUGAUGCCGCAAUGUAGAGAGCAGAAAAAGAAAAUUCCAAGACUACCUUCAAUGUCACUACACAGCCUGAGGAUGUCUCGACAUACCAUUGAAGCUAAGCAUACUGCCCCAAAUGUCAUGACACAAAACUGGAUAUGUCGCGACAUCGCCUCUGCAAGGGAAAUUAAUAUAAGCAAGGGGUGUUUUAGUCUGCACAAUCCAACUUUAAGCUAUGGAACAUCAGCUGACUAGGUUAAGGACAAAGGCCAUUCUAGGUUUACAAAUAGGCUCAGUUAGCAUAGGUUAUGGACACCUUUUUACUCUGUAUAAUUUUCUCUUUAAAUAUGGACUUUAGAUUUUCUCUUUUCUUAGGUUUUAGAUUUCUGUCCUUGUUAUUUCCCAUUGGGAAGAAAUCAAAUUUUGGAAUUAUUCUCAAACUCUGAGGAUUAUGUGCUUAAAUUUAAUACAAUCAGGCUUCUUCUAAACUUUACUCUUGAAAUUAUUCAUUAUGUUCAUUCUUUCAUUCAAGUUUACAUUGUUUACUAGAUCCAAGAGGAAUUCAUCCUCCUGUGGGGGAUUAGCGAGUGGAGGUAUGAAUAAUUAAUUGUUUUGUAGGGAUUUCUUAACAGAUCAACUUUUGAAAAAAGAAAGAACCUAAACCCUAGGCCUGACAACCCUAGGAAGUAAUCAAGGUGGGAAUUAAUCCAAAUUUAGUAUAGACUAUCCGUGAACACCUUAACCCUGAAUCGGUCUAGAUUGUAAGGUCGGAAGAUAAGUAGUUCUUGCCUACUCAGUUGAUUACGAUCACCAAAGCAAACUAAUCACCCAUGUCCAAAUUCGAUACAUAUUUCCUUAUUUGAUUUCUUGCCUUUCGUUUGUUUAAUUUCCUUUUAUGUUUUUAGCAUAGUUUAUUAAAACUCUUCUUUUUAUCUUUCAUACUAUAAUUUGAUUAAAUUAUUAAUUAGAUCUAUUUAUAUUUAAAUUAGAAUUAAUUUAAUGCUCGCCUCCCUUAAGUACAAUCCUCAGAGUACUUACCUACUCCGUUGUAACUAUAUUACAACUUGACCCGUAUACUUAUGGAUACCAUCUGUUCAUAUCUUUUGAGCAAGAUUUCUACUCUGGAUGUUGUUGCGUCUAGAGGCGGUCAAGUUUUUGGUGUCGUUGCUGGGGAGGCAACAUCAUUAUAUCAGUUUUAAUUUUUUCCAUUUUAAUAGAAUAAUUAGGAAAUUCUUAGCUUACAGUUAUGAAUUUAAUUUCUUUUCUACUAAUCUUCUAUUUUUAGGUUAGUGUAUGACUCAUAGUAGGGGACACCUAUAACACCCUUAACCCGUAUCCGUUGCCAAACUGGGGUUAUGAGGUAUUACCAAUCAAGUCACAGAUUCAAAUAAUCACAAGAAUAUACUUAAACAAAUUUUUAAGUAAUUUAUUAUUGGUAGGAAUAGUCAAUUUAUUCAUUAACAUCACAUAACCGAAUGUAACAUGGAUUCAACUUAUAGAUUAUACAAAAUAUACAAUCAGUUUAUACCUCCAUGACAAUCUAAAAAUUAAUUCAUAAGUAGAACUCAUAAAAUCAAGUACACCAAAACAUUCCAAUUUCACCAUGUCAUAUUCGGCUCAUUACAGUAGUACAUAUUUCAUCAACUUACUAUAAAUUCUUCUCCUGUAAAUAACAUGCAUGCAAUUUAUUAAUACACAACUUGUUAUAACACAAUAUACGUUCCCUAUCAAUGCAUAAUCAAACAUAUAAUAUAUCAUCAUCAUAUUUAUAUAUACCUUAAGAUAAAAUAGAUAUUAGAUCAAUUUCUCAUAUGCAUAAAUAUUUAUAAAAGCAUUUGCCGAAUCACAAGUUAGGAAUAACCAACUCACAUACUUUUAUCUUAUGAACUAAUUUAUAAUACAUUAUUAUAUAAUUUCCAGACCAACUCAUAUUACUAAUUAUACAUCACAAUAAUAAGACAUUAACCAUAAUUAGGCAUACAAUUAAACCUUAAGUAUAUCAUGCCAUGAAAUAACCAUAUUUUAACAAGCUUAUAUUAUGUUCGAACUUAGCUAACAACCUGUAUUACCGAAUUACACAUUAUACACUAUUUAAAUAAUACUACAUAUUCGCAUAUUUUUUUCUAUGUAUACCUAAACAAAAACAGCCAUGUAUUCAUCCAAAUCAUUAACAAUUUUCAAAUCAUAAAACCACCUAUGACAAACAUCAUUCCAUUAUAACACUCAACAUCAUAACCAAACUAAAUUUAAGCCACAAACAAGCCUAACUGAACUCAACAUAAAAGAUUAGCCCUUUCCGCAUGGCUUAGAUUAUACAAACCAAAAUUCUAAUUUUCAAAUCACAUUCCAGCCUAUACAUGCCAUAAUUUAAGUUUAACUUAUAAAGAUACCAAAAUAGCUGAUAGUGUAAUGAACUUUGCUGACAAUCCCCGAGCUCGUAGCUUGACUCCAAAUCUAUAAAACAGAGUAAACAUAAAUACACAGAGUAAGCUAUCUUAGCUUAGUAAGCCAUAAGCAAAUAAACAACUCAAAAAUAUGUUAGACCCAUUUUAAGCUAAACCGAAUUAUAUUGCCAUCACCAAUGCUUAACCUUAAACCUACAAAUGAGAUACAAUAAUACAUUUCCAUGUACCAUUUUUUUCUUUUUUUUUUAUCUUGGUCGAAUACUCACUUAAACUAAUUAGCCAAAUGUCAUUCAACUUUCAGGUCAAAAUAUCACCAUAAAAUCACCCAUAUUUAUACCAUUUAAAUAAGUUCAAGAAUCAUAAUAUGACAUUUUACACACAUAUUUCUUAUUUGGCCGAAUACUCAUAUAGCCACUUUAACAUAUUAAUAAGCAACUUACAAAGCCAAAUAGACAUUAAAACUUAGUACAUAUUCACUCAAGUACAUAAACUCAAGUAUCGAAAUGAUAUUUCAUAUAUAUAUAUUAAUUAUAUAACCAAAUAUACCUCAUCAUAUAUACACAUAUAUAAGGGUUAUUCAUGACAUACAAAUUACUCAUUCAAUAAACCAAAUACACAUAUCACAUACACAUAUUUUCUUUAUUUGCAUCUUACAAGAUUUGUAACAAAUAACCAAGGUGUUUUCUUUAACUUACCUCAAGUAAGUAACAAGUUAGUUCAUAGCCGGCAUAUAGCUCGUUUUACACAUUCGAACUCAAUUUACCUUUGCCCAAUGAACCAUUCGGAAUUGGGUAGGACACUCAAAUAAUCACAUAAAUCGUACAAUGCCAACGUCUCAGACGUGGUCUUACAUGUAGUCACAUAUCGAUGCCACUGUCCCAGAUAGGGUCUUACUCGUACACAUAUAUCGGAAUCACAUAUUGAUGCCAUGGUCUUACUCGCACACAUAUAUCGGAAUCCUAUGUCAUGACAUAUGUAUCCUAGCUAUUCCUAAUGUUCAUACGGGGCUUUGACUACAAUUAAACACAUCUAUUUGCUUAUAAACUUACCUUGGAGUUAUAAAACAGGACAGGGCUUCUAGUCGACAACUUUUGUUUUCCCCCGAUCCAAAUCCGAUUUCUUUGGUUCUUGAUCUAAACAUAUUGAAAUUAAACUUAUUCAAACAUAUUUUCAUUCAAUUUAGUCCAAAAACACAUAAAUGGGCAAAUUAUCAUUUUACCCCUGACAUUUACAAUUUUUACAAUUUAGUCCUUAUUGCACAAAACACAAAAUACACAAAAUUUCAGCAUACCCAUGAUGAGCAAAAUUUUACCCACUCUCAAAAAAAUCCAUAUAUUUCAUUAAUUUUACAUUUUAGUCCCUCAAAUUAUUAUUUUUGUAAUUCAGUCCUAAUUACUCAAAAUCAUCAAAAACUCCAAUACAAAACAUGUUAAUCUAGAACAUAUAUUUCAUAUUUCAUCAUCAAACAACAAAAAUCUAACUCAAAAUAUUCAUCAAAAUCAAAAAUUCAAGCAUGGGUUUUGUAGUACUCGAAGCAAUGAUCUCAAAAACGUAGAAAUUAUCAAAAACAGAGCUAAACACAUACCUCAAUCAAGCUUGUUUAUGGAUGAACCAGGUUUUCUUUUCUUUUUUUCUUUCUUAUUUUGGUUUCGAUGAAAAGAAUAUAAAACGAAUCAUGGCUUAUUAUUUUUUUUAUGAUAUAUGUUAUAUUAUAAUGGUUUAUAAUAUUAGUUUACUAAAGUAACCUUAAUAUAUUUAUAUCAAAACAUUAUAAUAUAAACCUAUUUCCAUCCACUUAAUAAAUUAAUGGGAUAAUUGCAACAUAAAGGCUCCCAUUUUAAAAGCAAAUGGCAUUUUGGCCCUUUAUACAUUUAACUACCCAAUUUUUAAAUUACGCGAUUAAGUUCUUUUAUUAAAUCGGACACUCAAACGAUAAAAUUAAAUCACGAAAAUUUCACAGAUAUAAAUUCACAAAAAAUAAACAUAGAAAAUAAUUUUAAAAUAUUUUUCUGACUCAAAUUCAUGGUCCCAAAACUACCAUUCCAAUUAGGGUCUAAAUUGGGCUGUUACAACACCUAUAUAGCCAGCCACUGAUCCAGAAAGAGUUAUCUGAAGGAAUCGUGACAGCAACAAAUGCAGAACCCACCACCUGCUGUGGGAAACGUACCUAAUGAGACUUUGCUAUUCAGAAAAGCCAACGCUAACCCACUAAACUUACCACCACCACAAUUACCCACAAAUCUAAACAAGGCACGUAACAAGAGGAUUUUGAAAAAAUAUGUGCUACCAAAUUUGGAUAUGAUUCAAGGGAGCAUAACGAGGCUAGUUAUCACGACCAAUAAUUUUAACAUUAAGCCAGCUAUAAUCCAGAUGACCCAGAAUGUAGUUUCGUGGAACAAUGAAAGAGGAUCCGAGUCAGCAUUUAAAAUGGUUCCUCCAGCUUUGUGAUACCUUUAAAUACAAUGGUGUCACUGAUGACACUAUUCGUCUUCGGUUGUUCCUCUUUUCAUUAAUCGAUAACACAUUUUCUUGGCUACACUUGCAAGCACCAGGAUCUAUCAUGACAUGAGACGAACUUGUAGGAAAAUUCCUACAAAAGUUCUUUCCCAUCAACAAAACGGUCCAGCUAAGAAGGGAAAUUUUGACGUUUAAAUGGUUAGAAGGAUAAAGCCUUCACGAAGCAUAGGAGCAUUUCAAGAUGCUGAUUCAGAAGUGCCAACACCACGGAAACCUGAGUAGUUACAACUGUAAACUUUUUACAACGGGUUGGAUGUGCAUUUGAGGUAAGGAUUAGAGGGAGCAGUAGCAGGAGUCUUGAUGAGCAAAACAAACGAGGAUGCGUACGAAGUAAUAGAAACUAUGGUAAUGAAUUCCUAUCAACGGCCAACUAAACGUCAUACAUAUGGCCAAAGACCUAUACGGUGUAACGCCCUAAUUUUUGGGAUUUUCGGGAUUUCUGUGGUUUUCAACGAAUUUUAAAAUUUCUGUGUUUUGACUGUUUGGCGUAGGUUUAAUUAUGUUAGUGGGCCUCUAGAAGGCCCAAGCUUAAGCUAAAACCCGGUAAUUUUAAGUGCUUUUAAUCCAUAGGGAAAAGAGGUUCUGGUUAGCUAGGCUUUUAAGUAUUAACUGGGUAAAAUAAAACACAAGGAAGCCUGUGGUAAGUUGGCAUGUGACACCACUUGGGGCCUUUAGAGGUGGCGUGUAGAUGACCAAGGUGAGCUAAGGUUCGAGUCGCAAGGUAAGCAAAUUAGUGAUAUUAAUUUUAUGUACAGAAAAGGUAAGCAGUGGAACUGAAGUGACAGGCUAUCAGGAGAAGAUUUAGGAGCAGAUAAGGGAGAGGAUUUAGGAGCUGAUAAGGGAGAGGAUUUAGGAGCUGAUUACGGAGAACGGUGUUGGCCGAAUGGUGGACUCUUGAGGAGCAAGAGUUGGCCGGCCAAGGGGUGCUUUAGGGGGGAAAAUUUCGGCUAGGUUAAGUGCCAGUAUAAAUUCGGCACUAGGGGUAAGUUGUGCCGCUUCCUGACUAUUCUCCUCUUCUUUUCUUUUGCUCCUCUCUCCAUUAAAUUUUUCUUUUUAUUCUUUUCUCUACAGUCGAAUCUUUCUAUCCUCCUAUUCAUCUCUAUCUUUUUUUUAGACGAUCCUAAACCUUCAUAGCCAUUUGCCAUAAGAAAAGCCGAAAUCCCGAAAGCCAUAUUUCCUUCUGUGUCGAUUUCUCCUAGCUAAUUCUCUCAUCUUUUUCAUCAUUCUUGACCGAUUUUUUAGUUCUAUAAACCUCAAGUUUUUUCGACAAGACCACAGCAAAACCCUCUUAUUUCAUCUUUCGUUACACGGUUGCAAGGGAAAAACCGAAAACUCCACACUCCUAAGGACUUAGCCAAAUAUUGGGAUCACUGAAGGCUCGACUUUUGCUAUCAUUUGAGGGCUUAGAACUGCAUCAAAAUUGAGUGGGGAUUAAGAGGUAUUGUUGACUGAAGGAAUCAGUGGUAAGUCUUUUCAACCUAGUCUUUAUUUCGUAUUUUAGGAAAAGCUGAAAUCCCUAAAGGUUAAGGAGGCUGUCGUUUUGGACUUGUAGCCCUAAGGGGUUGUGAUAACUUUUUUAUCUUGAUGAUAGUGUGAUCUAAAGGUUGCUGAUCAAGGGCUUGGACAAGGGGAACAACAGGAUCUAAAUCUAGUCGCUAAUUCCAGCAAAGGUAGGAUUGCUAGUGCCUAAGGUGUUAUUGGCCGAAUAGGGUAAGGGGUUAACAUGUAGUUCGUUUCGGUAGUUAGAUUAACGUGGUAUUAAUAUAAUUGUAGGUAGUUUGUGCGUGGAUCUCGUCAACGAAUCGUCGCAAAUAGGUGUGUAACUGACACCCUCUCAUAGACUAGAUCGGCAAAAGCCGAAAAGCCGAAAUGCCGAAAAGUCAGUAUUUUGGGAACUUGCGAGUGUGCGAAUGCUCGUAAGAUAAGUGAGUUAAUAUUUUUGGUAAUCUAAAGUGAUAAAACUACAGUACGUGCAAUUUCGUGCAUUAAUGAUAUUUUGGGUUUAACGGGCUGAAAACGAGCUAAUGGGCCAACGGGCCCAAUUCGAUAAAAAAAUGCGGUAAAUGUUUCUGGUCGUAUGAAAAUGGCUAUUCUAUGCAUGAAAACCCUAAGAAUAUUUAAAUUUCUUGAAUACCCCUAUAUAUGGAAAUUGUUGAUACACUCCUAGGUGCAAAAUUACCAUUAUACCCCUAGGGUUACUUUUGACUGAAAAGCAUGAUAAUAUAAUUCCGUAUGAUGUAUGCCAUGAUUGUAUAUCUGCUGCAUGGGGACACGGGUUAUAUUAUGGAGGAAGCGUCCUGGUGUCUAUGCCAUAUUUAUCUGAUCUGGUGGCUCUGCCACAUAUAUCUGUUCUGGUGGCUCUGCCACAAUUAUCUGUUCUGGUGACUCUGUCACAUUAUCUGUUCUGGCAGCCAAGCUGCAUAUUUCUGUGGCGUGUAGCGGUUGGGUGGGUCGAGUAGUCUCCCCACAUGGUGAAAGGUUGGUAUGGGGGUGCAUGUGGUUGGAUAUGGGUUGGGUUUUGCAUAGACAUGUAAUAUCUGUUCUGUUCUGUUAUGGGCCUAUGGGCUUUAUUCUGACUUCUGUUCUGGGCUAAGGCCAACGUAUUUUGUUCUCUGUGGUUUAAACCGAUAUAGGCUAUGGUUGGGUUAAUUUACACACUGAGUUUCCCCAAACUCACCCCUUUAUUUUUCAUCCACGCAGGUAAUCCCCAACCAUAGUGGGCUUAGAGUUGUGAGGGAUUCGGAGUGGCCACACGUUCUGCAAGUUGAUUUUAUUCUGGUGAAUUGGACAUUUUUUUUAUUUACGUUUAAGGUUUUGGGUUUUUAAAAUUUAAUAAGGCCGCUUAAUUAUUUUCUUUGAUGGGUUUUAUAUGUUUUAUUAAGAUAGGUACUACUUAUAUUUAACUGUUGAAUUUGGAUAGCAUUAGGGCGCAUUUUCAAAAACGGUAAUUGAUUUCAAAAUAACACGACAAUAAGCAAAGCUUCCACAAUGAGAAUAUAUUUCCAAAAUUAAUCAUUUUUCCUAAAAAGGACUUAAUCAAAUUGGUUUCCUGGAAAUAUACACGACGUUAAGGUGUGGUAACGGUGGUGUGCAUGUCUAGGAUUGGAUCCGAAGGGAGCUUGGUACUUAAGCAGUCCGAGGGACUCACCUCCUCUUUUCCGAUUUCCUACCUAGUGUGCAGCUUCCAUUCACUUUAACCUGCAUUGAAAUUAUCUUUUAAAACACUAAGUGAGUUUUUCUAGAACAACAAACUAAAAUGUUUUGAACGCUUCGAUGUGGCAUGUCGGAUCCGGCCAUAACGUCUGGGCCGGGUUUGGGGUGUUACAUUUUGUGAAGGUUGUCUAGGAAGAUAACAUAUACCAGCAAUUACAUGAAAAAACUAACUGAAUAGAGGCUGAAAAAGGUGCACCGGAUAUCUAUGGAGGAGACAAACUGCUCUUUCACUAUAUUAAUAAUCCUACCGAGGAUGUGAACGACAUAAAAAAUAAGGGUGGAAAUCCCUAUUCAAAUACAUAAGUUUUGGAUGGAGAAAUCACCCAAACCUGAGUUAAGAAGGAUACCAAGGAGGAAGUACUAACUCGAAUCAAGUUAAAAACACUAACUAUCAACCUUCUUAUUUGUAGAAACCUCAGGACAGGGCCUACCUGAAUGACCAUACUAUAUGGUCAACGUCUAGGUAGAAUCGAGGGGGAAAUCCAGUCAAUGAAAAUGGACGUGAAGUAGGUACAAUCUAAGUGCACCAACUCAACAAGAACAUUAACUAAACUUGAAGAUCAAAUGAGCCAAUUGAUGAGCAUGAUGGGUGACAUCAAAAGAAAAAUUGACAAAGGUAUUCCCAGCAAUACAAAAAAUAAUCCUCGUAGGGAAGGGAAGGAGUACGUAAAUAUGGAGAAUACUGAUGAUCUUCAAGAAAGACCCCUAAAAGCUGAAGAUGAAUUGGAGUCAGAGGAGGUAAUUGCACCGAUAGUUGAGCCAAAAAAGAAACAACCAAAAAUUUUGUCAUUGCAAAGAUACCAUUCCCUUCAAGACUAGAAGAAAAGCAAAAAUAAGAUGAAGACGAAUUUGUAAGUUUCCUAAACUUGUUCAAAACGUUAAAUGUUAACCUGCCUUUAAUUGAAUUAAUUGAUAAAGUUCCUAAAUACGUCAAGUUUUUAAAGGAAAUUAUGUCUAGGUGUAGGAAGAUUAAGAUAAGCGAAUGGAACAACGGAAAAUGUGCAAGUUUACACAAUCGCAACAAGUAAUAAAGUGACAAGUAAAUGUCGAGUUAUUGUACCCACAGGGAAUGUAAAAAGAAUUAUUUAUGAAAUUAAUUGUACAACACUUUGGCGAGGUAAAAAUAAUUUGGUAUUAAAAUAUGGUCAAAAACUAUUUAAAAACUAAGUAAAUAAUUAAAAUAAAACAAAAAAGUUCUAAUGCACGAUUUCAAAUAAGAUUUAAUCAAGAUAACAUACUUUUGUUGGAUUAAUUACAUUUCUUUAACUUAGAAUUAUUAAAAUUAUGUUUAUAUUGCUACGAAUAAAUUCACAGCAACUCGGUAAUUUGCUAACUACUGCUCAUACAUGCUUAUUAAAUUAAUCAAUCUCUUGAACAUUUUUCAAUGUCAAUCCAAGCGGUUAAUUAAUCUUCACAAGCAUAUAAAAGAUUAAGUGAGGUAACAGGGUAUUUCUACCUUGAAACAGUUUAAUCACAAAAAUCUUGCAAGUUAUGCAAGGCAUAUGUAUCACCGAAUACAAUGCUAAUUUAAACUUCAGCUACCUUAGAAGAAUAAACAUGCACUGAUUAAGCAUUGUGUCUAUUAAUUAUAAUUUCAAUACGAUUUAAUAAUUAAUUCAUUAGUUAUUUAACAAUUAUAUUGAAAAAAUAACUUAGGCAUGAUUUUACUUAACCAAGCAAUUUAUCGAGGCCUAUAACAGCAUAAACAUAAUUUUAACAAUUCAAGCAGGCAGAAUAUAAUCAACCCAACACAAACUUUAAUUUAAGAUAAAUUGAUUAAAAUAACCAUUUCAAUAGCAUAAAUAUUCAAAAACAUGUUCAUCAAAACAACAACAAAAAUUAAAGAGAUAGGGAGCAAGAAGCAAAUCCGGUGUUUCUCCGUGGUUUGACUAGUUGCUCUAUUUUUCGUUCUUCGUUGCCCUCAGCUAUCAAGGUAGCUUAUGAACACCUAAUUUCUACUCCAAAAUGGCUGAUGAGAGCCUCUUUCGCAAGAGAAGAAAUCGGCACUUCAACAAAAGGGAAAUGGGAUGAAAAAAAUGGAAAGAAAACUGAGAGAGGAGAAGAGAGAAUAAGAGAAUGUUGUGGGAUUGACGGAUGGUUUGAAUGAUCAGAAAGGGGUGGCUUUUAUAGCUGAUUGUGGCUGCUAAAAAUAUAAAAUUCCAGAAGCCAAAGAGCCCCCCUAUGGCCGGCCAUCUACUUGGCAAAAGUUGAGACUUUCAACUUUGCUAAAAAUAGCCUGGGGCAAAUCUACAAAGCCACAAUUAAAGGCGGGGUUUGAAUGCAAUUUAGAAGUCUUUCAAGAGCCUUUUUGCAAGCAUAUUUAAUCAGCCAAAAUGAUUAUUUGGGUCAGCAUAUGGUCGGUUCUGGGCUGCCCAAUUAGUGGCUGGUUCGGUUCACUCAAUUUGGUUCGACCAGUGCGGUUCAACUGGACCCUUUCUCCAUAAUUAAUUAAAAAUAAUUUAUUUAACCCGAAUUAAAUGGGGAAUAAAUUAAAAUUAAUUAAAUUAUGAAUUAAUACACAUUUCUGGACCGUCUUAGGCUGGAAAUUAAUGUGCCUCGAUACUUCAAAUUGCUUCUCAAUUUUGUGCUUUCAACAGUGUCAACUGAGCCAAUUUUCACCCUUUGCGCAAAUCUGUCAAAAUUAAUCAAAAUUAAGUAUAAAAUUAACUAAAAUUAACCAUGUUCAUAUUUUUAACACAAUUUAAAUAUUUUAUAAUAUUUAAUUAUUUUUUGACAAGAAUUUAACCGGAUUUGCUUGAAUUUAAGUAAAAAUGGGUAUGAAAAAGCAUAUAAAUUUGUGUUUCAGCGAACAAGUUCAUAUAAAUGCUUCCUGUAGUGUUAUUAUCUCAAGACAAGUUCCCCAAAAAUUGAAAGACCCAAGACGUUUUAUUAUUCCCAUAAAGAUAUGGAGCAUUCACUUUAAUAGAGCUCUAUAUGACCUAAGAGUUAGUAUUAAUUUAAUACCUCUAUCCAUUUUUCAAAAACUUGGGUUAGGGGACCUCAAAAACACCCAGAUAAAAUUAUUGUUGGCCGACAGAUCCUUAGUGCAUCUGAAAAGAGUACUGGAAGAUAUGUUAGUCAAAGUGCUCAGUUUUAUCAUCUGAAAGAUUUCAUUAUUCUAGACUUUGAAAAGGAUCAAGAAAUACCCAUCCUUAGUUGCGUUUUAAUUAUAUUUUACUAAAGUUUUAAUGUAAUAAAUCUAUAAUCUAAGUCUUUUAUUCACCCUAGGGGCCGAAUGAGGCCUAAGGAUGAGCUAAUAUACGUUAUGAGUGUGCAAGAGACCAUUAGAAUGCAUACUAACUCGAUACUCGUCUCUUGGUUGCAACACGGAGCAUUUGAUGUCACAACAUAAGGAGCAGAACAAGAAAAGUACAAGACUUCCUUAAAUGUCGCUACACAGCUUGAGGAUGUCGUGACAUGCCCUAAAGACACCUUGAAGCUGAGCAUAUUGCCCUCAAUGUCACCACACAAAACCUGAUGUGUCGUAAUAUCGCCUCUACACAGGAAAUUAAUACGAUUAAGGGGCAUUUUUUUCCGUACAAUCCAACUUUAAGCUCAAGAACAUCAGCUGACCUAGGGUUAAGGAUGAAGGUCAUUCUAAGUCUAUAAAUAGGUUCAACUAACACAUGUUAUGGACACCUUUUUACUCUGUAUAAUUUUCUCUUUAGAUCUAGACUUUAGAUUUUCUCUUUUCUUAAGUUUUAGAUUUCCAUUCUUGUUAUUUUUCGUUGGGAACCAAUCAGAUUUUGGAAUUGUUCUCAAACUCUGUGAGGAUUCUGUGCUUAAAUUUAAUACAAUCAGGCUUCUUCUAAACUUUUCUUUUGAAACUGUUAUUUAUAUUCAUUCAAGUUUACAUUGUUUACUAGAUCCAUGAGGAACUAAUCUUCCUGUGGGGGAUUAACGAGUGGAGGUAUAAAUAAUUAACUGUUUUGUAGGAAUUUAUUAACAGAUCAGCUAUUCAAGAAAGGAAUAACCUAAACCCUAGGUCUAACAACCCUAGGAAGUAAUCAAGGUGGGAAUUAACCCAAAUUUGGUAUGGCCUAUCUGUGAACAACUUUAACCUGAAUUGGUCUAGACUGUGAGGUCGAAAGAUAAGUAGUUCUUGCCGACUCAGUAUUUCAAUUGACAUAUAAGAAGAUCUUGUUGGGGUAUUGACUAGUUAAUUGAACAAGAAAGCCCAAGAUGACAGUUGAUUAUGAUCACCAAACCAAAUUAAUCACCCAUGCCAAGAUUAGAUACUUAUUUCCUUAUUUGAUUUCUUACAUUUCAUUUGCUUAAAUUCCUUUUAUGUUUUUAGCAUAGUUUAUUAAAACUCUUCUUUUUGAUCUUUUGUACUAUAAUUUGAUUCAAGUAUUAAUUAGAUCUAUUUAUGUUUAAAUUAGAAUUAAUUUAGAAUUAAUUUAGUGCUCGCCUCCAUUGGGUACGAUCCUGUAAUACCCAAACCUGGCCUAGACGUUAUGGCCGAAUCUGGUGAUGUCACAUGAUAGCGUGUUAAAACUAAAUUUUUAUGAUAAAACCAUUAUCAUUAUUUACUCUUAUUGAUUCCAAAAUUGCUUAUUUAUUUAAUCGAUUGUUUUAAAAAAAAUUAAUUACGGAAGCUUUAGAAAUCAUUUAUUUUAUGAAAAACCGAGUUUAUUAGGUAAAUUCGUCCAUCUUAGAAAAACUCCUUGUUUUAGAGAAAAACGUUUUUUUCAUUAAGUUUAGUGCAGUUAUUAAAUCCACGAAAACAAUCUAAAACCAAGAAUAAAAGCAACCAGUCCAAAAAGUCCAAUUUACAUCAAAAAUAACCCAGAAAAUAAUUAAGAAAUAAUUACCAAAACUAAAAGUAAAAUAGUAUAAAAUAUGUGUGGCCAUCGUCGAGUCCUCCGCAACACCGAUCCAUCAAGUCUGGGGAUUACCUAUGCAUAUUAAAUAGACAGGGGUGAGUUUACGUAAACUCAGUGUGUAAUCCCACAGAAAACAAACAACAGCAAAUCACAGUGCACAGUUAUAACAGUCUUGGACCUAAGCCCUUUUCGGUAUCAGUAACAGUUUGGGCCUUAGCCCAUCUCAGUACAGUAUCAAAUAUGCAGUAGGGCCUUAGCCCAUCACAUUAUCAGUGGCAGUCAUGCAGUAUUUAGAAAUAAAGUCCUACCCAACCAGUCUCUAGACACCAUCUCUGUCCAACCCUACACUCCAUGUGGGGAUUAAAUUAACCAACCCAUCCCUAGACUCUAGGUAGUACCAAAUGCGGCACAAAACAGUAAUUUGCAGCUGGGCUACCAGUAUAUUAGGCUUAAGAGCCUUUCAGUACACUUCCUCCAAAUAAUAUCAACCCAACCCAAUGAAAUGCAACAAACAAUGAAAUGUCAUGCUAUCACAGGUUUGUCAGAUACGCAUUCAGUUCGGUAUACAAGCUUAGUACAUGAUACACACAAUUAAUAUCACACAGUUAAGGGUCUAAGUAGUGCUUACCGACCCUAAGGAAGGUUCACAGUAGACUUGGGCAACCCGUGCAACCUUAACAGUCAUUUUAGUAAAAAAAUGCCCACACGCCCACGUGGCCCGCCUGUGUGGGCCCACACGCCCAGAUUGACCUUGGCCCGUGUGGAUCACACGGCCUGGCCCAAAUUCCCACAGCCCGUGUUGACUAACCGUGUGGGUCCACACGCUCGUGCGGCCCACACAUCUCAAAUUAGUCUAGCUCGUGUAUUGCACACGGCCUACCUGGCCAUCACACGACUGUGUCUUAUGCACACAGCCUGGCGUCAUCGGUCACAUGACCACGUUGGGGCACAUGACCUACCACACUGGCCACCACACGCCCGUCUGGCAUCGACAGUGACAUUUUUAGCUUUUGCUGAAACCUUGUUUUCUGCACUUCUUGGUACACACCUGGUUUUGAUUGAUGCUAAAACAACCCCCAAACUUCCCCAAACCUAGCAACACAAAAUCCAAUACCGAUUUAGAGAUUAAUCUAACGAAUUCGAUAAUAGAGCACUAGCAGAACUCAACUUACCACCGAUAGAGAAACUUCUAUUAACAUUGCUAACCCAAGAGAUAUGAAAAUCACUGAUCAAAACCUCCUCCUAUGCUAUUAAUAGUAGAAGAAACAUAUUACUAAUCAAUCAUUAUAGUUCUACGAUGGAAAAGACAAGGAAAACUUACCGAACCCACACAAGAGCAAUACACAUCGCAAUAAGAAAGCAAAGAUAGCUUAAGGACGAAAGAAAAGGGAAAAAAAUAUAUGUCGCUGGAGUAGAGAAGAAUUAAAGAGAACAAAAGAAAAAGGAAAAAAAAGCAGGGAGACCUCAGGAAUUUUGAAAAGGGAAAGAGGGGUGCUGAAUAUUUGCAAAUAAAAAAUCUGAAUAAAAAUUCUGAUAACCCUCUUAUCAUCUCCUCAAAUCUAUCCCCACUAACCUACUCAAACUCCACUUCUCGAAGUCCACGCAUAGUACAACUCUAGCCUCAAUUUAGAGCAAAAACAUCACUUACACUCGCACAGGGAUUCAAACACAGGACCUCCAGCAAACUAACACUCCACUUAACCACCAGAUCAGCAAGCCUAUUCUAACAUGAUUUUAUAAAUUAUUAACUUAAGCCCACUAAACAAGGGUGAGGCUUUAAUCAGAAAAUUUUCAAAAUUUUUCCAAAGAUAGGACUUGAACUUGGGACCUCUCACACACACCCAGAACACUUAACCAUUGAAGCAAAUACACAAUUGUGUCAAAUUUAUCCAUAAUAGAAAUAUGAAUUUUGGGGUAUUACAGAUCCUCGAAGUACUUACCUACUCUGUUGUAACUAUAUUACAACCUGACUUGUAUACAUGCAGAUACUGUUUAUUCACAUCUUCUAUGGGAGAUUUCUACUUUGGACAUUGGUACAUCUGGAGGUAGUCAGGCAUCACCAAAUCCCUAAAUUAUUUAGAUUUGGGUUCUUUCCAUGCAACAAUUCGUAUGGAGUUUUAGAUGUUGCCUUAGUUGGUACAUCAUUCAGAAUAUAGUAAGUUGUUUGCAAUGCAUAUCCCUAAAAGGAGAUUGGUAGCUUCAAAUAACUUAACAUAGAAUGAACAUGUCUAACAACGUUUGAUUUCUUCUUUUUGCACGUCAUUCUAUUGUGGAGUGCCCGACGCAGUUAACUAGGAUAGAAUCUUAUUCUUUAUGAUAAAUAUUUCUAACCUUGAUCAGACUGAAGUUCUUCUAUAGGUAAACCUAAUUGUUUCUCCACUUUUAUACAAAACUCUUUGAAUUUAUUGAAUGUUUCACUCUUGCUUUGUAUUAGAUGCACAUACCCAUAACUGGAAUAAUCAUCAAUAAAUGUUAUAUAAUACUCAUAACCACCUCUCGCACUAACAUUCACGGGGCCACAUAUGUCAGUAUGCACAAGUUCUAAGGGUUUUAAGAUCCUCGUCCCUUUUUGUAUUAAAAGAUCGCUUAGUCAUCUAAUAAAUGCCAAAAGUAACAUGUUUUAGUCUCAUUCUUAAUGCAUUUUUGGAUGAAUAUUCAAUUUAAAAUGGUGAAUUUUAUGCUCUUAAUCAUUUAAAUUUAUGUUUCUAUACUUAAGAGAGCACUGGAAGCAAAAGGAGCGAAAAUCAAAAAAAUCAGAGCAAGUUUCAAAAGCCACACGAGUUGAGCCAUUCCACACGAGAUGGACAAUCGGCCGUAACAUUGAAUUAUUGUUUGUGUUUAAGUAAUUUUCUAGAACCCAACAUUGAAGUAUUUUUUUAAAAAAAAAUUGAAUUUUUUAUUGAUUCAGUUUUGGAAUAAUUUGUGAAUUUUUGUGCAUUGUGUGGUUUAUACUUUAAGACACGAAAGUGUCAAGCAUGAUAAGUUGUUUUUCAGAAAUUCUAAUUCUAGGUUGUCUCCCUAAACUAAAAAAUUAUUUUGAAAUUUUAAAUUUGCAAGUUUGACAUCAAAACCACAAUAUUUUAUUAGUUUUUAAGCCUAUAGAGCAUAUAUUUUUUGUGCUCAUUUUAUUUUUGGUUUUGAGUAUGGCAACUUGAUUUGGAGUUCUACAACUUGGUUCGAUUGUACAUAUCGAUACCACAUUAUUGAUUUGAUAUAUUGAGAUGAUAGAGGCACUUAGGAUUUAACCCAUUUAACCUGUAAAAAGCUUAUAUAUUGAAUAACCCCUAAUAAACCCCUUUAAUCCUAACACAUUUUUUUCCAACUCGUUAAUGUUAACCCAUAACCCAUAUGUAUGUUGUAAAAUUAUCCUUGCUAUUAACUCCCUUUUUUAUCUAGAUUUGAUUUGGUUAACUGCCUAACUAUGUUCCAUUUUUUGAAUUGUUGAAUUAUAUUUUUUAUGUCAAAAAAAAAGAGAAAGAAAAAAUAAAAAAAUAAAUCAAAAUGAAAUAUAUAUAUUUGAUUGAACUUGAAUCAUUAGUUGCAUAUUCCAUUGAAAAGCUUGUUUGUAUUAUUGAUUAGUCUUGUUUAUGUAAAUUAUGUUAAUUCAGUAACUGAUUGUUUUUCUAAUUUAGUAACUUAUCAACUCGAUCUCAAUUGUAACAGACUUUUUUGACAUUUUCCAUACCCUUAACCUAAGCCCCCUUACAACCUUUUAAAGACCUCUUGAUUAGUGUGUCAUCUCAUUUUAUAGUGGUGGAGAUUUGAUUUUCAAGCAAGCUUAUGGUAAUAGCAUUUCUCGUUCAACUGCUGAGUGCAUAUUAUUUGAACAUUAAACACUUUGAGUGCUUUAAGUGAAUCUUUAGUGAGGAUGUUAAUUCUUGUUGAUUUUGAAUUCAAGGUAAUUAUUUAGAUAAGAGGAGACACAUAUGCUUUUGUUCUUUAAAAAUUUUAGCUUGGACUGCUUGAGUCUUUAGUGUCAUUUCAGUUGAAUUUUCAAUGCAUGAUUAUUUGCGAAUUAUCUUGAAGCAUUAUUGAUGAAAAUGACAAAUUAAGAAAAUUAACUUGAAUGUGGGUUGAGGAUUUUACUUGAGGACAAGCAAACACUAAGUGUGGGGAUAUUUGAUAAAUGCCAAAACUAAUAUGUUUUAGCCUAAUUCUUAAUGCGUUUUUGGAUGAUUAUCCGAUUUAAAAUGAAGAAUUUUAUACUCUUAAUCAUUUAAAUUCAUAUUUCUAUACUUAAGAGAUCAUUUGGGAGCAAAAGAGCAAAAAAAGAGCGAAAAUUAGAAAAUCGAAGCAAGCUUCAAAAGCCACAUGGGCUGGGCACAAGGUUGUGGGAGCCAUACAAGCUACUAUACAACCAUGUGCCACACUGUGUGGAUUUCACGAACAACUCUCCAAAAACGACGAAAAAUGCAAUUUUUAGGUUUUUCAGGCAUUCUAAGACCUAUAUAUACCAAAUAUAAGAAGGAAUGAGUAAGCCGUCAGAGAAUAUUGAAGAAAACAACUCGAAAAACACCAUUGGAGUCGACUUCAAAGCAGAUUUCCAUCAAAUUUGAAUAUCUCCUUUUGAUUUCUUUGAAGUUUCUUAUGAGUUUCCUUAUUUCUUACGAUUAUACUAUCUUUAGGAUGUUUUUAUUUGUGAUUAUAAACUAACUUUCUUAAUACCUAGGGGAGAUGAACCAUAUAAUGAAUUCUAUCUUUUAAUUCCCAUUUUACCCAAUAAAUACUUAGACCUUGUUCUCAAUUAUAUGUGCUUAAUUCUUGGUUUAAUAUUUCUAGAUUAUUAAUCCAUGUUUGUUGUGCUUAAUUCAGAGUAGGAAUAAACCCUAUUUAAGAGUAGAUCUAGUAUAAUUGAGUGGAGUUGCAUGCAAUCCUAGAAAUAGGACGACAUAAAUUUUUCGUAUUAGAGUCAAAUCUAAUAGGGGGAUUCAUAGAUCGAGUUAACACGACAAUAGGGGUUGAAUUAGAAAGAAAUUUCAAUUACUCAACCUAGAGUCAGUUGCUCUUACUCUCGAAAGAGAUAUUAGCAUAAUUUAGGGAUUUCUACGAAUCAAGAUACUAAGUAAAGAAUUUUUUUUAAUUUAGAUUGAUAAUGAUAGAUGAAAUCCAAGUAGAUUCUUUCCUAGGUAUUGUUUCGGUUUUUGGUUGUUAAUCGUUUGUUUUCCUGAUUUGUUCUUUGUUGUGUUCUUUAGUUAAUUAAUUUAGUUAAUUUUAGUUUUAAUCAAUCACUCUAAUUUUUUGGUUAAAUAAUAGAAAGACGGUAAUCACUUGUACUUUUAGUCUUCAUGGGAAUGAUAUUUGUGCUCACCGUAGUUAUAUACUAUUAAUUGAUAGGUCCACUUGCCUUUGUCGAAUUUUUAGUUGGUUUACGACUGCAUCAUCAUCUUACCUUCCAAGAAAGAUUCACGUUUCGCAAGAUCAACUUCUUUAAGUGAACUUAAAGUGUCAUAUUUCACAAGUCUAGUGAUUCAUUCUUGGUUAAUGUGACCAAGUCUCAAAUGCCAAAGGUACACCUCAUUCAGUGAGAGGUUUUAAGUCUUUUAUUUGAAAUUCAGUCUCAAGUAGUGUGUACAUCUAUGGUUUGAUAAAAUAUAUUUUAUUUGACAUCCAUACCUUAUAGUAAGUUUGCAAUUUCCAAUAUUGCAAUAUUAUUAUUAGAAGUCACAGUCAAGUCAUCUUUAUAUAAACAUGAAACAAAAAUCAAGUUUCUUUUGAAACUUGGUACAUAGAAAACGUCUUUCAAAAUAAUCUUCCUAAAAUUACAAAAUAAAUAUGUAUAUCUCACACGCUUCAGUUGCAACAGUUGUCUCAUUUUCAGUCCGCAACGAUAGACUCUUAUCUCUAAGAUAUUUCAUCUUUUUGAACCACUGUAGAGAAAAACACACAUGAUCAGUGGCUCCAGAAUCAAUGACCCAGUAGUUUAUUAAAUCUUCUUCUAAGUAAGCUUCUAUCAUAAAGAGUUUCAUACAUUUGCCCUUAGUGACCAGGCAAUCCUUCCACUAUUUACAAUUUGCCUUGAAGUGGCCUAUCUUGUUGCAAAAGAAGCAUUUAGACUUAGAUAAGUCUUUAGGCUUCUGGGUUCUCUUCCUUUCCACUUGUGGUGGCCCAAAAAACUUUUUCUUUCUUUUCUUUGCGCGAUUUCCCUUCCCUUUUGAGGAAGAAACAACAACUAUGUAACAACCCGAAAGUUAGUGGUGUCAAAAAUAGCGGUUUCAGAAUCUCGCUCUCAAAUGAUCGAGCUCGUGAAUGUUAUAUUAUAUUAAAUUUUGGAUGGGUAAUUUUGUCGAAUUAAUGACUAACUAAGGUAUAAGGACUAAAUUGUAAAAGUGAUAAAAGUUAAUUGCUAUAUAUUUUUAUUUAUUAAAGGGCUUAUUUAGUAAUUAAACCAAGGUGUGAAAUGGCAAUUUAACCUCUUUAUUAUUAUGACAGGUAGUUUGGUUAUAUAUAUAAUAAUGUUAUAAUUUAUAAUAAAAAAUUAUAAUGUCUAAUUUAUAAAUGAAAACAAAGUAAAUGGAAAGAAAGAGAUUAAACAUCAUCUUCCUCAUGACCAACCCCCUUGUUCAAAGUACAGUAGCCAAUAGAGUAAUCAAAAACUGCCCGCUAGCUUUUGGCGAUCAUAUCUUUAUGGCGGACUUGCUGCUACUAAAUUUCAUGAAUUCAACACUAUUCUUGUGCUGGAUUGGUGAUGUCCACGAAACUAACUAAAAAUAUUACUAAGGUAAAUGCACCUAUCAAUUAAUAGUAUAGCUACGGUGAGUAAGUAUAUCGUUACCAUGAAGACUAAAAUUAACUAAAUUAAUUAACUACGAACACGACAAAGAACAAAUCAGGUAAUAAACAAUUAACAACCAAUAAGCAAACAAUACCUAGGAAAGAAUUCACCUAGAUUUCAUCUUUCUUUAUCAAUCUAAAUUAUUCAAGUUAUUUACUUAUUAUCUUCAUCUAUGGAAAUCCCUAAAUUAUGUUAAUAUCUCUUUCGAGAGUAAAAGCAACUAGCUCUAGGUUGAUUAAUUGAAAUUUCUUUCUAAUUAAAACUCUUAUUAUUGCAUUAACUCGAUCUAUAGAUUCCCCUCUUAGAUUUGACACUAAUUCGGUAGAUUAAUGUCAUCCUAUUUCUAGGAUUUCAUGCAACUCCACUCACUUACACAAGAUCUACUCUUAAACAAGAUCUAUUCCUCCUCUAAUUUAAGCAUAUAAAAUAUGGAUCAAUAAUCUAGAAAUAUCAAACUAGCAAAUUAAGCACACAUAACCGAGAACAAGAACUAAGUAUUUAUUGUGUAAAAUAAAAAUCAAAAGACAGAAUUCAUCAUAGGGUUCAUCUCCUCUAGGUAUUUAGAAAAUUAGUUCAUUCUUGCAAAUAAAAACAACCAAGAAACAGUAUAACCGAAAAAAAUAAAAAAAAAUAAGAAACUCAUGAUAAUCUUUUAAGAAAUUAAUUGGGAAUCUUCAAUUUGACGGAGAUAUGCUUUGAAAUCGGAUUCAAUGGUGUUUUUCGAGUUACUUUCUUGAAUUUUCUAUAACGGCUCACUCCUAUCUUCUUAUUUUUGUAAUAUAUACGUCUUAGAAUGCCCGAAAAACCUAAAAAUGCAAUUUCUCGUAGUUCAAAGUGCCAAUUUGCGAAACUGACAUGGUUAGCCACAUGUUUUUUUUUUGUAGAAGGGAUCAGCCCGUGUGGCUCCUAUAACUCGUUCUAAUUUUUUAGUUUUCUGGUUUUCACUUGUUGGUCGCUCAUUUUGCUCCCAAAUGCCCUCUUAAGUAUAAAAACAUGAAUUUAAAUGAUUAGGAGCAUAAAAUUCACAAUUAACAUCAAAUAAUCACCCGAAAAACAUAUUAAGAAUGGGACUAAAACAUGUUACUUUUAGCUCUUAUCAAUUGGUUAACCAGACAUAACACCAUUGUGUACUAUCGAGCUAGAGUCGUAUGACUUCUAGCUGCAUAAGGUAAAAAAUUAUUACUACCUGGCGUAUGUAACUCCCUGAUCUUUUUAUUUAUGUUUUUGUAAGUAGUUGACAUAAAUGUGUAUCUGCUUCAGUGGUUAAGUGUUCUGGGAGUGUCUGAGAGGUUCUAAGUUCAAGCCUUAUCUUUAGCAAAUUUUGGCUAUUUUUGGAUCUAAGCUUUACCUUUUUUCUUUAGGCAUAUAUUAAAUUUCUUGUAAUUUCAUAUCAGAAUGAGCCUGCUGGUUCGAGUGGUAAAAAAGUUAUUGUGUUGGAGGUCCUGUGUGAGCGUGGAUAUUACUUUCGCUCGAGUUUAUGAAAGAGUUUUAGUGGAAUUAAAAUUCUGAAGUGGUUGAGAUUGGGGUGUUAGUGGGAAGUUAGGGAAUAUCAACUUAAUCUUUUUUUAUUUUUUUUCCCGAAAUUCUUUUUCUCUUUGACAUUCCUGUUCCCUCCUCUCCCCUGUUCAUUUGUUUUCUUCUCUUUUCUACCUUUGUCAACAUUUCAAUUCGAAUUUUUUGUGUAAGAUCCAACUGUGUUCAUUCGACAAGUCUUGUUUUGUUAACUCUUAACGCUAUUCGGCUUAGUUACUCUCGAUUUAGGUAAAGGACAAUAUAUGAAUGGGAUUCCUGCAACAAUUUAAGUCUUUAGGGUUUCAGCUCGAUAACGGUAAGUUUUCACGGACAUUUAGUGAUGUUGUAAGGUUUUAAUUGUGAAAUAAUUUCGAUUGAGUCUCGUUAGUGUUACUAAAUUUGGGCUCUGAAAUGUCAAUUUUUAGGUCUUGGAAGGCUCAAGAUAGUUUUCGCAUCGAAUAGAUACCAGGUUCAUACCCAAAUCGUAGAAAACGAGGUUUUUGCAAAAGUCAAAAAACUAUUUUGUAGGCACCACACAGGCGUGUAGUCACCCGUGUGGUAGGCCGUGUGUGAGAACACAGUUGUGUGGUGGCUCAAGUGUGGUUAUGUAGGCCACAAAGGCUAGGCCGAGUUGGGUGUGUGGGCCCACACAGGCGUGUGAAUUCUUGAGUCAAGCUGUGUGGGCCACACGGGCAAGGCCAAUUUGGGUAUGUGGGCCAUAUAGGUGUGUGGGCCCAUACUAGCAUGCCACACGGACAUGUGGGCCCUAAUUUCUGAAAUAAUUCCUAGGGUCGCGCGGGUCGUUCCAUUUGACUGUGGACCUAACAUAGGGUCGGUAAGGGCUAAUUAAACCCCUAUUUGUAUGCUUUGAAAUUUUGUUAGACUAAUCUGAUUAGGAUACUAAUGUAUGUCUGAUUAUACUUAUAUAUGUGUAUUUAUUAUUUGUAUAAAGCAUGUUUAGUCUGAUAAAUCUGUAUCUGAUUUCUGCAUCUAUUCUGGGGUGGGUUUGAUAUCUAUGUGGAGGAAGUGUUCUGUACGACAAUCAUCGUCUAUAUUCUAGCAGCUUGGCUGCACUAUAUCUAAUACGUGUCGUAACGACACAGUGUGGUGUGUAGGGAUGGGUGGGUGUUUUUAACCCCACAUGGUGUGAUGGGAUGGUCGGAGUUGGUGUGUAAAGGAUGGCGGCAAGACUUUGCAUAUCUAAUUUGUACAUCUAUUUCUGUAAUUGUAUCUGAGAUGGGCAUAAGCCCGAUUCUGUAUCUGAUUGUCUGAAAUGUUUCUGUAUGUUUGCUUGUCUAAUUAUGUUGGGUUACAUACUGAGUUUACGUAAACUCACAUUGUAAUAGCCCGAUUUUAGCUUAAAUCGGAAUAGUGGUUUCAAAACCACAAAUAUGAUGUCAUAAAAUUAUUUUAAUAUUAUUUUAUGUAUUUACAGCAUGUGAAUAAGUAGGUGUGAAAGUUUCGUGUGUUCAUUUUAUCGUUUAAUAGCUCAAUUUGAGAAAAAGGACUUAAUCGCGUAAAAUGCAAAAGUUGUAUUCUAAUUGAUAAAGGUGUCUAAUUACUAUGGCUUAUUAAAUAAAUGGCCCUUAUGUUGUAAUUAUACCAUUUAUAGUGGAUAUUGACAUGAAUAUCCAUUCAUCAUGUGAUUUUAAAUGAUAUUAAAUAAGGACAUUUUGGUAAUUAGUUAAAUAAAGCAUAAUUUAAUAAAAACAAAGUUAAAAUUUUGUUCAUUUUUUUCAUUCCAACUGAAAAACAAAAUAAAAUAAGGGUUUUAGGAGUUUUAAUGGUUUGGUCAUAGUUCAUCUUGAUUAAGGUAUGUUUUUUGCUCCGUUUUUAAUGAUUUUUACGUUUUUGUGAUCGUUGCUUUGAGUACUAGCUAGCUCGUACCCUAGUUUUUGAAUUUUUUGGUGAUUUUAUAAAUUUCCAUUGAUGAAUGUUUGAGUUCUUGAAUGUUUGAUGAUGGAAAAUGAGUAAUUGUUGAUAGAUUAUCAUGUUUUGUAAAGUGAUUUUUAGUGAAAUUGCAUAAAAAGGACUAAUUUGUGAAAAGUGUAUAAUGUGUGGUUAAAAGUGUGAAAUAAAUGAAAAUAUGAGAUUAUAUGAAGCUAUAUGAAAUUUGGCUAGCAUGAAAUUAGAAAUAAAUUGUGUAAUUUGUGAUUCAGUGAAAUAAGGACUAAAUUGUAAGAAAUGUGAAAUUAUAGGGUUAAUGUGUAAAAUGCCCCAAAUUGUGUGCUUUGGAUGAAAUUGAAUGAAUUGAGGAAUAAAAGAGUUAAUUUUGAAUUUAUAUAGAUCCUGAAAGAAAGAAAUCGGAUUUAGAUCGAGGGAAAUCAAAAGUUAUCGAGUAAUCAAUCAAAUUUGUCUAUUCCGACUACAAGGUAAGUACAUAUGCAAAUAAAUGUAUUUACAUUUUAUUAUAUAUGUUUAUUUAUGAUUAAUUUCUAUGAAUGUUGAACAUGAAAUUAUGAGCAAGAAUCGACAGAUUUGCGAUAUCCAAAAGUCCCGUACGAACCUUAGGAAUAAAAUAGGAUACAGAUGUCAUGAAAUUAGGUUAUCGAGAUGUGAUUACAUGUAAGACCAUGUCUGGGACAUUGGCAUUGUAUUGAGAUUAUGUCUAAGACCAUGUCUGGGACAUUGGUAUCGUUAAUCGAUUUCGUGUAAGACCCUGUCUAGGACAGUGGCAUUGAUAUGUGAUAACAUGUAAGACCAUAUCUGGAAUAUAGCAUUGUACAAGUUUAUGUGAUUCCUGAGUAUCCUUAACAAUUUUGAAUGGUUCAGCGGGAAAAGACAAGUCGAGAAAGAAUAUGUUAAUGAGUUAAACGACUCAGGUACAUACGAGAUUUAUACGAGUUUUGGAAAGUGAAGUAAUUGUUGAGUUUACAUGAGAAAAUGAAUAUGUAUUUACUGAGAAAGUGUUGUAUAUCUAUACGUGUAUACUUGUACUUGGCUUAAUGAUGGAAAUGUUGUGAUUCAUAUGAUGAUUUUAUUUGUAGAUGACUUACUAAGCUUUUAAAGCUUACUUUGUAUGUUAUUUCCUUGUUGUUAUAGAUCAUCGAAGCUAGCUCGGACUCGGGGAUCGUCAAAAAUACGUCAUCACACUAUCGAUCAUCUCGUUGGUAUUUUUGGAAGCUUUGUAUAUAUGGUAUAUGGCAUGUAUAGGUUAUUGUCAUCUUGAUAUGUUUUAAGUUGUAAUUUUAGCCAUGAGAUUUUGCUUGUAAAUGUUGGUAUAUGACCAUUUAAGUUGGUUUGAAUUAUGUGCUUGUCAAGUGAUAUAUAUAUAAAUGAUGUUUAUAAUGCCUAAUGUGUUGGCUUGUUUGGUAUAGUUUAUAGAUGAAGAAAGAUGGCUUGAAAGUUGACAUAAUAUGGUUUAAUUUUGAGAUGAUAUUAUAAUGUGUUAAGUGUUAUGUGAUAUGGAAUAGAUGAUAAGAUAAUGAGUUAAUGUAAUUGGAACUUAUGUAGGUUGUGAUGAAUUUUGCAUAAUGGUUUGGUUUGUUUGAAUACGGAAUUGAGUAGUUGAAAUGAUUGUGGAUAAAUAGCAUGGUAUGUGUGUGAAUUGACCUUUUUUGGCUGCCUAUAUAUGUUUAGAAAUGAUUCAAUUUGAUGUGGUUUAGAUAUGCUUGAGGAGGGUGAGAAAUGUGACUUAAACCAAGUCUAUUUUCACUCCACACGGCUGAACACACGGGCAUGUGGCUCAACCGUGUGUGACACAUUUCCUUGGUACACGGCCGUGUGUCCCCUUGGGUACCCUUCAAAUUAAAGUCAGUAUACCCUACAGUUUUGACACGGCCUAGACACAUGGGCGUGUCUACUAGCCAUGUGUGGCACACGGGCUGGUACAUAGGCGUGUGGUCGGCCGUGUGACCCAAGUCAGUAACUUCCCUUAGAUUUCACACGGCCUGACACACGAGCGUGUCCUCGGCCAUGUGGUACAAGUCAGUAUGUAUGCCCUAUUUUCACACGGCCUGUGACACGGGCGUGUCUGGUAGCCAUGUAAGGCACACGGCCUGUUCAUACAAGCGUGUGACUUGUGAUUUUUCUAAGUGUUUGGAAAUUUUUAUAUGUGAUCGGUUUAGUUCCGAACCACUUUUAAGCAUGAUUUAAGGUCUCGUAGAACCUUUUAAGGGACAAUGUGAAUGUUUGUGAAUGGUUUAUAAUAUUGAAUGCAUCAAUGUAUGAGAAUGUGAUGUAUUGUCCGGUAAUGCCUCGUAACUCUAUUCCAGCGACGGAUAUGGGUUAAGAGUGUUACACAAAUCUGUUUGUCUGUUUUAUCAGGUAAUCCACAGACUUAGGCGGAUCGGUGUGGCAAAGACACAGCAGUGACCACUAUAUCGUAAAACAGUUAAACUUAGUACUUUUGGUUUAUUUUAAAUUUUGGACUAUUGGGAGUUGUAAUUUUUGGGGACUCUCUGGACUGUUUGGUUUUUAACUGUUUACGUUUGGAUUGUUUGUCAAUUUGAUUGCUUUGGUAAAAUUGUUUUAUUAAAACGAUGGUUUUAUGCAAACAACGGUUUUCUUAAAAACACAACUGCAUUUUCAAAAUAUAACAAAUAAGGCUUCCCCUGUAAUAAGUUUCGGUAAAGAAAUUGACAAAUAUGUGGUUUUAGUAAAUUUCAAAGAUUGAUGUUUUAUCAAGUCAACACAGUUUCCAAAACCCAUUCCUUGUGACAUCACCAGAUUUGGUCAUAACGUCUAGGCCGGGUUUGGGGUGUUACAGCGUAUCCAUAUGAUUUGUAACUAACUUUUGAAAUUACCUACGUCGUUUGUACCGUUCUGUCUUAAAAGAGAAUUGUUCCUUCUUUAAAAGUGUACGUCGAACCCUCUUGAUUUACUGAUCAUAAAUUUUAUGAUUUCGAUAUAAACGCCAUAAUUAGGUAGUAAGUGAAAAUAGAUUUUUCUUUUAUAACUUCUAUUAUUUUUUUUUCUAAAGAUGCGUUAUCUAAUGAAAGAAGAAAAGUGUCUUUUAAGCUAAGGAAAAAUAUUCAUAAUUGUUUUUCUAAAAUUUUUAAAGUUAAGUUGAAUGAUUUGAAUCCUUUAGUAAUGCCUCAGUUCUUUGGGUAGUUUGUAUAGCUAAAUGAUACAUGCCAUGUCUUCCUGACGGGCUAAGAGGUGUUACACUAAGUUUAAUUUCUAUCAAUUUCACACCUAAUUCUUUAAUAAAUCAACAAUGGAAAGUUUAUAAAAUUUUAAAAAUUUUACAAAUUGGUACAUAGACUAGCUAAAUCAAGUUCCUAUGACCUCAAAUCUAUAAAAAAAACAUACAAGAAAAUGACUUGAUUAUCAUACCUAAUUUAUGGCUGAAUGUAAAAGUUGAAAGCUUGGUUUUUCUUCUUCAAUGGCUACGGUUGGCUUUGGAAAGAUUAUUAAAUAUGUCAUGUAACACCCCAAACCCGGCCUAGACGUUAUGGCCGAAUCUGCGAUGUCACAUUGAAGUGUGUUUUGGAAAGUAUCGUUCUGUUCAAAUAAAAGAUCAUACAAUAUUAAAACCAUUGUGGUGAUCUUUCACAAAACUCUAAGUAUCAUGUUUGUUUAUCAAAACUUAAUUUGUUUAAACAAAUGUUAAGUAUGUUGAAUUGUUAUUAGUUUUCGAAAGUAUGUUGAAUUGUUAUUAGUUUUUGAAAAUGUUCUUUCUUGCAGAAGCUAGAGAAACAUGUUUGCGUAUUUGUGGUGUUUUGAAAACAUAUAUCCUUUUGAAAAAUUGCGUCCUAAAGCUAGCAGAUAUAAUAAAAGAUUUGGAAAUCCCAAAAUAUUUGGAAAUCCAAAUUAAUUAACUUAAGGAUAAAAUCGAGACAGUAAUUAAAAUCAGUCGUGUGGCCCCCAUCGAGUCCCUCGCAGCACCGGCCCAUCUAAGGAUUACUUGCACAGGAAAGCAGAGGGGUGAGUUUAUGAAAACUCAGUAUGUAAUCCUUUUUUUUAAUAAACAAACAAUCGGUAGGCAAAAUAGGUUAGGCUUAAGCCCAUUUCAGUUACAGUCUAGUAUCAGUGCGGGCCUUAGCCUAUUACAAUAACAGUAUCAGUAUGGGAGUUAGCCCAUUACAAUAACAGUAACAGUGUGGGCUUUAGCCCAUUACAAUAACAGUAUGAAAAAAUGCAACAGAGAUCCUACCCAUCCAUCCUCUACACUCUACUCCGUCUAGCUCUACACUCCAUGUGAGGAUAAAAUCGACCCACUCAUCCCUACACUCUAAAUAUAGCACCGGUUGCGGCACUAAUCAGUGUUUGCAGCAGAGCUGCCAGUACAGUACAUUUCCUCCAAUAUAUAUAUCAAACCCACCGCCAUGCAACAUGUCACGUGUAUGCAAAAUGUCAUGCUCGAAUACAGUCAAAUAUAGCAUAGGGGUAUAACAGUCAUUUCAUUAGUAUGGGGUCUAAGUGUACUUACCGACCCAUCAGUAGGCCCACAGUCGUCUUAGGCGACCCAUGCGACCUUAGCAGUCAAACAGUGAAAAUGGGCACAAAGCCCAUAAUACGGCCCGUGUGGCCCAUUAAGCCCAAUAAUGACCUUGGCCGUGUGAUUUACACAGCCUAGCCCAUAAAACUCCACGUAUCCGUGUGAUUUACCUGUGUGGGGCCCACGAGCCCGUAAGGCCUACACGGCCCAACGUGACCCAAAGCGACCUAGGCCUACAAAAUAGCUCGUGCUGGUCUCUACAAUCACAUGCUCGCACUUAUGCGUUUAGUUGACCACACAAGCGAGCGCACACCCGUGUGGCAUCGAUAGUACCAGUUUUUCGGCUUUUGCCAUUUCACGAUUGAAGCAGUGUGAUUACACACCUGUUAUGGAUUGUGGUUGAAAAGCUUUCCAAGAUCAAACACCUAUGAUAACAACAACCCUAUCAUUAGUUCAAAUUCGUGGUUAAUUCGAUACCAUAGCAUUGGAGAUACUUAACCUUAUUCAUCACUACUUACCAUCGAACAGUCGUAGAACCCCCCUCUAGAACUAGAACCAACGCAAUCUCUCCAAUGCUCUAACCUUCACAAAAACAGUUAACCGAUUCAUAAGAAUCUAAACCCAACAUAGACAUAUCUUGAAAUUUUAAGUGCUUACCACCACGUAGAACUAAAAACAGUUGAGAGGAUUAAUCGGUCUAUCCACACAUAAGCCGAACACACAGGAUAACUGAGGCAAAACUAAAAGGUUACACCUUUAUCAGGAACAAAAAUACAGGAAGAUGUCAGAUGACACUAUUAACAUAACUGAAAGAGAAGAAGGAUUACCACUUACUCAUACUGAUCGAAACAAUAGUCCAGAACUGCCAAAGAAAAAGAAAAAAUCGUGAGGGAGAAAGAAGGCAAGAUAUACAGUCUAGGGAACAAUACCCGAUUGAAGAAUACAAGAAAAAGACAAUUGGCUUAAAGCAAGGGCUAGCAACUGAAAGAAUAGAAGGGACAGAGUCUUUCGGCUACCACAAUUAAAGUGAAGAGAGGGGAAAAAACACAAGAAGUAAUCGGUUCCAAAAGACACUGUUGACAAAGAGGGAAAAGAGAGUGAGUUUGGCCUAAGGGAAAAGAAUCAGUAGUAAAACAAUUACCUAAAAAGAAAGUAAGCAAGUUGCACACUACCCUCAGGAACAAUCACACUUUCGGCCACUAAGCAAAAAAAUCCCGAAAACACACAAAAACUGCAACUUUUGAGAGAAAUACCAGUUCAGCGAAAAUUCCUAUGCUUACAAUCCACUUUCGGCACGAUAACUGGUACACCAAAGGUGCGUCCUUCCCGGUCCUCUCGUACUAGGGAAAGGUCCUCUCAAUGCUCUAACGAACGGCCACAUCGGAUAUGGACCGAACUGUCUCUAUUAUACAUAAGGUGACUAUUCCACCAAAAGUUUUCUUUUAGUUCAAAACAAUCAAUAUGUAGAAUCAGAACAAGUGAUUGCUGAGAUUGGCGCGAGAACAUACACUUUAAAUUUGAAAGAGAGGGUUCGAAAACAUAUUUAUUCUGACUCAGAGGGGGAAAUGCACUGGAGUACCGAUGUGUUCCAUUCGCCCGAAUUUACAUAUAGUAAUGUCCAUCUCUUACCAAAAACAAGCCAUUUGUGGAUAUUAUCAGGGGGUUCGUACAAAUUCAGUGUAGAAAAGAUUUAUCAGACUAUGGAGUGAAUGAUUUGAUUAAUGACUAUUCUAUUGAUUUUUUCUUCAAUUUGGAAUCGAUUCACAACAAUUCUUUUUAUUUUUCAUAUUUUCAUAUAAAUAUAAAUAGAUAUUGCAUAUAAUAGAAAUAAAAAAAAUAUGAGUUCGGUUUGUCUUUUUUGAGAUAGUUUUUCAUUAGUAUACCUAUAAAAAAAUAGGUAUAUCUUGCAUCCUUUCUAGAGUUUCGAUAUUCGAUAUAAGGAUUCCUUUACCAACAGUCAACCCCAUUUGUUAGAAUAGCUUCCAUUGAGUCUCUGCACCUAUCAUUUCCUUUUUUUCUUAUUCUCGCUUGUUGAACCUUUGUUCAUGUUUAUUUUCGUAAAAUAAUAAAAUAAUAGGAUUUGGCUCAGGGUUGCCCAUUUUUCCUUCCAAGGUUUCUCUGAAUUUGAAAGUUAUCACUUAGUAGGUUUCCAUACCAAGGCUCAAUCCAAUUAAGUCCGUAGCGUCUACCAAUUUCGCCAUAUCCCCUUUUGUGUCUUGAGAUUAGGAUCUCAUUAGGAUGCCCCUCCUUCCCAGGGUUCCAAACUCAACGGUGGCAACUAAACACGAGGGUUGCGCUCGUUGCGGGACUUAACCCAACACCUUACGGCACGAGCUGACAACAGUCAUGCACCACCUGUGUCCCCGUUCAGGUUUCAAUUUUUUCAAAUGAACGAUUUGAAGACCUAUUGAUUCUAACAACUGAUUGCAAAGUUGAUCAUUCGGACCUUUCAAUUCAUAGAUGUGGAUCUCAGACCUAUGAAUGGGGAUAUUCCCGAAACUCACAAAGAAAAAAGGAAGUGAGUUAGACAAAAAGAGAAGCAACUUAGACAAAAAGAGAAGUAACUUGGACCCUCCCUUUCCUGCUAGGAUUGGAAAUCCUGACAACAAUUCAGUUUGAUCGAAUUGUCUAGUUUCGUUUUCCAAGUUAAUGCUUCAAAAGGAGGGUGAUAUGAGGGUUUUGUCUAUUCAUAAAUACCAAAGAUUCCACACUUUGUAAUUUAGUACAAUUGAUGUCGAAAAUCGACCAAUUCACAUUUAUAUAAACUAAUAAGCAAAACAAAUACAAUUUAAUCAUAACAUGAAUAAAAUAGUAAGUUCCAUAUGAACUAACCCGACAAAACAACAAACGAACAAUUCUUUAAGGACUAAUCAAUAAUUUUGUCUUUUCCCCGAUUAUCCUCGGUUUAAUUCAAUUCUCGAUCUAUACAAUAAUUCAGUUUAAUUUAUCAAUACUAAUCAUUUUGUAACAUUCCCUAAUAUGCAUGUACCAGUUCAGUUUUAUCUUUUGAAUGCCCCUAAAAAUUUUUAUUUUAUUCAAUUUAGUCCUAAAACUGAAAUUGCUAUAACUUUCAAAAUUGAGCUUUGAUUUUAAAACCGAUCUCAAUAACAUCCUUUUAGGACCCUUUACUAUAAAUAAUUACAAAAAUUUCAUAUCAAAUUCAAAAUCUAUACACUUUAGUCCCUAUGUUCAAAAACUAGCAAUUAAAUUUUACAAUCUAGUCCUUUUUCACUUCUAAGCUUAAAAUCUAACAAUUUAAUACCAAUUUCUUCAAGAAAUCAACAAUGGAAAGUUUUGAAAACUUAAACAAUUUUACAAAUUGGCACAUGGGCUAGCUAAAUCAAGCUCUCACGACCUCAAAAAUAUAAAAAUUAUAAGAAAAUAACUAAAUUAAACUCACCAAACUAAGAUUGAAGGUUUGAAAGCUUCAAACCCUUUUUUUCUUUCUUUUGCUUCAUGAAAAAGAUGAAUAUGAACGGAGAAAUGUUUUAUUUUCUUUUUAUUUUAUCUUUUAUACUUAUAUUAAUAAUGAAUUGAUCUUAAUUAAUCUAAUUAAACAUGAUUAAUUUAAUCUUAAACACAAUUAACCAAUAUGGUAGAUUUCAAUUGUCAUCCACCAUCGUUUGGCUACAUAAUAGUAGUCUAAUUGCUAAAUUGAUUCUUCGACUAUUUAAAAAUUUAUAUAGAUAAAUUUUUAUAAUUUAAUCUUUAUACCUUAAUUAAUUAUCAAUUUAGUAAAAUUAAGGUGAAACUUUAAUAAACUUUAAUACUAAACCAACAUCCAAAAUAAAAUUCCGAAACCAACCUUUCCAAUGCCACUAAAAAAACAAAUUAUUACAAUAAUUAUAUUAUCUAAAUAUUUUCUUAUCAUUCAUCACAUUUUAAAUCGAAGAAAUUUAAAAUUUAUAUAUAUUUUAAAUCUCCCGAACAGACGCCAACGAACCGGGUUGACUGUUAUCUCUCUCUAACCAAACAUCCCACCAUCCUCUUCCUCUUCACCGAGUCCAACUAAAACGAUUUCCUAAUCACCGAUUCGUCGUGAACCUCUCAUGGCUUCGGAGCAGUGCGGCGCCGUUUUCGAGGUAUCUCAGGACGACGACGAGGAACCUUCUUCCUCCGAUAACGAGAUCGAUGAAACGACGACGUCCUUAACGAUAACGAAGACGUUUUGAACGAUGAAGACGUCGAGUUAUUGUUAGAGGAAGAAGAUGACAUAAAUUCCCCUUCUUUACUCCCUUAACCGAUCCCUUCCAAGUAUCCUUCGCCUCAGUCCCUUUCGUACAACUUGAAUGUUGCAUGUGUUUUUUCAACAACUUUAAUUUUCCUUUUCCUGUUCCUUUGUAACUCUUUAUUUUUAAUUUUCUCCACCACGAGUCUUAUUUAAUAUUUAAUAAUGUAUAUUACAUAUAAUUAUUCAUUCCUAUAUGAUUACGUGAAGAACCUCUCCAAUCUUUCUCUCUGUCACAUUUUAUCUUCUUCUCUUUUUCCCAUUUUCUGUUGACUACCCCCAUUUGCCUUUCAUCAAUCCAGUUUUUCAAUUUUCUUCUCUUUUUUUUCUUUUAUCAUGGAAGAGGCAAAGGGUAUGCUUUUCUUUCUGGGUUUUGUUUUGUCUUUUUUUUUUUAAGAUUUUGUUUUCUUGAUCUUUAAUCCUUUCUUUCUCCUUUUGUUGUUGUUUUUUUUUUUUAAUCUUUCAUGAAAAUUUCAUUGUUACUUUUUGAGAAUCUGAGAUAACUGAAUUUUUCCACUUUGCUUUGUAUUUCUAGUUUUAGUAUUAGACAGAUCAAUUGAAUUUGUGAAUGCCUGGAAGUGAAAAAGGAACUCACUUUUUCCACAAUUUUUUUUAAAAUAUAGUUUUUAGGUUUUUUUAUGCAUUUUUAGAAUAAUAUGUGUCUCAAUUUUCAAUCUUGUUUUGUAAAUAAUUAAUUGCAAUAUUAAUGUUUCUUUGCUUCUUCUUCUUUUUUUUUUUCUUUUUUUUUUUAGUGUUGGAAGCUAAAGAAGGAACCAUUUCCGUUGCCUCUGCUUCUCCUGGUCAUCAAGAAGGUAAUUGUCAACUUUUCAUAGGAUUUAAUGUUUAAAAGCUAAUAUUAAAUGGCCUCUUCAUAGUUGCCACCAUUAGAAUUAUUUCGGUAGAUUCAAAAUAUUCUUUUUAUUCAUUGAAUUUUGCCUAUUGUUUUAGUUUAGUAUUGGAGACUUACUUCCUUCAAUACACAUAUCUUAUAGUUUAUUUUUUUAGCUGUCACAGUUUCUAGAUCAAACUGAUGUUUAUGAUCUGGUAUAUUGCUUGGAUAUGAUCUGCUAAUUUAUGUUACCCGGGGCAAGUCUGAACAUAUGUCCGACAUAGGUGUUAGACUCCGGUUUAGGGAAAAUGAAGAGUAGAAAUAGGUGUUAUGUGAUGACUUUUAGCUGUGUCACAGUUUAUGGAUCAUAGUGAUGGUUAUAAUUAUUGAUGAUGUGGUAUACUGCUUAGAUAUUCCGCGUUAAUUUAUGUUACCCGGACUUGAGGAUGACUGCAUAUCAUUGUCCGGGUAUGUGCCGUACAUAGGUGUUGGACACAGGUUUAGGAAAAACAAAGAAUCUAUGUCACAUUUUAUGGAUCAUGGUCAUGGUUUUCAUUAUUGAUGAUCUGAUAUUGCUUAGAUAUGCUGUUUUAAUCAAUGUUACUCGGACUUGAGGAUGAGUUCAUAUCCAUAUCUAGAUAUGUGUUGCACAUAGGUGUUAGCCAUGGGUUCGAGAAAAACAAAGAGUCUGGAUGGCAUAGGUCUGUUAUCCAAUAGUAGGUAUUUUAGCUGUCACAGGUUAUGGAUCAUAGUGAGGGUUGUCAUUAUUGCUUGGAUAUGCCGUGUUAAUCAAUAUGCCAUAAGUAUUAGAGAUGGGUUUCGGACAACAUAGGAGUGAAUGAUUCAAAGAUACUUGAUUAACGAUGUAGAUAUCUUCGGAAAACUGUCAUGCUUAAUGUUGUUAGGUGAUUAUGAAAUUGCUCGUUUCUGUUUAUCGUUCAACCAGCUGUACAGGAUAGAGAUAACAAAUUCUUAACACAAGCAAUUGGAGAAGCAUAUAAAGGGGUUGAAUGUAAAGAUGGAAGGCCGUUUGGUGCAGUUGUCGUUCGCGAUGACGAAGUCAUUGUAAGUUGCCACAACAUGGUUUUGAGAAACACUGACCCUACUGCACAUGCAGAGGUUACUGCUAUUAGAGAGGUCAGAUAAAAAGAACUAAACAAACCAACAAAACAAUUUAAUCAAAUUUAUCGAUCCUGUCCAUAUGUUUACUUGAAACGAUUGAAACAGUUCCAAUCCCUGAAAACCAUGAACUGCUACGAAAAGCUUAGAUUUUUUUUGUUGAUUGUAAGAAAAUAUGAUAGCUUCAAUGGAAGAAAUACAUAUAAAUAUACAUUAGCUUUCAUUUGUGGGGUUUUUCAGCAUUUAUUUGCAAUUGUUAUGGCUUUUUUAUGUUUGAUGGCAAGAGUUUGCUGUAUUUGUAGCAGUCAUGUGAUGGUCGAUAAUUUUGCAUGUAUGUUAAAUAUAGUGAGGAAAUACGACUAAUUCAGCUCGAUUGUCAUCGGUGCAUGUUAGACAUUAGGAUAUAAGGAUUCUUAGGUUGUCAUAUAAAUGUAUGAGAAAUCCAUGUUUUCUAUUAACAUACUAUGUCCGACAUGCAAGAAACUGAAUCGGAUUGAGUUCUCAGACUGAAAUGUAUGCUUCAUGCGAGCCUUGCCCAAUGUGCUUCGGUGCUAUCCAUCUGUCAAGAAUCAAGGUCCGAUGCCAAACCUUACUAUUUUUUAACGUAUAUAAUCCUUUUCAUUAACUCACGGUUGCAUAUGUUGAGAUUUCAACCCCGGACCAGUUGGAUGUCACUUCUUAAGAGUGGCUAUAUGAAACCGAAAUCGUGACGUGUUUAUUAUGUAAUGGGAAAGCAGAAGCUGGUUUAUGGAGCGAAAGCAGAGGCAGCGGUAGCAAUAGGAUUUGAUAGUUUCAUUGCGGAUGCAUUGAGAGGUACUGGGUUUUACCAGAACGCUAACCUGGAGAUCAAGCAAGCCGAUGGAACAGUUGCUGUCAUUGCAGAACAAGUAUUUGAGAAGACCAAGGAAAAGUUCACCUUGUAUUAAUUUCUCUUUCAUUACUAGAAACACAGUUUGAAGUUUAUGUUAAGACUGCCCCCUCUUU
Molecule: long non-coding RNA, 122594 nt
Filed under: Gossypium barbadense (sea-island cotton)
Lineage: Eukaryota; Viridiplantae; Streptophyta; Magnoliopsida; Malvales; Malvaceae
Description: long non-coding RNA (GBAR_LNC010800)
Rfam family: Plant small nucleolar RNA R71 (bases 77776-77882)
Source: RNAcentral